Molecule: long non-coding RNA, 95530 nt
Filed under: Oryza sativa (Asian cultivated rice)
Lineage: Eukaryota; Viridiplantae; Streptophyta; Magnoliopsida; Poales; Poaceae
Description: long non-coding RNA (OSAT_LNC001140)
Rfam family: MIR812 microRNA precursor family (bases 63287-63490)
Source: RNAcentral
UUCACAGUUUUUUGACACGCGAAGGCUUGUGAUUUCUCUGAGAAUUGUUGAAAUGUUACAUGUGUUUCAUUUGUUUGUGUACUAAUGUGUUUUGUGGUGAAAGAUGAUUUUACUCGUAUCUUUGUGCUAAAUACAGCAACCCAUUGAUCUGUUUACCCUAAAUUCCUUCAAUGCUGUUGCAACUUGCAACUAAUGUCGCUAAGUUCCUUCAUUGUUGAUGUCACAAUUUGUCUUGGUUUUGUUAGCUUGUGCUUUGUCGGCCUAGCUGGGUUGUCGAGUAUAAAUUUGGCUCGAUUUUGGUCUAAGAUGAUAAUCUUCUACAUGGUAUUACUGUCCUUUUGUUCUGCACUUCUGCUGCUGGGCUAAGAAUAGGAUUGGCUAUUCAAUCAAAAGAAUUGUUAUACUGGAAAUAAUUUGGGGGUGCAAGGUACUUCUGGCAUCGACCUCUGGACAUCUGACAAGAUGUAAACUACCUGAAUUACAUAUUCUUUCCAAAUAUAAUAUGCUAUCUUUUUAUAGCAGGCUGCCUACUGAUCUGCUGCCAGUUUUAGAUGUGAUGCGAUAUAUAUGCUGUAAAUAGUUCAUUGAAUUUCUGAUUUGUGCUUUAUAUAUGUCCAAACCCACAAAUAUCCAAUAUACUAUCUCUGUGUGCUUGAUAUAUACCACUCUCCGUUUUAGGUUAUAAGGUGUUUUAGUUAUAAUAUGUUUUGAUUUUGGUUAAAGUUAAACUGCUUUAACUUUGACUAAGUUUAACUUUGACUAAGUUUGUAGAAAAUAGUAGUAACAUUUUCAACCUAAAUUUAUUAUGAAAAUAUAUUCAAUUAUUGAUUUGAUGAAACUAAUUUAGUAUUGUAAAUAUUAUUAUAUUUUUCUAUAAAUUUAGUUAAAUUUGAAGCAGUGUGAUGUUGACUAAAGUUAAAACGUUUUAUAAUCUGAAACGGAGAGAGUAAAAAAUAAACUUAACUUGAAAACUAACUUCACGAGAAGAGUGAAAAAUAAGACUGAAUAGGUCGAGCGAUGAGAACAGGGAGCACAUCACUGAAAUUGAAGUUUAUGUCAGGUUCAUGGCUAAAUAAAAAAAGAAGAAGAAGCAGAAGACCAUCUCCAUGCAGGCACAAAAUAAAAUAUUUCAUAAACAACUAAAACAAGGAUUAGUUUCAGUCCUUAACACGCAUGGCCUACCAUCCCAAACCUUUGCAGGGUCAACCCUAUCUGCAAAGUGUAGAGGUUCUUUAGAUUGUAACUAAAAUAAACAUUAACAAAUUUUAGUGCUAAAAUUUUGAUAAUUUAGCAAUAUUAUUAAGUAUUUUUAGAUUUUUUAUGCAUUUACCAAAGUUCGAUUAAAUACUAAAUGGAUGCAUAUUUUCAGCAAUUUUACUGAACAAUGAUAUAGUUUGAAAUGAGAUCAAUUUAAACAACUCCGUAGUACCCUUCUACCUUUCAUAUUACAUGACCCGCGGAACUUCUAAAACUUAAUUCAACCUCAAAUAAGACUUGAUUCAACCUCAAAUAAGGUACACUCCUUAUAUUGACUUGCUGAUAUUUUAAAAAGAUUAGAAAUUAAGGACAAAUUUUAUAGAUACUUAUUAUUAUUUAUUUGGAACUGAAUAAUUUGCCUUCAAUCUGUAUAAUCAUUUGUAACGUCAACGUCCCGCUUAGACAGCUUUCAUAGGUCAUCCUUCAAUCAACGUCCCGCUUAUAUUUGAUAGUUUUCAUAGGUCAUAGGCUGCCCUUACAGGCCACCACAUGUCUUUUCUGCACACUUUGUCCUCAGAAAGAAUUUUCCAGUCGGUCACCCAUCUCGAAAUUGCUCCAAGCCAAGCACGCUUAACCCUGAAGUUCUUUGAAGAUCGGCUUGCAGAAAAAAAGUUGUAACUUGUUGAUAUAAGUAUUCUAGUAAUCCUAUAAGCCCUGGGCCGGGAUGUCACAAUCCUCGUCCCCUUAAAACACCGACGUCCUCGUUGGUCAACCCCAGGCCAGGAACGUCCCCUCUUGGCCACGUCUGUGUGUAGUGCCAGCGCAUGUGCCAUGCUGUGUGAUCACUCCCGGUCCACACCAGCCAUGCGCCCCAUGCCUGCACAACUGCGACACACGCGCCCGUGAAACCGCGAGAGUCGGACGUCCCGCUUCUCCCAGGCCGGACCCGCUUACAUCUGAUAGCUUUUAUAGGUCAUAGGUUGCCCUUACACAGGCCAACACAUCCCGCUUACAUCUGAUAGCUUUCAUAGGUCAUAGGCUGCCCUUACAGGCCAACACAUGUCUUUUCUGCACACUUUGUCCUCACUCGUGCACACCCUUACAUCUGAUAGCUUUCAUAGGUCAUAGGCUGCCCUUACAGGCCAACCCAUGUUUUUUCUGCACACUUUGUCCUCACUCGUGCGCACCUAGGAAAAAUUUCCCAGUCUGUCACCCAUCUCAAAAUUGCUUAAGGCCAAGCACGCUUAACCCUGAAGUUCUUUGGAGAUCGACUUCCGGAAAAAAAAAGUUGUAACUUUAUUGACAUGAGUGAUGUCACAUCAUUGCCGGAUAGAUUAGGGUUGUAGCUAUUGAGAACGGUCGUGUCCAGCUAAUCAUGGAGCAAUGUGUUGGAAAUGGACACAACAAGUGUCAAUCCAAUGUCACGCACGCGGGAGAGCGACCUAAACAGGCCCAACGCGUCGACUAAAAUCACGAGAGAUGACCAGAAAUCAGAGGACAAAAACACAAUAUUUUUUUAAAACAGAAUCAAUAUUUUUCAAAUAGAAUUAGAUUGAGAUACAGACAACCUACCACCAGUGAAAAUAUCUUACAUAAUUAUAAUAGUAGAAAUAUUCUGAGGUUGAGGAUGGCCUUUUUUUUCUUUCCAAUUUCAUUGGUCUACUGAUCAACCAAAAUGUUUUUCUUUUCUUCAUUGGUAAGAUCUUACAAUUUUGAGGUUGAUUUUUUUUUGUUUCGUCUUCAUCGGUCUGCUGAUCAACCAAAAUGUUACUGGGAUAUAUCACAUCCUCUUAAAUUCCUUAUAUUCUAGAACAGAGGGAAUACUUUGUAAAGCAAAUUUUUGACUCUCCGUUGCUGUGUUUUGGUUCAAUAGUUGCCGUAUGCCAUAGUUUAUUUUAUCAUACCCUAUCCUGCUAUCGAUGAUGCACAGUGAAGUUCAACUUCUAUGCUCAAAGUCCAAAGGAAGACCAGAAAAAUGAAAUGUCGAAAAUAGCUUGUCCUCUCUUCAAUAGCUUGUCUGGUGGUCGAUACGGAUAGGUUGUAUCCAUAUUGGCACCCAUAAAUAUGUGAUAGCACCUUUCAGGGAGUCAGGGAGGAACUCGAAACUUCUGGUACGUAAAAAAGUUCCUUCUAGUAUCGUAAAAAAGUUGAAGUAAACAAUCAUAAAAUAAUUAUGUACUCUUCCAAUAUCCCUACAGGCCGUUUAGCCGUUUAGUUGGAGGGAGCUUUCAGGAGAGAUUGAGAGAUUAGAGAGAUAAAGCUAUUCACUGUUUUGUUUAGCUGAGAGACAUGAAAAAUUUGGUGGAAUGAGAAUAAGAAAUUGAGAAAGGAACUCCAUCCUUUUUAAUAUGUAGGUAGGAGUGGUAAUUGGGAGAGAAUUUCUCCUUUACUUUGUCUAAGCAAAUUUCAACCAUUCAAUUUUAUUAAUAACCUAAUCUCCAAUUAAACUCCCUAUCAAUUUCCACCACCUCUAUCAUUAAAAAUUAAAUUCUCAUCUUAAUCUCACCAUCAAUCUCCUCUCUCCUCGUGUAAACUUCCAAUCCCCUUCCUUUGUGUUGCCCAACAAGCCAUAUCUAACCAGCUUGCAGCAUAAAUGAGAAACAAAGUCGGUUUCCAGAAACAAGGCCUAAGGAACCACAGAACGAAUAACGAAUAGUGCCCUAUUCAGCCCUUUUUUUUUUACACUUGGCCUCUCAGCCGCAUAAUAUGAGGUAUCAGCGGUAGGGUGAUUGUUUCUCAAAAAAAGGAAAAAGAAAAAGGAAAAAAAAGCGGUGGGGGUGAUUGCGAGAAACCGCAUAAUAUGUUUUAGGACUUUGGACAGUACAUGUUGGCAACUUGGUGGUAUACAUGAACAUUUUGCCCACGAAUAAUGCUAAGUCAGGCACACCUCAUGCUAGCAGAGGUUAAAAUACCUCACAAAAACUCAAGAUGCAUUACACCCUACUGAACAUGACAGCGUAGGCCUCCACUGUCUCCAAUUAGCCUGAAGGAAUGUCAUCUUGGACUGCUCAAAGAGAGUAUGAAGGUGUCAUAUGGUUUCCAUUCUAAUAACGUUGAAAAGGAACAAAACCGAUAGAAAGAAACUCACUGCUAAGAAUAAAUCCCUGAAGCAGGCUCUGAGCUUUGUCAGCCUGCUCAGGAGUACCAGAUAUUCGAACAACUUUUUCUAUGGCGUCAGGCCUUUCGUCAGCAAGUGUGACAGUGGCACCAGACAUCUGCGACCAACAAACAGUUUUAGAGGGUUAAUAAUAGGUAGAGUUGUUUGCCCUUUGUUCUACAAGAAAAAUUAGAAUAUACAGAACCUCGCUUAUUUGAGCAAGCUUGCUUCCAGCUCUCAUAGUAAGGCUUGCAACAGCACUCUUUGGUAUGACAACUUCUAAUGUGCUUCUUGUCACUAGAGGAACAGCAAAUCUGGUGGAAAAAGAAAUUAAGGUGAUCAUGUGAAAACCAAACAGAACAAGAUGGCAAAGACAAAAACAUACCGUUUUGCAGCACUUUGCCUCAUAUCAUCAUUAAUGUUGCUCCCUUGCUCAAACGACAUAUUUGCACCACCUCCACUAUCCUGAAAUUCAAAAUGACAAAUUUUAAGUCCAAAGACUCCAAAACAAUGGCUAACUUUAGAUAACCUAGAAGAAGAACAUUAUUAUGCAUUAAAGUUCAAAUACUUAACAUCCUACAUUACAAACUUUUCACAUCUAUGCAAAUCCCUUGUCACUGCCAAGUUUCACCAUGCUCAUUAUGAAAGAAAGGGAAACCAUGCAAAUCCCUUGUCACUGCCAAGUUUCACCAUGCCCAUUAUGAAAGAAAGGGAAACCAUGCCCAUUAUGAAUGAAAGGAAAAUUGAGGCCAAAAUUGGAUGGGCCAAAAGGACAAGAGAGGUCAGUGGUAAAAAAUAGAGAAAAUUCCAUACAUAGUACAAAUAUAUAUAUAUAUAUAUAUAUAUAUAUAUAUAUAUAUAUAUAUAUAUAUAUAUAUAUAUCUGUGUGUGUGUGUGCGCGUGCGCUUUUCUGCAAGGACUAACAAAGACAUUGAAGUACUAAAGAAUACCUUCCAUGAAGCUGGAACAUGCUGUGCUUGUUGGUAGGAUGGCAUUGGAAUAUCACUUCCCUGGUAUGGUCCUCUAGGUGAACCUUUUGCUGGAGAAAUGGAGCCAUGAACAGUAAUAUUGCCAAGUUGGUUAGGACCAGGAAUCUCGCGGUAGAAGUAACUCCGUAAUUUUGCAGUUAUUUGCACAAGAGCAUCCCGUGCAGCUCUAAUCUCUCCUACAAUCUGCAAGAACAAUAAUUUGUUCAACCACACAAUAUGGCAAACAUAGUAAAAAAAUCAUUCAUGUGUCAAACCAAGAAUAUAACAGUAAAAAGAAGAUAACAUGCCUACUAGGAGCACUUUGGCUUGAACACAAAUUCGAGUUAGAAGAUAGGUCAACCCAGGCUUGGCUCAAUAAGCAAAAGAAACAAGCGUAUUGUAAAUUGUAAAUAUAUGGAUUAUGGUCAUCUAUAGGGGUGGGUGUUUGGUUUCAUUGGUUCAUUCGGUUCGGCUUUUUCGGUUUCCGAGAAUCACGGUUUUGAGAUAUGCCAACAGAAGUGCAUGUCAACAAAAAUUAAAACCGGCCCGAAGUAACCGGAUUAAUUCAGUUCGGUGUGUCGGCUUCACCGAACAAACCGUAAACACAUCUAACGCACGGAAGCAGUAGACCAGGUGGCAGCGGCGGCAUGGCGUAAUCCACCAUCUACGUGGAGAUAAACCAGUCAAUUACUGGUGUAUAAAUUAGGCCUAGUUGCUAUGGGCCUCGUUGGAUGGAGGAACGUGGGCCUUGAGGUGCUAGGUGGUACCGGUGGCAUGGCGUGAUCCACCACCUACGUAGAGGUAAACCAGUCAAUUACUGGUGUAUAAAUUAGGCCUAGUUGCUAUGGGCCUCGUUGGAUGGAGGAACGUGGGCCUUGAGGUGCUAGGUGGCACCAGUGGCAUGGCGUGAUCCACCAUCUAUGUAGAGGUAAACCAGUCAAUUACUGGUGUAUAAAUUAGGCCUAGUUGCUAUGGGCCUCGUUGGAUGGAGGAACGUGGGCCUUGAGGUGCUGCCACACUGGGCUGGGAUCAUGGGAGGUAGUUUGGUUGAUCGGCUUCUUCGGUUGGCAAGGAUGGAAAACCGCAAAAAAGACCAAAAGCUGAACAAGAACCAAACAAAAACCAAAGGACAAUCCGAUGACUGAAAAAACCGAUGAUUUGGUUCGGUUCGGCUCGGUUUUGUUCGGUCUCGGCCCACCCCUAGUCAUCUAGGUAUUUAACACAUGGAUCUCCACUAUCUAGUCAAAUCCUCAAGAUAACAAAAAUGAAGGUUCUUCUGGGAAAGAAGACAGACCUGUAUAAGCUCAUCAGACUCUAGAGCACAAGAUGGAAGAGCUUGCCUUGGUAAUAUCUGUACAUUUGCACUGGUCUGUCUCUGUAUAUCAGAUAAUGAUCCAUCCCUUCCCUCGAAGCAAGCAAUUUCACUUGAAGGGACAAGUAACCUUGUUGUAAUAAUGUUGUCUUUAUCAGGACCAAGGUCUACAAUAUGAGUUUGGAGGUGCAGCAAUGCUUCCUGAGCUGGAAAAAGCUCAUGGUCUGGGCCCUAUAACAAUCGUAAGGACCAUUUUAAGAAUAAAAUAUUGAAACAUGUCAGUGAAGGGAGGGGUACUGAACCCAAAUUCCAGCUAUAACAAUGAUGGUUGAUACAAAUAGCAGAAAAUACCAACAGAAAGAACAACAUAAUAUUUCAAAUAAAAUCCAUCAUAAUUGAGGCCAAACUAAUGUUACACGCAAGCAGACACUGCUGUAAGCAUUUUUGGAACAAAGAGCUCCUCAGAUCUGAAUAGCUUACUGUAUAGGACUAUAGGUGUGGAUAAUCCAACAAGCUAAAAUCAUCUUGUUUCAUUCACAUCAGUAAGACAACCUACUUAACUACUACAAUGACUAGUUAAAAAAUAGUUGACUUUCAUCAAGCAAUACUUCAAACAUUGCCUGGACUGUGUAAAUCUAGCUAGCAAUCUAGUAACACUACUUUAGAUUAGUGAAGCAAUGAGUAGAUCAGUAGAAUUUCUCACAGAAAAAGGACCCGUCUGAUAAAUAUAACUUCAUAUGCAACUGAGAUUGGAAAAAAACUACAAAACAGUGUGCGUCACUCAUAGCAUCGUCUGUUGAAGCUGCAAAUGUAACUUUGAAAAAACCCACAGAACUGUAACCCAACCCUUCCUAUAACGUACAAGUUUUUACAUAACUUAAACAGCCAUGUCAGUAAUAGUAUGGAGAGUGGUGAACUAAAAGACAUAAGUGAGUGUGUAUUACCUCUCUUGAUGUGAUGAUUAUGAUCCUUUCGUCAGAGCCAUCAAGAGAAUCAGUAAGCCUAAUAUCAACACCAACAUCUUCCUGUAACAUCUCUAACAAUCCAUCACGUGUUCCGACUAAACUGUUAACCUUGUCACUUGGGCAAAGAAUUCGAAAUAUGAUGUCAUCGAACAGAAUUUCUGUGUGAUCAUUGAUCUUGCCACCAUUUGAAUCAAACUCAUACCCUGGCAGCUCCAUGCUAGUAUUAUUUCUAAUUUGAUCAGGUCGACCAUAAGGUUCUUCAUAUGCAGGCAUCUGCUGUGCACCACCAUAGUAUUCAUCCUCUUGAGGAAAUCGAUGCUCUGGUGAAUUCAUCCGUCCACGGAAGGGGCCACGGUCACGGUGUAAGCUUUCCUUUAGGCGAUCGGAGAUUAUCGCUACAGCCUUUUUAACACAAUUCCCCUCUCCAACAACCUGUAACAUCAUAUCAUGAUAAUAAUACACAGUAGGGUGAGAAGUGCCACAAGUAAAAAGAAGUCUAAUAAAGAGUGUCAUUUAUCUUUCUAUGCAUCCAAAUCACAAUUACAACAUGUGCUAAGAGACAGAUUUAUCAUGUUGAACCUAGAUCAUUUCAGAUCAUAAUUGAAUGAAUUUACAAAUCAAUGUCAGAACAGUUUUCACUAAGCAAACAGAAGGCUAAAGUUUUCACUUUUAAGGUUAAAGUUGACAAGAGAGAUAGUUUAAGCCACUGUUGCUAGAAGACAAAUCUGGAACAGUGUCUUUCAUAUAAUAUUUGAAAUAUAGUCUCAAAUAAUAAGUUGUUCCAUAAGUGAGCUGAGUAAAUCUAUAUGUCCAACUAUAUUAUUAUUUUAUUUCAUUUAAUACAAGAGCUCAGCAUUAAGCAAACAUCAUAUGAAUAAAUCCCCAUAAACUGUGCAAAGAGUAAUUUCACAAACUGGUAUUAAAGCCUAACGAAAACAGGUUAUUUUUAAAUUAAAUGUGUGUGUAAACAAAGUUGAAAUUAAAUACUGACUAGGAACAAGGGUAGAGCAGAUUUCUUACUGUUGAAAGCAUUAAAUCAGUUUCCACUGUGUUGCUUGUAACCAACUACACGGUGAUGACUACAGUUCAAGAAUUAAUAUAUUGUGAUAUUAAAUCAGUUAUAAUGCCAAACUCAAUGUCUCAAAAGAAGCUAAAGAUAUGAAUACUAGAGAGGUUAAUGCUAAGCAACAUUAUAAAGUUAACAGCGAGAAACAUCCAGAACUAGUGCACAGGUACUAGCAGUUAUUGAACAGGAAACAUCAUGGGAACAGAGUCAUCAGUCAACAUAAUUGUGAGAGAUAGUAGGAAAAGUCCUAGAGUACUGGAACUUGGAGCAUUUCCUAAAAUUUUCAGAUAUAUUUGGAAAAAAAAAUCAGUUCUACGGAACUGAGGGAUUACCAUUUUUGCUAUAUAUAUAGCUGAAUUUGUUUUCACCCUAAUAGUAUCACGUAUUUUCUACCACGUGUUCAGUAAAGCAAUGUUGCUAUUUGACAUUAGUUCUCCGCCAUCACAAGUCACAAGCUGUUCCCGAUCCUGUACCCUCAUAGGCUAUCGGCACUGUCCAAAUCGAAACAAGUUGCUGCUCAAUUUCACCCCUCCCAUCCAAGCUAUGAAUUCUCUCUUACUGCAGAAACCAUGGCAACAGACCCAAUAGUAUGCACAGAGUCAUUCCCAAAUAUUGUCAAUGGGGCGAAGAAGGGAUGGGGUAUGCCCCGGUUUACGUGUAUGGCAGCAGCACCACGGUUGGGUCGACACCAUCACCCCAUGACACCAACACCCCACACACUCAAGCAGUGUCAGAUCCCUUUCCUAAGCAUUCCAUUACUUCACUAGCCCCAUAAGGCCACAACUGAUCAUUCCUUCUGAAUUUGUUCCCGCAUGCUGAUUUUCUUGAGCUAGGAGGCAGCGCUCUCCAGCGACAUGCUCAUCCAAAAAGAUGCGGUCACCCAAAAGCUGGCCAUUGUGUCAGCGCCACCAUCCAUUCAUCCACAAAUCUCUGCCGUAAGUGAGCAGCAUAUGGGAUUAAACGAUGAGUGGUGUGCCUCAGCUGCAGCUGCCGCUGACCACUGUUAAGCGGUGUAUGGAGCCAACAGAGUUCAAUGGUGAUGAGGACAAGUGAAUGAAGAGCUGAGCAUGAUUUGAGGGGUGAUUCAGGGAUUUCUAGAGAAGUAUUUGUCCCAAAAAGUCUUUUAAAAAAGCCAAAGCGCUUGAUGGACAUACUAACAUAGACUGCAUAAAAACUUACGGUAUUUUUAGGUGGUAUUAAAGUGCACCAAGAAAGGUAGGUAUUAAUGCAGGUAUCUUGCAGUGCUGUGGAAACAUUUUUUUUUUCAAUAUAUUCAUGAAGAUUUUUGUCUUGUCCUGCUUUUAGAUUUGUUGUUUGAUUUGUGUCUGUUCUUUAAACCUUUUUUUUGUCGUUUUCAUCUGGGAGUGUUCAGGUUUGAUCAUCGUACACUACACAUUUUAGUGAAUCAAAUUUGGCCAAUAAACCAAACCGAACUAAACUAAACAUCACUCUAACUAGAAAUUUUAUUAGGAAAUAUUCUUCUCUACAGCAGUUCAUCAAUCAAAUGUUCGAUUCUAGCAUAUUCUAAGUAUCAAGAACACAUCUAAGUCUUGUCCAACACGUAGCAUAAUCUGUUUAGCAUUUUGCUUUCCUUUUAUCCGUACAUUAAUAUAUAACUAUGCAACUAAAUUAUACACAUAACUCCAAGUUAAUGUACCAUUGUCUAAAGUAAAAAUUGAAAUUUUUUUACCAGAUUAUAGUAAGCAGCCUCUUACCUGUACAACCUCCUCCGACAACGAUACACACCGCGGCGUGUGCUGGUCGCGUGGCAGGAUCCUGAUGUGCGUUUUGGUCUCGGCCCUCAUCUGCUCAAUGAUCUUGCCACCCUUACCAAGGAGGCACCCAACAUGGAGGCGCGGCACGAUGAGGCGCGUGGUCACCUUGCCUCGGUCCCUGGCAUCCUUGGCCCUGGGCCCAUACUCGCCAUCCUCAUCGCCGUCGUCUGGUUCCGUCUCCAGGAUCCGCCGGUGCACCAUGAGGAGCGCCUCCUGCGCCGGCGAGAACGAGGGCGGCCGCCCAUCCGCCUCGCGGCGCGCGCCGUCGGACGUCUCGAUGACGCGGACCGCGUCGCCAGGGUAGGGCAGGUGGAUGGUGACGACCGCGUUGGUGUCGUCCCGCACCUUGGCGAUGAAGCUGGGCGGGAAGCCGUAGACCUUGGACUGCGGGCACAGGAUGCGGAAGGAGGUGGUCAUGCCGGGCCCCCCGCCCCCCGCCGCCGCGGAGGAAGGCGGCGGGGGUGGGGGCGGGGGCGGGGCGGCGUCGGGUGGCAGCUGGAAGCCGCCACGGCGGUCGCCGCCGCCGCCACCGGGGGGGCCGCGGCGGUGGUAGCUGUUGUUAGGGUUGGGGCCGCCGCGGCGGUCGAAGCGUGGCUUGGAGCGGGGCGGCGGCGAGUCCUGGUCGUAGUGGUAGCCGCGCUUGGAGGAGCGCGGGCGAUCCAUUGCCGGAUUCGAGGGCUCCCCACCCUCGUCCUCGAAUUCGUUCGAUUUUGGUUUGAUUGCUCGGUUCGGAUUAGGGUUUAGAGCGACAAGGGGGAGGGCGCCAUGGAUCGGAGAGUGAGGAGGUGAGCGUGUGUGCUCACUGCUCUAGGUAGGCCACCAACACCUUCUCAGACUCAAAAAGUGUGCGGUACGUGUCAAAGGAGGGAUUUGUAGCAGCCCAAUUUUGUUCUCUCAGAUUCAUCUCAUUUGUGUUGAUUUUUGUAUGUGCAGUAGAUUAUUAUUAUAAUAGGGUUUAUAAUAAUAAGUCAUAAUUUAUAAACUAUUUUACGUGUGUCUUACGCUAUAGGUUUAACCAAACAUUAUUACAUUUAUGGUAAUUAAUUGUUAGCCACGUCUUUUAUAAAAUUGGUAGUGAUAAGGUUAGUCGUCAUCAAUUAAGUUAUCUUUACUUACUAGGGUGGUGUUUGGUUAGAUCAAGGUAACGCUAAUGUUAAUGGGAGUGGUUCCGUCCGUAAUCGAUACCAUUGUAACAGAUAAGUACUUUGUUUGGUUUGUUGCGGUAACACAUCCGGAGUCACUCACGCUGUUUGGAUGCGCGGCUGCACGCUAGCCGCUAGGUAAUAGAUUCAGUGAGCUGCUAGUUGAAGCUGAGACGGACACAAGAAGCAAAUACAAAGCAAAUGCAUGCAACGAGCAGAGUUUUGACAGAUAGUUCAUAAUAUGCAAAACACCGUCACCUCAUGUUUGGAUACAAAUUUUGACAGUGAGAACUCGAGACAAAAAGACAUAUUCUGCAGAAUUUAAUCAGUGAUAUACUUUUAAGAGUAAAGUCCAUCACCGGUCCCUAAACUUGUACCGCUGUGUCAUCCUGGUCCCUAAACUCGCAAAUCGACCGUUCAGGUCCUCAAACUUGUUUAACUAUAUCAUCCCGGCCUCUAAACUUGCAGAUCACUUGUUUAGGUCCUCCAACUUGUUUACUUGUGUCACCCCGGUCCCUAAACAAGACAGUCUAAAAACUUUAUAUCAAAAAAUAAUUUAUAACUUUUUCAUGUGAAUUCUAAUGAAGACAAACUUUAUAUCAAAAUUGUAGCCUUCGACGCGACUUACAACUUUGUAGUUGAAAAGUUUUUGAAUUAAAACUGUUUAGGUCCCAAAAUAUUGUUGCAUGUUUAUAUAUUUUGAAAUUUUAAUUUUAAAAUUACAUUUUGGGACAAAAAAUGACUUAAAAUAAAAAAAACUCAACUACAAAGUUGUAGAUCGCGUCGAGGGCUACAAGUUUGAUAUAAAGUUUGUCUUUAUUAGAGUUCACAUGAAAAAUUUAUGAAUUAUUUUUAAAUAUAAAGUCUCUAGACUGUCUUAUUUGACCCAGAUGAUAUUCAAAUCUAAGUUUAGGGACCGGGGUGACACAACUGAAUAAGCUGGAGGAUCUAAACGAGUGAUGUGCAAGUUUAGGGACCGGGGUGACACAGUUGAACAAGUUUGAGGACCUGAACGGUCGAUUUGCGAGUUUAGGGACCGGGAUGACACAACGGUACAAGUUUAGGGACCGGUGAUGGACUUUACUCUACUUUCAAAAUUUAAUCAACAAAGGAGUGGAUGAAAAGUUGAUCCAUGCUGGAAGUGAUAACUUCAGAAGUUCAAUGAACCAAACAACAAGAGGAUACAUUGUGAUCUGUCUAAAUAAAGUACUGAGGAAAUAUAUGGAUGAAACUACCAGAUUAAACAAUAAGCUAGGGGCAAUACUUCUAUCUGAAAACAGGACAGUACUUUGAUCACAGAAUAUGUAGACUGUCAUGGUUCAAGCAAAUAAAGCUGAAGCACUGAAACUAAACAUCCUUAGGACAUAGGUAGUCUCUAAUCCCCAAGGCAUACGCUUAUAUGGAAUUCUAAUAAUUAAAGAACAGAUAAUGAACAUCUUGUAUAUCCUGCUUGACAGCCAGCACAUCAGUACAUCAAUUUUUCUUUGCCUCAUCUGAUAACAAAAAAUUUCAGAAAUUAGUGAAAGAAACAUUAGGUGAAAGAAUAUAUAUAGUGCUCAGCAUCAUACCAAAUUAAGAAUAUUCUUGCUCAUACAAGCCAUAUAUGAUAUUCAGAAAUAGGUAGCAUUUUUUAACUUUAGGAGUACAAAAACUCCCUGUUAGGUGUAUGCAAGUAAGCAAGACCAAGCACAUACUCCAGUUAGAAGUGAAUAUGAUAUUACUAUAGCAUUGAGAUGGACAGCUGGGCCCAUUGAUGCAUUAUACUAGUGCAAGGCAAAUAAUAUGAAUGCAUAUAUGAAAUGCUAAGUGGUAAAGAGCAAUAUGCUUACAAUUAAUGAUCUCAAAAUAAAUAUGUUGCCUGUUGCAGUUGCAACGCUACAAGAGUGAUCAAGUGAAUUACCAGCAAGUAUUUUUAGCACGUACUCCCUCCUGAGAGACUCUGAAAGAGCGACAAGCAUACUCAUUUGAGCCGGCACUUUUACAAAAGCAGCUGCAACAUUGACAACUUCAAUACCAGUCAAUCCAAGCUUUUGACACUCAAGAAUAGCUUCGUUGUGAAAUUUUUGUAGUUGGUCCUCCUCAGCCAUUGCUUCUCCGCGUUUUGGUACUUAAGGGAAGGCGAGCCAUAGCACUCUACAAAUACAUAAAACAAAAGCAUUAACCCUAUGUCCAGAAUAUAUCCUGCUAGCAUGCAUAAUACAUCAAGCUACCAUUCAAACAAAAGACAGUACAAAUUUAUUUUUGUUGCUAAACAUAAGUAAUUCACCAGAACACAAUAUCAAGCAUCCAUUCAAGGAGCAUAUUUACAUGUAUGUGCUGUUUUACUAGAACAUAUUUAACUACUGGAAUAUAUUCUGUCAAACAGGCAAUACGCAAAACUUUUUUCCCCAAUCUGAUAUUGUGCAAAAUAAUAUAUCACCUGGCAGUAAUAAAAAUCAAAAUUCUCAAAAUCUAGAUAGUAAAAUGAGUUGGUCCAACUUCCCUACACUCAAAAAAAAAAGAACCAUGUACUGAUGUUCAACUUUCAUGCAAUCGAGGCAAAUAGAUUCUACAUAACCCAUGUGAGGCAAACAGAUAUGAGGCAGGAACACAUGUGAUUUACUUGUAUAAACUACUACAUGAUUUUUUAGAAGACUAUUACAAGAUCAUCACUCACCAGCAUCACAAGUAUAUCACCAUAAAAUAAGGUGGUUUCAGUAGGGGGAGGGUUCUCACUGGCGAGGUGAUCGUUCGACAGCGGCAACGACGAAAGACGAAUGUAGUUGAUGGCAGCAGAAUCUCCGACUAGCCUCCUGCUGCACGUCCUUGCCCUUCCCGUCAAGAUCCAUUUUCCAUGGAGUUCUUCCCGUCAAGAUCCAAUCGCCAAGAAGGUGGAACUCCGGGGAGGUGGCAACGCACGUUGGACGGGGCAGGAGGGACUCUGGAGGCGGAACUCCUGGAUGUGGGGAGCACCGACGCGCCGGCUUGGCCAAGCGGUGGUGGAGGAGCGCACGAGACGGGGGAGCAGUGGAGCGUGCAGUGGGAGGGGGCGGCGCUGGCGACGGGCGCGGGGCGAGGGGGCGACGUCGGCAACAGACGCGGGGUGUUGGGGCGGCGCCGGCGACGCGUGCGCUGCGAGGGAGUAGUGGCGGUGGCGCUCGAUUUGGCGGUGCUAGGUCACGCUCUCCUCUCCAUAUCGGUAUCACAUUCCGCCCGUCUAGGAGCGUAAUCAGAUUUGUAUUGGGCCGGAAUUCGUUUACGGGCUAUCCGAUUACGGUCCAUCUGAAACAAACGAGUGUAACGAGAUCUAUUCACGGUGGGAACUGAUACGGGCCAAAAACGACCCAACCAAACAGCUCCUAGGUACUUGUGUAAAUACCGAAGAUUUUGUCGCUCCUUCAAUUUUCAUUUAUGUGUUUUUUUUGUUUUGAUUUAAUUUUAUGCAAGUCUUUUACAUGGUCCUCUAUUUGAUUAGAAAUAUUUGACAUUUAUGAUCAUCAAUGUUAUAUUUAAAAGUUUAUAAAAUCUAUUAGGUUCAAAAUACUAUGAUAGUACUUUCGAGGAAAAAUCUAAAGUACUUUUUUUUAAAAAACUAAGCAUUAUAGAAAUUAUUUACAGUCGGAGUUUUCAAAAAUUUAAUCAAAUUUUAUCAUAAACGUCAAAUUUUAUGAUCAAAGAGAAAAUCAAGCAAGUAGCAGGCAUUCAAUAGAGCAAAGCUUACAAACAAAAGGAUAUUUUUUGUACAUCCUUUUGAUUUCAAACUACAGAUGGUAGUGGUGCUGCACGGAAUAGGCUUAUUAUUCACUAAAUAUAUUGCCUAUUUUUCCAACCUCGCAUAGGGUAAUUCAUAGCAAAUCGUAAUAGUAAGUUGCACUAGGUUAUCUUAAUUUUAUAUAAGUUCCAUAAAGGGAGUAAAUAGGCUAUUGGUGAUGGGCAUUCCAUUAGCACAUAUUUCUUGGGAAAUAAAAGUACUUGCGGGUGAAAAAAUCAGUUAAAAAAAUGCAUGUCAGUCGUGAUAAAAAGAUCUUUUGUGUGAUUGAUGGAAAGCACAAAUUGCUAAGGAGUAGGAUACUAUGCGCAAUGAUGCUACACUAUUAAAGUCGGUAGCCAAGGGUCUCUUAUUCCACUAUAAGUGGCAUUGUUCCAUUAGAAUUCUAGCUAAAAAAUCUAUAUAGUUUAACGCUAGUCAAUAAUAAAGGGGAGUUGGGGAUUUGUCCCAUCACCUUAUUUCUCAUUAUUUAUUUAUUUUUAUAUUUAUCUUUUUCUUAACAAAUUUACUGUUGUGUGUCUUAUGACAGAAACCGGAGAUGUAAUCCAUUUCCAUUAUCUAAAAAAACACCAAAUAUAUGUAUAUGUGAACUAGCAAAAAAAACAUGUUUAAUAUAACACAGAGAGAGGAAUCGCAACCUAUUUUUAUUAAUUUUAUAACUUAAGUUAGUAGGCAUGUUGAAUUUGGUUGGUUGGUUGCAUAUCGACAUGAUGAUAUUGAUGACUAGUGCAUCAAUAAUAUAGUAGGUGAUGAAUAAAGGUGGUAAAAAAAACAUCUACCGACUUAUUCUUAUAGGUACGUGCAACACGCAAGUAGAUAUCGCUGGAUAUUUGAUGAUGAUAUAAUAUUUUGUAUGUGCUAUUCUAUAAGGACGAGAAAGACUGGUUUGGCUCGAGUAGAGUUGGAUAUUAAUUCAUUUAGCCAAUUCAUAUAUUAACAUUAACAGAUUUCAAGGCUCUAAAUGGGUUAAACAAUGUCUAACAAUUAAAAGCUUAGGUUAAUUAGCUACAACUAGCAAGUUGAACAAUUAUUGUUUGGUUGUGGCUAUGUAUAACUUUUCCAAUUUAGCUCUUAGGAUCAAUUUGUUUGUGCUAUUUGGAAUCUACUACUUUGUUUACUGUGAUUUGUGAACAUGCCUCCUGAUAUGCUAAACAACGCUUUUCUUAAAAAAAUAUAUAUCAAAAUUUAUUUGAAAAUCAAAUUAAUGUAUUUUAAAAUUGAUAAUAAUUAAUACUUAAUUAAUCAUGUAUUAAUUACUGGCCGUGUUUUCUAUGUCACAGUUUUGUUUAGCCGGACAUCUUAGAUCGAACCAGACCUUAGUCUUAGCUUUGCCACCUAGUUCCCUAGGUUAGUUGGUUAAGCGGUCGCUCCUGACUACGUCUCGGGGUAAACUACUUCUCAACCUUACCUCCAUUCAAAAGUCCUAAAAUAUAGUAGUACUCCCUUCCCUCCGUUUCAUAUUAUAAGACUUUCUAGCAUUACCCAUAUUCAUAUAGAUGUUGUCUAGAUUCAUUAACAUCUAUAUGAAUAUGGGUAAUGCUAGAAAGUCUUAUAAUAUGAAAUGGAGUCUAGAUUCAUUAAUAUCUAUAUUAAUGUGGGCAAUGCUAGAAAGUCUUAUAAUAUGAAACGGAGGAAGUAACUUUUAACUCUAAAUCUGGAUUUGCACUUGUUCAGAUUCAUAACUAAAAAUGUUAUAUUCUUGGAUGGAGGUAGUGCUAGAGAAGCCAAACCAACAAUUUCGGUUUAGAUUGAAUGCUUUAAACCAUGACUCAGACCAAUUACAAACGAUUUAGGCCCUUUUUAGUUUAGGGGUGAAAUUUUUGGCGUAUUACAUCGGAUAUACGGACACACAUUUGAAUUAUUAAACAUAGUCUAAUAACAAAACAAAUCAUAGAUUCUACAUGUAAACUGCGAGAUGAAAUUAUUAAACCUAAUUAAUCCGUCAUUAGCAAAUGUUUACUGUAGCACCACAUUAUCAAAUCAUGACGUAGUUAGGCUUAAAAAAUUUGUCUCGCAAUUUACACGCAAUUUGUGUAAUUAGUUUUUUUUGUCUAUAUUUAAUACUCCAUACAUGCGUCCAAAUAUUCGAUAUGACAUGGUGAAAUAUUUUUGCGUGGGAACUAAACAUGACCUUACUUCCUUGUUCCAAAACAACAAAAGCUAUAAUGGGUUGGAGAUACGAAGUAUCACGCUAUAACAAUUUUGAAUAAGGAUAUGUCACAUCUAGAUUGAGUUAUUUUAGUAUAGAUGGAGUAAUUGCUAAUAUCAUGAGAUAUUAUUGACCGUGAUGAAUGUUGAGGAUAAGAACAAUUCUUCCGAUCAAUAAUAUUUGAUGUUGAGUAAUAUUAAAAUAGUGAUAAGUAGACCAAAUAUUCUUAAGGCUCAUUUGAAUUGCAAAAAUGAAAAAACGGAGGAAUAGGAAAAACAUAUGAUUCUAACAUGAAUGAAAGUGUAAAACAGAGAAUUGUAAAAUAACGGGAAAAACACAGGAAUAACCGUUUGAUUGGACCAUAGAAAAAAUACAGGAACCAGAUGAGAGAGAUAGAUUCGAAGGAAAUUUUCCAAGAGGUUUAAGCUCUCGCUAAGUUUUCUAUGAAAUCUCUGUAGGAUUGUCUAUCCCAUAGGAAUUUUAAAGAAUUGAAUAUAAUUCAAUCAUUUGAUUUAAAGACAUUUAUAAAUUUUUUUUCUAUAAGAUUAAAAUUCUCUAUAAUUUUUAUGUUUUUCUCCAAAUCAAAAGAAGGAUAUUGCUUUGCCUUUCAUAGAAUGGAAAAGUGGAAUCCUGACUAGUGGAGUCGACAGUUGCGCUGCUGCUGCUGCCGCCGCCGCCUGCUGGCCGAUCCGAAGAGCAUUAAAAAAUACAGCGGGCGGAGAUGCUGGUUUCUCCCUCCUCCGUGCGUGCCCUCGCCUUCCUCCAUCGCCGCUUCCCUCCCCCUCCCCCUCCCCCUCGCCCCCACCUCCUCCAGCCCCCCACCCACCCUGCUCCCCCGCGCUCUGCCAUGGCCUUCUCCGCGGAGCCGGCGGCCGAAGAGGCUGAGGAGGAGGCCCUCCCGCCCGUCACCGGCCCCGGCGAGGUCACCGCGGAGGAGUGGAGGCGGUGGGGCACCUCCUCGCCGCUCCCGGCCGCGGUGGCCGCCGUCGUCGGCGAGCUUCUCGAGAUGGAGGCCGAGGCUGGCCAGAAGAUGCGCUUCGGCGGCGUCGGCUCCAAGAUUAAGGUAAACGGCUUGUUGGCUUCAUCUCAAUCCCCUUCCACGUCCUGGAUGCUGCUUGCAGAUUCCCGAGGUGAUACAGCAUUGCAGGAAUUGAAACUGAUAUCGGCUCAUGGUUUGCUUGUUUCUUGAACUGGUUACUCAUAGGGUGAUUUCAAAGACAUGGAGGACAAGAAGCACAGGGCUGUCUACCAGACGCUCGCCGACUCGGACAAGAAGCUGCAGUACUUCUCCGCGCGGCAGAUUGCUUGCCGCUUGCUAGGGAGUAGAGGAUAUCUGUGCCAGAAGGUGAUGUGACAGUGUCAGCUAGUAUAUGCACAUCUUGUCAAUCACUUCUUUUUGCAGCGAUCAUACACAAUGCAGCAAUCAGGCCUUAAUGGUUUAUUCAACUGAAGCUUAUUUUUGCUACUAACAUUUAUGUGCCCUUUCUUUGCUCUUCUUCAUUUCCCACAGUUUGCCUGAUCUGCCUACCUCUUAAAACUACAGUGUUGGCUGCCAAUGGAAGAUUGUAUGUGUGCGAAGCUUGGUUCUUGCAAUCUAUGGCAGGGAAUUAGAUUCUGGCUAUAUAUGCAUCCGAAGGUCUCUUCAAAGGGGUUUAUGUUGAAUUUCUUGUUCUGUUCUUUCUUCUGGGUAUGCCAGUAUCUCUAAUACUCUAUUGUUGCAGGACUUUUUGCGCCAAAACAAUACCGGAAAGUUACUAUGGCAAGUAUUUGGCAUCCAAGCUGCACCCUUGUGUCUCUUUGGCAUCCAAGAGCACGAAGACAUUAUGUGGGAUGCUUUCCAGCGUUCAGGUUGUUACAAAAGUCAAUGCCAACUUUCAUCUGUUAAACAUAUGAAAUCAGUUACAUUAAAAAAGUAUACUAAUGCUUUCAGGAGCUCCCAUUUUCUGUAUAGUAGUUUACAUUAGCUUCACUUAGCAUGCUUGUUCAACGUUUUUUUUCUCUUAAGCUUCUUUGGCGCACACAAUCUCUCCCGAUGUGUUUAAAGUUUAAGCUCUUGUUUAUGAUCUGGAAACAUAACUGGCCUUUAGACUCUCAACUGCUGUUAAGUAUUCUUCUUGGAAGGGGCAGGGAAUUAGUGCGAACUACACAAAUUAUGCUAGUGAUUACACUGCAACAUACCUUUCUUUAGAAAUGCAAAUGCUUAGUAAAAGAUUAUAUUUGCUCGUUUGGAAUUCUCUGUGCUAGUGUCUAGAUAAGUGUAUUCCUGUCCCAACCCUCUUCACAUAUUGAGUGGCAUUUUUAAUUUAGAAGGAGCUUAAAAAUGUCCACAUUUACUGACAAUCUAAUGACCAGGGGAUCUUUUCUUUGUUAUUUCAUCAAUGCAUUGCUAGUACUGAAAAUAUUUGCAUUAUCGAUGUUCCUUUUCUGUUUGCAUUCUAUCCUUCUAUUUUAAUCAUUGCAUAAAUGAAUAUACUGUUGCAUAUUGGAAGUUGUCUUCGUGGCUGCUGUUUUGAACCUGUUGGCGCAUUGAACAACUAGGGUAGUGUUUCACAGAAACAAAUCCAAACCAGAAGUAAAAAUGUAUGAACUAGUAAUAGAAAUAAGAUUUGAAUUAAUUUUCUUGUGGCCCAUGGAAGAUUAUUUCAUUAAUUUGUCGUCUAAUAUCUCUACUCUCCCUGCUAUAUUUAGCAAGGAUAUAUGUAUCUGUGCACUUCAUGUUUAAAUACUGUAUAUUUCCAUUCUGAUAUGGUUUUUGCCAGGAAAGGGAAAGGUUUCAUUUCUAUAUCCGAAUAAGAGUACAACCCCCAUGUCUGUCAAAGAUCUUAAAUUUGAUGGUUUGAACUUGAGUUGUGAUCAUCCGGAGGAGGUAUUUAUUCUGUUCUUUAAGCUGUGUAUUAAUAAGUUGCACUGUUGCACACCCUGUUAGAAUUUCAAUGGUUACUCUCAUUGAGAAGAGGAUGGCACUCGAGAUGGGGCAAUUUUCUGGUUUUCUUCAUUCACAAAACACAAAAGCCAUACCUACCCGAGGGAGGUUGGAUACAUAUAUAUAGCCAUAGCUGGCUGCUAGCCUAUUGCUGCACCCUCCUAGUCUAAAAUUCGAAAUUUGAAUGGGAUGCUGUCCUAGAGGGCAUCCAAACUGAAUAAAGCAUAAAAGAGGCAUAAAGGAGAUGCUAACUGCUGCUGUCCUACUAACCGCAGCUGUCCUAGCAACUGAAAAAUAUGCUAAAGGGUAGAUGCUGUCCUGAAAAAGGUGAAACUACCCAAAAGCAAAAAGAAGAAUCACAACCAAGGACCACAAAGACUUUUCCAACAUUCUCCCCCUAAGUCUUGUGCGUCGUCUUGUGGGGAAGUUGGGCCAUCCCGAUCCUGGAGUAGAGCUCGAGGAACUUGAUCCUCCCAAGAGGCUUGGUGAGCAAGUCCGCAAGCUGGUCCUUGGUGUUGAUGUAGCUCGCCUUGAUGCUCCCUUCCUCCAAGUAGCUUUGGAUGAAGUGGUACCUCACCCGGAUGUGCUUGCUCCGUUCGUGAAAAACGGGGUUCUUUGCCAGGGCCAGAGCGGACUUGCUAUCCACCCUGAGCUCCACCGUUCCAGUGUCUCUGCCGAGGAGAACACUAAGCAGUCGAGCAAGCUAGAGCGCCUGGGUCGAAGCGGCGGAGGCCGCCAUGUACUCGGCCUCGCAACUGGACAGGGCCACCACCUGCUGCUUGACUGACUGCCAGCUAACGAGGCACUUGCCGAGGAAGAAGAGAAUCCCGCUCGUGCUCUUGCUGGUGUCGAUGUCGCCGGCGUGGUCGCUGUCGCUGUACCCGACGAAGUGUGCCUUGCCAGGACACCUCGGGUAGUAGAGACCGUGGUCGAGAGUCCCCGCAACGUAGCGGAUGAUCCUCUUCACAGCCUGCUGGUGCUCCGUCGUCGGUCGCUGCAUGAACCGAUUGACGUAGCCGACGGAGAAGGCCAAGUCCGGCCGUGUGUGGGUGAGGUAGCGAAGGCUCCCCACAAGACGCCGGUACUGUGUAGCAUCCACCUCCUCCGCCGUGCUGUCGCGGCUCAGCUUCAGUCUCUCCUCCAUCGGAGUGAGAGCUGGGUUGCAAUCGGUGAGCCCAGGCAGCUCAACGACGCGCUUGGCGUAGGCGGUCUGUCGAAGCGUGAUCCCGGAGUCGUCCUGGUGCACUUCGAUCCCCAGGUAGAAGGAGAGAGGCCCCAGAUCACUCAUCUGGAAGGUGGCCUUCAUCUCCUCACUUGAACGCCGCGACCUCCGCAUCCUUGGUGCCGGUGAUCACCAAGUCGUCGACGUAGACACCCACCAGCAAGGCAUUUCCUCCAUUGCCCCGCCAGUAGAUGGCCGCCUCGUGCGGGCUUUGCUCGAAGCCAUCCCCUUGAGCGUGGAAUCCAACUUGGCAUUCCACGCCCUCGGUGCCUGCCGCAAGCCGUAGAGGGCCUUGUGCAGGCGUAGCACCUUGCCCUCCUUGCCGGGGAUCACAAAUCCCGGCGGCUGGUGCACGUAGACCUCCUCCUUCAAGUCGCCGUUCAGAAACGCCGACUUGACGUCCAUGUGAUGGACGCCCCAGCCUUCCUGAGCAGCCAGCGCAAGAAGGAGUCGCACGGACUCCAUCCGUGCCACGGGAGCGAAGGCAUCAUCGUAGUCGAUCCCCUCCUGCUGCACGAAACCGCGUGCCACCAAGCGAGCCUUGUGCUUGACGAUGGCUCCGGCUUCAUCCCUCUUCAGCUUGAACACCCACUUAAGGGUGAUCGCUCGGUGACCACGAGGGAGGUCAGCAAGCUCCCAGGUGCGGUUCUCCUGAACCGCGUCCAUCUCCGACUGCAUCGCGGCACGCCAUGCCGCGUGUUUCUCGGCCUCUGCAAAAGACCGAGGCUCACCGUCGUCGCACGCAAGGUGCAACUGCGCCUCUAGGUCGCGAGGCACCAGUCCUGGCACCGGUUGGUCGCCGAGAAGAUCCUCCAUCGUACGGUACCGUAGCUGCUCGCCGUCGUGGUACGCGUCGAUGCGCUCCCUGUCGUGGGAGAGCGGAGUAGCGAACUCCACUGGGCUGCGCUCAACACGAGCUGGCGUCGGAGUAGACGUGCUUGGAGGAGUGGCUGUUGGUGCUGGAGCAUGUGGAGUCACUGGCUGGGGUGGUGUCGACGAAGAGCUCGUCGUAGUCGAAGUCGUGGCCCGAGGGUGUGUUGGUGUCGGAGUCGGUGGAGAUUCGAGGGCUGGGGUAGACACGCUCGGUGAAGAAGAGCUGCCUACUCCCCCAGCUCCCUCGAAGUGGAUGUACUCGACGGUGAAGUCGUCGUACGUCGGAGUCGAACCAUCGUCCACCGCCUUGUCCCAUACCCACCCUCGCCCUUCGUCGAACACAACGUCGCGUGCAGUGCGCACACGCUGUGUCUCCGGGGUCGAGGAUACGGUAGGCCUUCGAGCCCUCCGCGUAGCCGAUGAACACCCCUGGGGUGCUCCUGUCGUCGAGCUUGCCGAUGUGGCCAAGCUCCUUGGCGAACGCGAGGCAGCCGAAGACCCGCAGAUGGGAGACCGCCGGCUUGCGCCCAUGCCAAGCCUCGUACGGUGUCCUGCCAUCGAGGGCCUUGGUAGGCGAGCGGUUGAGGAUGUAGGCUGCCGUCACCACCGCCUCCCCCCAGAAGAUGGCCGGCAUCCCCCUCUGCUUGAGGAGGGCCCGAGCCAUCCCCACAACCGUCUGGUUGCGCCGCUCGACAACGCCGUUCUGCUGCGGGCUGUACGGCGUGGUGUAGUGGCGCUGAAUGCCCUCAUCAGCGCAGUACGACGCGAAUUCAGCCGCUGUGAAUUCGCCGCCGUUGUCGGUGCGCAGCACGCGCAGCUUGCGGCCGCACUCCGCCUCUGCAGCAGCCUGCGCAUGCCUGAUGGCGUCCGCAGCCUCUCCCUUGCUGCCGAGGACCAUCACCCACAUGUAGCGGGAGAGGUCGUCGACGAGCAGCAGGAAGUAACGUCGUCCUCCUGGUGUGGCCGGUGUCACUGGGCCACACAAGUCCCCGUGCACGAGCUCGAGCCACUCCUUGGCUCGGAAGCUCGUCUGCUGGGGAAAGGGGAGCCGCCGCUGCUUCGUCACCACGCAAACGUCGCAGAGCUGCUCCACGUGGUCAAGGCACGGCAUGCCUCGCACCAUCUCCUUGGCACUGAGCUGCUUCAGGGCCUCGAAGUGGAGGUGCCCGAAGCGCUCGUGCCACUGCCACGCCUCGUCGUCCCGACGAGCGGCGAGGCAAACUGGUUGUGCGACCUGCGCGCUGAGGAUGUAGAGUCGAUUAGUGCCUCUGGUUACCUUGGCAAGAAGGCGACGACGGCGAUCCCAAAUCCUCAUGAGUCCGUCCUCGACCAACACGCGUGAGCCGUUCUCAUCCAGCUGUCCCACGCUGAUGAUAGAAUUCCUCAAUGCGGGGAUGUAGUAGAUUCCGGUGAGCAGCCUGUGCUCACCGGACUUGGCGGUGAAGGUGACGGAGCCAACACCCUUGAUCUCCACGCCGGAGGCGUCCCCGAACUUGACGGAGCCUCGGACGCCGGAGUCGAACUCGGUGAAGAACUCCCGUCGGCUGGUCAUGUGAUGGGUGGCGCCGGUGUCGAGGUACCACUCAUCAGCCUUGUCGUUGCUGGAGCCGUUGCAGAGGGAGACGAGUACCUUCGGCUCAUCAAGGUGGAGGAAAGCCGCUGCGGCCGGUGCCGCUGGAGGUAGCUCGAUGCUUGCGUGAGCCAGGAGCAGAGCCGGCUCUUCCUCUUCCACCUGUGCGACGUGGGCCUGGCCGCGUCGUGGCUGUCGAUAGUCUUUGGCCCAAUGGCCAAGCUUGCCACAGUUGCGGCAGGCGUCGUCUCGUGCCUGCUUGUGGUUGCCGGUGGCAACGCCCUGGGCGCCUCUGCGGGCGCCACCCUCGGCACGUCUUCGCGCCCACCGUAGCUGGACACCUCCCCGCGCCUUGCGCGGCUUACGGCCGCCUGUCGGGGAAGAUGACUCCCUCUUCCUCCCGUCACCCUGAGAGGCCUCCCACUGCUCCCGAGUGAGAUGGAGCUUCCCGCCGAUGGUGAUGGGCCCCGAGAGAGGCUGUGGCUCAUCACCAUCGACGACCUUGAGGCGACCUAACGCCUCCUCGAUCGACAUUGUGGAGAGGUCCAGCAGAGAUUCGAUCGAGCGAGCGAUCUGCCUGUACUUCUCAGGGACGCAGCGGAAGAGCUUCUCGACAGCUCUCUCCUCGUCGUAGGUGUCGUCGCCGUACUGCACCAUUUUCUGCAAGAGAGUGUUGAGACGGAGAGCAAAGUCAUCAACAUCCUCACCUGGCUUGAAGGCCAGGUUCUCCCACUCCUUGCGGAGUGCCUGCAGUGUGGACUUGCGGGCGCGGUCGCUGUCGAUGCGUGCCGUAGUGAUGGCGUCCCAGGCCUCCUUGGCAGUCCGCUUCUGGGAAAGCGAGAACUGCAUCUCGGGCGGGACUGCAGCGAUGAGGGCAUCCAGUGCCUGCCGAUCCUCGUCGUAGUCGACGUCGCCGUACCGGACUGCCUCCCACAUGUGCCGCACCUGGAGCCUCACCCUCAUCACCGCGGCCCACUCGAUGUAGUUGGUUUUGGUGAGGGUAGGCCACCCACCGCCGGGACCAAAGUCCCUGACCACCGUCUGGACGCCGUGGUGACCAUGGCGCCGGUCAGGGGAGAGCCGCGCUGUCUGUGAGGGCCACGUGUGGGCUCCGGGCUGCCGCCGGCACGCCCGCGCCCGUCUGGGUUCCCGUCGGCGGGCGCGCGGUCCCUUGGGCCGCCGCCACCGCCGUGGAGGUGGGCUGCUGCCCACCGCUCUGCCCGCUCCCGUGCCCUUCCUCUUGCCAGCUCCUCAAGCUCCCUGUCGGCGGUGAUGUCGCCGGCGAUGGAGCCGUUGAUGCUGCUGCGCAAGGUCUCAACCUCUACCUCCGCCGCACGUGCCGCAUCUUCCGCCGCCUCCGCCUCCGCCUCCGCCCUGGCUGCUGCCAACUCCGCUGCCGCCAGUCUGGCCGCCCUCGCUGCUGCUGCAGCGGUCUGAGCCGUUGCUCGCCUGCGCUCUUCUGCUGCGGCGAGCUCGGCGUCCUGCUGACGCUGAGUGCUCGAGGCGACCGAACGCCGAGACCGAGCGUCGGACAUGGCGCACCUCCGGGGGGCUGCUGCGUGGAGAGGGGGAAGGGAAAGGGGAAGGAGGAGCAACCGGUGCUGCUGCUGCUGCUGGCUGAGAGCUCAACCGAGCUUGGGAAGGGGUGGAACAAGAGAUGUUUAGCCUAUAGGAAAGUGUGGCUCUGAUACCAGAUGUUAGAAUUUCAAUGGUUACUCUCAUUGAGAAGAGGAUGGCACUCGAGAUGGGGCAAUUUUCUGGUUUUCUUCAUUCACAAAACACAAAAGCCAUACCUACCCGAGGGAGGUUGGAUACAUAUAUAUAGCCAUAGCUGGCUGCUAGCCUAUUGCUGCACCCUCCUAGUCUAAAAUUCGAAAUUUGAAUGGGAUGCUGUCCUAGAGGGCAUCCAAACUGAAUAAAGCAUAAAGGAGGCAUAAAGGAGAUACUAACUGCUGCUGUCCUACUAACCGCAGCUGUCCUAGCAACUGAAAAAUAUGCUAAAGGGUAGAUGCUGUCCUGAAAAAGGUGAAACUACCCAAAAGCAAAAAGAAGAAUCACGACCAAGGACCACAAAGACUUAUCCAACACACCUAUCUUUAGUAAAGUUUCUAUAGCAUAAACAAUGCUGCCUUCUUUGGAGGAUCUGUUUUUCCAAUCACCUCCUUUUAUCCAACAUGAUAAGUACUGAUGGUGUUUGGGGUAACUGGUUUCCCAUGCUAAUGCAGUUAGAACAAGUAUUUUCUUGUAGAAGUAACAUGGUACUUCCUCCAUGCUUUCUUACUUCUCAUUUUAAGACAUCAAUAAGAUAUCAAUUACCCACACCCAUUUGACCAUUCCUUUUUCUAGUUAUAAGUUCUCAAAGAUUACCUUUAUGAGACAUCUACACAAUGUCAUCUGCACAUGGCACAUCCAAAUAGGUUCGCUGCACACUCUAAAACAUCAUGUAAAUAAGUAUGGAUGAAAUAAUGAAAUAUCUUUUGCAAUGUAGGAUGUGAAAGAUGAACCUUUUAACUUUGUUUUGCUUGAUGGUACAUGGAGUAAUUCUGCUGCAUUAUACAGAAGGCUCAAGGUUAGUUCAGUGAGUUUCACAUUCAACGUAAUGCACUCCCUCUUUAGUCUGGAUUUCUGUUUACAUCUAAACAUUAUUUGUUCAUGUUAUCUUGAUACCAUGAUUCAGACUAGAUAGUUUACUAAAACAACUGAAAGCUCCAGUGAGCUCAUUGCGUAAUUAAAUUAUAGAUAAUUCCGAUUUCCAUAUAGGUAGUUGGGUGGGCUCAUUACCUAGUUAAGUAAGUAAUUCUGAUUUUUGUGUGUCUGGAAAGUAGCAACAUAUGUGUCUAGGUGCAUUUGUUCAGUGAUACAUGAUACAGACAUACAGUAUUGGAGCAUGAAGAAUCUGAGAGAUAGUAUGAUCUCCCAGAAACAGCCCAGUAGACCUGUAGACUGUAAAUGUUUCUGCUUCUCCUCCCAUCAGGAUUCCUAAGCUUUGUUAGCAGGAACCCCAAUGCCACUUCGACUGCUAAUCCACUUGGUCCAGUCAUUCCAGUCAUCUACCAUUUUCUGCCAAUCAAAUCCUGAUGGAUUGAAGAGCCAAGUGAUAACCAAGAGCUAUAUUGAUGAUGUCAGAAGUAUAUAGGCAGAUGAAUCCGUAGCAACAUCACCUUAAAACUGAUAGACUACUAGCAGCAACAUCAGCUCAAGUCCUUUCACAAAGUGGCUUCUGAAGUACAUUCUGUAUUUCUCAGUCAACCUUACAUGGCGAACAAAAAAACAUCUGCCAGUUGCUCUAUAUUUUGCACCACCAUGGAGAAUUGUGUGUCGAAAAUAAUGUGACUUGGUCCCAAGGUAGAAAGUGAAGAACACUGAACAGAGCUGAAGCGUCAUGAUUAUGAAAUCCCCCAGGGUGCUUCUGAAACCUCUUGCUAGUUCAGUCUUGGCUAAGGUCAUCAAAAGAUCUAGCUGCACAAUUGACUGAGAUCCCAUAGCUUCUUGAAUUGCACUAUUCCCCCUCAUCCAUGCUUGCUUCAUAAUUGAAAACUCAGUCCACUAUUAGCUAGGUAAAGUCUUCCAGAUUCAGGACUAUUUUUGAAGGAACUAAAAAUAAUGCUCCACCUGGAAUCUGAAGAGGCUUACUAGAUUAAAAAACCAUGUCAAGGAACGCUUGAUGCUACAUCAUGAUUCACGGAAAAAGAAAACAAAUAUAACAGGGAGUCAGCCAAAUCAUCCUUAUUUGAUAAGAUAAGGCAGAUGGUAUGAUCAAACUACCUGUUCUACAAAGUGUCUGCCCUCUAAGAGAAGCCCAAUGACGAAGCUGUAGGACGUUUUCCUCAUUUGCCCCGACUUCACUUCCUCUUUUGGAAUUAAUUCUUCCCAUGAAAUUAUUCCAUCCAUAGUCAUCAGGAAUCAUAAUUAAAGAAAGAGUGGAAAACUUGGUAACUUAAUAACAAAUAAUUGAAGCAUGAAGAUUGAAGGGAAACAAAACAGAAAGGAAACCUGGAAAGAGAUCUUUUGUAGAUAGAAUAUAAUUGUUCACCAUCUUCAUUCUCCAGAUCAAGAUCACUUUUGGAAUAUACUGUUUUUUCACUGUAGUAGGGAGUCAUAAUACUGCCAAGUACAUAGAGUGACACUGACACACAAUUAUGUGGGCUUCAAUCUUUUUUAUUGAAAUUCUUAUUAUAGUACACUUGAACAUAACAGGGUUAUGAGAUAUUACCAUGGUGAAUUAAUUUUUUUUAUCUUAUCAAAGAAUUCUUUCAAUUUCCGUAGAGAAUAGUAUCUGAUCCGAACAGAAGGGGCGGGAAACAACUGUAGCUCCCUGAUUCCAUACACAAGUUAGGCUGUGUUCUUCCCCAACCUUUCCCAACUCAACUCUCUCGUUUUCCGCGCACACGCUUCCCAAACUACUAAACGGUGCGUAUUUUGAAAAAAAAAAUUCUACAGGAAAGUUGCUUUAAAAAAUCAUAUUAAUCCAUUUUUCAAGUUUAUUUUAGCUAAUACUUAAUAAAUCAUGCACUGAUCGUCGCUCCGUUUUGCGUGUUGGGAGUGAAGGUUCCCAACCCUCGCUCCCGAACUCAGCCUUAGAGCCUUAUGAAAGAGGGAAGACUGUUAUUAAUAGCAACUUUUCUUCAGACAAAAAAAAACUGCUAUUUGAGGGAAUGCCGCAUGGGCCCUAUAACUUACUUUUCUAUUUCCAACCAAAGCUAGAAAAGCAGCGCAUCUAUCCCGAGUUUUCCUUUGUCUAUCCUGAGUUUUCGUGUCUAGCUUGCUUUCUCACUCCCCAUAACGGCGUUCAAAGAAAAUCUCAUUCUGAUCCUAUAACUUAUAACUAAGUAGUGUACUAAAGAGAAGACUAGGAUGAGUAAGCCCUUACCUCAAGUCUAUGUGUGGCAACUAGCUAUAUUACUAUUUAUUAGUCAGACUUUUUCUUGAUGGGCCUAUUGCCGCCUAUUUAGGAUAAUAAUAAAGUCUUCUACAAUUAUUGGCACAUUGGCAUAUAGUUACUCCUAUUAGUGAGAAUUGUAUUCGGAGGAGAGAACCUUGCGCUAAAAGGGCUUUGAUUUAUGGUAUAGAUUAGGAAUUGGAAUAAAUAAGGCUAACUACAAGAGAGAAGAGGGUCUACAGCCAUUCUAUGUCAACACUGAAGAAUAAGACAUCUAUCCUUACUCUUGCAUCAACAUAAGACAAUCUUCAAGGGAGGAGAGUAUAUUGAAUAUGAGGCUGCCCUUUGGCAAACUCAUAAUAAGGCUGAUGAAAGCGAAGCAGAAUUGAAAACAAAUAUGGUACUCCCUCUGUUUCAAAUUACUUGUUCUAUAUUUGUACUAAGUCAAACAUUUUAAUCUUUGACCAUCAAUUUCUAUAAACUCAUACUCCCUCCAUUCCAAAAUAUAAGGCACAACCACCAUUAACCCAAAGACCAAAAAAUAAUUAUUAUCAUCUUAUAGUUUAGAUCAUCCUAAUAAAUAUAAUGCAUGCAUCCGAUAGGAUUAGAUAACAUAGAGAGUGGAAUAUUUUAAAAAAGUAGUAAUUUAAUAGAGAUAUGUCAUAGUUAAUUGCAUGCUUGCAUGCAUGCCUUAUAUUAUGGAACAUCUAAGAAAAGUGGUUCUGCCUUAUAUUAUGGAAUGGAGGGAGUAUAGUUUAACAUUAUAAGAUUUAUAUUUUUAGAUUCACCAUGAGAAAUACUUCUAUAAUAUAUAAUUCACAUGUUAAACUACACAAUUUUCUAAAAAUUAAUGGUCAAAGAUAGACAUGUUUGACUUAGGACAAACCUUGAAACGACAAAUAAUUUGAAACGGAGGGAGUACGCUGUUGAUCCUUAUAGCACAUCUUGACUCUGACCAUCUCUAAGGUCAACCUUAUGGUUUGAUGGAAUAAGUCUUGUGGCUGAUUAGUCUUUGCAUCUUUUUACUUUUUCAGCUUUUAGGAUGCUCUAGGCAUAAUCUUCGUUUUCACUUUCUGUUUUAGAUGCUCUAGGACAGCAUCUUCCUUUUUCACUUUCUAGGACAGCAUCUAGACUAGCUCUAGGAUGCUCUAGACUAGCUGCAGCCAGCCAGCUACCAGCUAUAAAUAUGUAUCCCACCCUCCCCCGAGAUGGUAUGGCAUUCAUGAGAAAAUAAACAGAAAAUUGCCCCAACUCUCCUAGCGCCAUCCUCUCAAUGAGAGUAAAGAUUUUGCUACUAACAAGUGGUAUCAGAGCCAUUCUAUCCUGUAGCCUAGACAUCUCUUGCUCAUCCCCUUCUUGAGCUCCCCUCUGUCCUCAGCCGGCAGCAGGAACACCGACUGUUCCUGCUCAUCCCUUUUCCCCUGUGCUGACAAGCAGCAGCUCAUCAGAGGCAGCCUCUUCCCCACGUAGCAGCCUCCCAGUAGCGUGCCAUGUCCGUAGGACAGUCUCAGCGCUCGGUCGCCUCGAGCGCGCGGCUCCGGCAGGAGGCCGAGCUCGCCGCGGUAGGGGAACACGAGCGAGCGGCGGCAGAGACUUCUGCGAUGGUAGCGAGAGCAUCAAGGCUGGUGGCGGCGGAAUUGGCGGCGGCAAGGGUAGAAGUGGAAGCAGCGGCAGCGGCAGAUGCAGCGCGUGCGGCGGCGGCAGAGCUCAAGGCUUUGCGCGACAGUAGCACCAAUAGCUCUGUCUCCGCCUCCGACAACACCGAUGAUGAGCUGACGAGGGAGGCAGCUCGUGAGCGGGCGGAGCAGUGGGCAGCUGCGCAUGCAGGGCCGGCCCUGGCGGGGGGCGAGCGGUGCCGCCGAUCUGGGCCCCCAGAUUGCAGGGGCCCCCACCCACCUCCCCCACCCCCCUCCCUCCCGCGUCCCUGGGCCACAGAUCGAGCGCAUGCAUGCGCGGAAGCCGGAAAGCGAAGCGCCCCGCGGUGAAAAGAAAACAGAAACGCGCGUGAUAGCCGCCGCCCACAUCCCCUCCUCUACUCUUCACGCGCACGCGCUCAGCGAUCGGCGACCGGGCGAUGGCGAAUUGGCGAAAAGCCAAAAAUCAAAACUGCAUCGCGUGUCGCCGGCGGCCGGUGCCAACGUAAUUCACUCCAUGGCCAUCACCAGCUGCUCGGCACCGACGCAAUCUCCCUGGUUGCUGCUGCCAGCUGCUCAGCGACGACGCAAUCUACUGCGUCGCUGCUGCUCGGCAUCUCCUAAGCCUCCAUCGCCUGCCUUCCCCUCGGAAGGUUAGUAAUCAGCACACCAAUACACCAUCUCCGUAGCCCAAUUAUUAAUUUAAUUACUGCUGUCUAAUCUCUCGAUAUCAAAACAUAAACAUAUGUAGGUCAUCUCGACGCAUGGCGUCGCGGGCAUUAGCGCUUAAUUGUUUGUUUUGUAGUAGUAUGUUAAGGGCCCCAACAUUUAGUUUCGCACUGGGGCCCUGAAAACUCAGGACCGGCCCUGCGCGCAUGGAGAGAGAUGUAUGUGGCUCCUCACAUACAAACUGAAUCUGAGAGACGUGCUCAAUCAUCCGCAUCAGGUGAGGAGCAUAUGGAAGCCCCCUCCUGUACUGAAGAGAUGCCAUGCGGAUUUCCUCCCAAACAAAUUGAAAUACAUGAAAAGGGACGACAGGGAGGAUUGAACCUGAGGAGUACGGAGCGGGAGUAAUGGUUGAUGUUGUUUGCAUCACCAUCCUUGGGAGUCAGAGUCCGCCUCAAGAUGCGGUCAUGGCAUCUCUUCAGUACAGGAGGGGGCUUCCAUAUGCUCCUCACCUGAUGCGGAUGAUUGAGCACGUCUCUCAGAUUCAGUUUGUAUGUGAGGAGCCACAUACAUCUCUCUCCCUGCGCUUACCCAAGCGUUGUUCUGUGCCUCAGGACAUCCCCUCCACAUCCUCUCAGCCUCCUACUACCUCGUGAGCGUCCCUCUCUUGUGGCUCGUUGUGAGCAGUCUCCCUUAUUCCGCAUUUUGCUGAGUCUCUUUGGCCUUUGCUCUGCGGAGGCCAAAAAGAACCGCAGAGCGUGGAACGAGGUCAAGAAGACGGCUCGGCGCGUCAAGAACAUGUAGGCGCAGCUCAAUGAGCAUUUUCACGUGGAUGUCUCUCCCUCCCCUUCGGGCUUUGAGGCCGAGCCCGAUGAGCAUGGGUAGGAAGAGAUCGAGGAUCCUUUUGCUGGGAUGCCUCCGGAUUACGAUUUCUUCAAUUUUGGCCAUGGCUUUCGCUAUCCUCCUCUUGAGGAUCCUCCCAGGCGCCGUUUGUCUGAGUUUCUCUCUUCGUCCUCUCUUUUUGGUGCUUCGAUGCCAAAAAGGGAGAAUAUCUAUCCUUUUAUUAUGGUCGAUCAUAGUUGGUUUUUCUUUGUAUAAGACUAUGUGUGGUUCUUGAGUUAGUUUAAUGUUAUUGUAAGACCUUAUUGUUUAAUUAUGGAUGUUUGGAAUGUAAUGGAUAUUAUUAUGCUUUAUGAUUAAUGUGAUGCAAUGUCUCAUUUCCUUUAUAUUGUGCUUGUGAUGAGAUGUAAUGGUUAUUAUGCAUAUGAAGUGAUGUAUGUGAUGAGUAAAAUGUGAUAUAUUUGUUGUCUUGUGAGAUUCAAUGUGGAUGCAAAGAUUUACGGGGAGCUCUUCACUUGCUUUAAUGCACACUUUGAGGGGGAGCUUUCACUAAACCUUUGCACCAAAAUCAUCUAUUAUAUUCAUUCUCUCUUGUGAUCUAAUCGUAUUGUCAUCAAUCAGCAAAAAUGGAGAGAUUGGAAGUGCAUCUAGGCCCCUAAUGAUUUUGAUGAUUGAUUACAAUACGAUUAGAGAGGACUAACUUUUUAUUCAAGCAAAUGUGAAGGUUGUUAUUUCCUCGACGUGUUGUAAUGUGAUGCAUACUAGUAGCCAAGUCCAAUUACAUGUAUUAUCAGUAAGAGUACAUUAUAAUAUAAAGAUAAGAAAUAUUUGAAAAUAAAAAACCUCAUUGGCAAUUAGAAAAAACCAAUUACUCUUAAUUUUUAUCCUAAAAAUGCCUAGACAACAUACCUAUAUUGGAAUAAUAUAUCCAGAUAAUCUGUAGACAGUAUACCCAUAUUUGAAUAAAAUGAUAACAAAGUAUAUCACAUACCUAAUACAUAUUAAUAUUCUUGAAAGUUUUAGGAUAAUUAGUAAUUCCUAAGAAAUAUCAUUGCUUGAGUUUUCGCUAACUCUGUUUUAUCAUUGGAAAAAGUACGAAUUACCCCCUGAACUAUCGCGGUCAAUCGAAUUACCCCCCUGAACCCAAAAACCAGACAUUACUCACCCCCAACUUUUAAUACCGGACGAAUUACCCCCCUCAACACAGUUUUGAGCGGUUUUCACUUGAGUUUGCACACGUGGCGUCUACGUGGCAAUCCAGUCAGCAAAUAAAAAUAAAAAUGCCUUCCUUGGUCCCACCUGUCAUACCCCUCUCUCUCCCGUGUGCACGCUCAGGCAGGCGGCUCCGCAGGUAGGCAAUGGCGGCCGACGACGGAGGCGAAGGCCGACUAGGCGCCGGCAUGGUCCCGUUCAUGCGACUGCCUCCUCACGACCACUCGCGCAUCGGCUCGCCGCCGCGGCUCCUGACAGUGGGGAGAUGGUUGCGGGAGUCGUAGAAAGGGCCGCGUCGGCGCCGCGGCGCACGUCUCCGUGGAGCUCGUCAUGGGCUACGUCGGCAACAUCCCCGGCCUGCCCUACGAGAGCCUGGCCAUCGCUGACCCGCUCUCCCCCGACGCCGUCCGCGCCUUCGCCGCCUGGAUGUGGCCGGCCACCGUGUUCCCGGAGGAGGCGGUGCUCGCGUACACGGAGAAGCUGACAGCGGUGGAGGCUGCGGUGCGGCGGAUGGUGCGACGGUGGAGGCGCUGGAGGUGGCGGUGCAACGUCGGCGGAGGCCGGGGAGGCGCAGGCAGCGGCGAUGGCGUUCAUGCUUCGGCUGUCGGAGUACGUGGCGCCUGGCAGUGGGGUGGAGGUCGGCGGGAGGCUGGGGCUCCCUGCGCACCAGGACACGAGCUUCCUCGCCGUGGUGACGCAGAACGGCGUCGACGGCGUCGAGGUGGAGUGUGGCCGCUGUCCGCCUCCGCUGCCGGCUGCCUGCCGCCUCCACCUAUGGCUGCCUGGUCCGCCACCGCCGCCGGCUGCCCAGACGAGGUGGCGCCGGCGUUGGCGCCGACGUCCUUGAAGAAGGCGACCUUGUUGAGGGCGGACUGGCCGUAGAAUUGGGAGGCCUUGAGUGCCGAGGAGUAGACGGCGAAGCAGUAGGAGCUCCCCGCAAAGCACUGGAUCAGCGCGCUCGCCGCCAGCGACUACCACCGCGAGCGCGAGGCCAUCGGCGGCGUCCGGGAUUGCUUGAUCCUUGAGAUGGAAUUGGAGCAUGUGGUUACGUGGAUGAGUAGGACACGCACUCCACUCGCCUCGUAUUGAGCAUCUGAGAGAGAUAGAGACAGUGUGAAGAGAUGACACGUGGGCCCAUUAAUUAUUUUUAUUAUUUUUUUCUGAUCGGAUUGCCACGUGGACGCCACAUAGAUGUAAAACCACUCCAGUUUGUAUUAGGGGGGUAAUUUAUCCGGUUUAGAAAGUUUAGGGUGUAAAAUGUCCGGUUUUGUGGUUCGGGGGGAUAAUUCGUACUGUCACGAUAGUUCAGGGGGGUAAUUCGUACUUUUUCCCACUUAGAUUUGAAAAGUAUUCUUGAUAAGAUCACAAAGUCCAGCACCCUGCACCAUUACUCGAAAUCUCAAGACAAAUUCCAGAUCCCAUUCACAGUAUAGAACAGGUUUGGGCUUGUAUCAUCUUGGCCACAAAAGAAAGAUUGAGAUUAAUGAUCUAAUUUGCUUUUUUCCAAAGGAGAAAUUUUAAUUGUCUUCAAUGGCAAGGGCCUUUUUGGCUGGGUUCCAAACUGUAUUUUCUCCAAACCAGAAACUGAUGCAAAUGGGUGGUAUUAGAAGUAGAUAUUUUCUUAUGCGAUGACUUGCAGAGAUUUUUUGAUUGAUUUGGUAAAUUGUGCUGGUAGAAAAAAAAAUGGCCAUGAUCCCUUUAUCAAAUAAAGGAAGAAUUAUUGGGUCUGUGAGCACAGAUCAAACCACUCAACAUGAAUGGUUCUUUUGCAGAUGUGUUUGCAAUUUGUAGAUGAAAUCAAAUGAUAUUUCAUUGUUGUUUUGAUAGUGAUUCUGCACCAUUGAUGUUUCACUUUUUAAUUUUGUCAAAAAGAAAACAAUAUUCUCGUGCGAUCAACUCAUCACCAAACUUAAUACAUCAAGUGAAUUACUACAAAAGAAAGUUUAAGGCAAGCGAGCACUAUAAAUGAACAAAAAGAAGCUAGCUCAGACCAAAAAUGGAUGGGUUUCUAGCUUGGCUUCUAAAGGUUCCUAAGGGCAGACAACCAAAAGGAAGCUUCUGAGGAUUGAGGAAGCACUAGCCAGUAGCCACCCCAAACAGGUCCAUUGGUGGACUACUUGAUUGUACAACAUGAGCACCUUUAUCAGGCAGGUUUCUUUUGACUCUGAUGCUUGACUCUGAUUUCGGUCACUUCCAUUUAAGUCUCAGCCAAUUGUCCUAAUAUCUUUAGACAGCGAUAAUUUGUUGUCAUCUCAGCAUUUGGGAACUCUUUAUUCCUCAAAGCUCUAAUGCUUAUGCAACAAGUAGAUAAAACGGAACACAACUACAUCCAGUUUGUUCAGCUAAGUAAACCCUAAUGUUAACGUUUUAUACAGGAGAGAUGGACUGCAAUAUGGGGAGAGGAAGACAUACCUUGUAUCUCACUGUCUACGCUUAGCGCCUCAGUCAUGCAUAAGCUAAGGUGAGGUGACACAAGUUCUUCCUACAUUAUUGCUUUAAACAAUUUUCUUCUUUGGCUGCCUGCAACUCACUUCUGUUGACAUUGCUCUCAUAUUAGACCGCAGCCAGCGUGGGAUCGUACGUGCACCGCAGCAGCAGCUUCUGGCCUCCUCUGGGAAUUGGAUAUGCGGUCCGAGCUCGGUGCCUUUGAGCUGGGAAAGCAGGCUGAAGCUGUGGAGUGUUCAUUGGAUGUCUUGCUUGAUGCUCUCACGGCACGACGGCUUCGCCUGGGACGAUCUAUAACCCGAAAACAGAGGCAUAAUAGGAACUGCAUAUAGUUGCAUGCCUGGAAGCCUGGGUUCAUUUUUUUGCAGAAUAGGAAAGCUGAUUAGAUAGUUAAAGCGUAUUCCUUCACUCUUUUGAGGUCACUAGCAACUGCUGAAAUAUGGAAAACAUUCCUUUUGGCGGGAAAUUAAUAUGGAGAAAUCUUUUCAGCUGUGAUGUUAGCAAAAAACUGAAACAGCAUAUUCAAAGGUUGUAAAACAUUUCUUUUGGCAGGAAAUUAAUCUGGAGAAUGCCUAAGUUUUCAGCUGUGAUACCAACAGACUGAAACAGCAAAGGUUGUGCGGAUUUGUAGUGCUGAAAAGAACAUCGAAUACAAAUUAUCCUAUAAUGCUCUGCAGCGAUAAAAGUUCCUAUAAUGCUCUGCAGCGAUAAAAGUUCAUCGUUCUGUUUUUAUGACCUCCAUAAUCAAUACCGCCUAUCAUUUCGUUGUGUGAAAAAUUUAUUCCCUUUCUGGCUACGGAGCCAAAUUUCGGCGCUUGAUAGCAGGGUUUGAAAUUUCGGUUCGAAAUUUCGGAAAUUUCGCCCCCACCGAAAUGCUCAUAUCUUGUCCGAAACUUUCGGUUUUUUUGUAAUUUUUUGUGAAUUUGAUCAAAUUUUAUUCAGAUACAUUCAAAAUCAGUCAAAAUUUCAAAAAAUUUCGUACGAAAAAAAAAAUCUGAAAUUUCCAAAAUUUCAGUUCUAUCGCCCACCUGCGGUAGAAAUCCUACUUUCAAAAUUACAAACCCUGCUUGAUAGGAAAUCACUAUAUACGCUGAAGAAAAAAGGCUUCAACGAUUGCUGGGCUCGACAACCCCGAACAGAACAGUUCAAUGUGUAAAUUUUCGAGAUGAAAUAAAGAGCAAGUUUCACGAAACAUAAGCGAAAGAUAGUAAUGUUUCAGGAUCAACUAAUAUAGAAACAGUCAAAAUUGUCAACCUCAUUCAGCAUCUGCUUCCUAAAUGAAAAGAGAAACAAGAUGGUCAAGCUUAAUAUCCCAAUAUGUAUUGGAACUUAUCAGCAGAGUAUAUUUACACUUACAUACAAGUACUCAGCUUACAUUGCAUAAAGAGCAGCUAUAGUGGAAGUAAAAACUAUAUACAGACAAAUUACCCUCGGCGCUUGCUGAGGCGCCAUGAGUUUGGCUCGUUGUAUCUGUCAUACAGAGGCUCAAUCCUUUCUUGGCGCUUCCGCUUACUGAUCUUCGUUGGGUCUGCAGAUCUGUAGAACCUCGGUGCCAGUUCAACAAGCCAUCUUGGGUCAAUGGCUGUCACCUCCCUCAUGUACUCUUUUGUGGUCAUGACGACUUCAUGAUAGAUAACCCACUCUGGUUGCUGCUGGAAGAGAGCGCUGGCAGGGUGGAUAUACACCUGCUGAUGAUCAGCAAUGGUCCUGUAUCCUCCCUGGGGAUCCUUCCUGGCAGCGUGGAAGAAGAAGCCAGCAGUGAUGGCUUUCCUCACCUUGGUGAGAUCAUUCCCUGCAGAGACAACGUUAAGCUUAUACUUGUCCAUAAUCUCAAGGAGCUGUUUUCUGACAUCCUGUGCUCUCCUCAGGGAUGUUAGCUGGACAAAAUUCUCAUAGCACCAUGGACCUGAAAACUGCUUUGCCUUCCACGCCUGAUACACGGUGAGCAGGGUGAGGUGAUCCCCUUCUGGUUGGAAAAAGUUGCCCCUUUUCCGAUCGGCUUGAGCUUGUUUUUCCCUUGGCCGGUAGAAUAUGUUCCCAGUUUGAAUCAUCGCAAUGAUGGUCAGUAUUUCAUCACUGCAUCCGAGGUCCACACUAGCAAGGAGCAUCUUUGAAAGUGGUGGUUCUUGUGGAAACUCCGCCAUCCUUCUCCCUACUCUUGUAAGGAGACCCUCCUCAUCUAAGGCACCAAGGUUGUACAGUUGUUCCAUUGCAGUUAUGAGUGAUUGAGGAGCUGGGGGGUCCAUGAAGUCAAAUGACAGUAGAUCGUUUAUUCCCAUUGCCUUCAUAUUGAGGACCGUCUCCCCCAAGUUGAUCCUCUGAAUUUCUGGAGUAGUUGUGGGGGGCAUUUCGUUGCGAUAGGCACUUUCAGUGUAUAGACGAUAACACUUUCCUGGGCCUGUACGUCCAGCACGCCCUGCCCUCUGUUUAGCUGAUGCUUGAGAUAUCGGUGUGAUGAUCAGUGAAUCCAGCCCUUGUUUUGGGUUAUACACAUUGAGUUUUGCAAAUCCUGGGUCAAUUACAUAAUAUAUCCCAUCUAUUGUAAUAGAUGCUUCCGCUAUGUUAGUGGCCACGACCACUUUCCUCUUCCCAGGAGGAGUAGGUUCAAAGAUCUUUGACUGCAUUUCAGCUGGCUGAGCACUGUACACUGCAUAUAUCAGCAAUUCUGGUACAUUCCUACCUAGAGACUUCAUCCUCUCAUAGAGACACUGACAGGCAUGAUCAAUCUCUUCCUGGCCAGUUAAGAACAAGAGGAUAUCACCUUCAGGUUCAGUCAGAUGGAUCUGUGAUACUGUGAGCAGCGCAGCAUGCAUGUAAUCACUCUCUGGCUGUUUUGAAUAGAGUAUCUCCACAGGAUAUGUUCUUCCGGGAAUUGUAAAAAUAUUACAAUCGAAGAAAUAUCCAGAGAACUUCUCUGCAUCAAGAGUGGCGGAAGUGACUAUUAACUUGAGAUCAGUUCUACGCCUAAUUAGCUUCUUGAGUAAGGCAAAGAGAAUGUCUGUAUAUAUAGUCCUCUCAUGUGCCUCAUCAAGCAUGACCACGGAGUAACUAGAGAGGUCAGUGUCCAACAAAAUUUCACGAAGGAGCAUGCCAUCCGUCAUGUACUUAAUGACAGUAUCUGGUCCAGUGUGAUCAUCAAAACGUAUUGAGUAACCAACUUCCUCUCCCAAUCGGCAACCAAACUCUUCCGAUACUCGCUUGGCAACUGACUCUGCAGCGACCCUGCGAGGCUGAGUACAUGCAAUUUUCCCCCUCGUAAUAUAGCCUGCCUCAGCAAGGUACUGUGUAACCUGGGUUGUUUUCCCUGAACCGGUCUCACCAAUAACAACCAGAACUUGAUUGUCACGAACAGCUUCGAUAAGCUCAUUCUUCAGCCUGAAUAUUGGAAGACUCUGCCUCUGUUCCAGGAUUGAAAGCCUUGAAGUCUGACCAAAUGUUACAGUCUUCCCAUAAGCCUCUUUCUUCCACUCUGGCAUGCUUUCAGCAGAUAAUCCAACACCGCGUAGCUCUUGUGCGAGAUACCGCCCACCGACCUCAGGCACAGGAUCCUCCCAUGGCCGAUUCAGAUCCUUUGGGAUGGAGUCAACCAAUGCUCUUUGAUCCUCGUUCCUGAUAUCACGCCACUCCUUGAUAAGCGCACUCUGCAGAACCGCCGCUCGACUCAGCGACCCAUCAGGGUUCGUGGAAAUCCUCACUGGGGACACAUCAAUUGUGGACCGACCCUGUCCCCGCAAGAAUGCUGGCUCAUCUUCAUUAAGCUCAAUCUCAAGCUCCUCCUCCACACCUUCCUCCUGGUAAUUCAUCCCCUCGCUAUCCUCAUCAUCGAACGCCGGGUAAUCCUUCGCAUUCAGAACCCCUGAAGCAAUCAGCUGCUUCAUUUCCCACCUCUCCGGCGAGCUCAUCCGCCUAAUCGGCCGCCGCGACGAUGCCGUGCCAGUCUGGUUGUCCUCGGGGAUCACAAUUCCUGACACCCCCGUCCUUCUCCUAGUGGCGGCGGCUCGAUCGGUCCACGGAUUCGCCAUCGGCCUCGGCACAUCAUCCUCCCCCCUAGCACGCUGCAACGGUAGGAGGUCCUUCCCCGUGUCCUGGUCGACGUCCCGCAUCGACAGCCCCAGAUUGCGCCCCUGCACGGACACGAUCUUGACGAACACCUCCUGCCCACGCUUCACGGCGAUUCGGCGGCCGGGCAUCUCGGAGACAUGGACGAGCCCCUCGCGGCCGCGCGCGUCGUCGAGGCGGACGAAGCACCCGGCGUCCGCCAGGCCGGUGACCUUCCCGCGGCACACCUGGUACAGCCCCGGAUCCCCAUCUCUCACCCGCUCCUCCGCCUUGUCCUUCCCGCAAACCCUUGCACCGGUGCCACGGGAGGCAGGGUUUUGGGGGGCGGGGGCGGGGGCGUCGUCGGCGUGGGUAGGGAUGGCGUGGAUGACGGUGUGGAGGGUGCGCGCGAGGUAGUCCGGCAGGUCAGCGCCGUGGGCCUUGAGCUUGGCGUCGAAGUCUGCGACGGAAGGGGAUGCGCGGCCCAGGUCGACGAUGAACUCCGCGAGGACGCGGUCGCCGACGCCGAGGUGCGCCUCCAGCUCCGAGCAGACCUUGGAGACGAGCGAGAGCUGCGUGAGCCGCCGGAGCCCGUCGCGCACCGCGCCGCCGGCAGGGGUCGACACCUUGGCCGCCACCAUUGGGUUGGUUUUCGCGUGUCGAACGGCCAAUAGAAGUUCUCUUGCACCUUUUCCUGUUAAGUCAGCCGGAAGGAACGAUAGUCGGUUUGGGUUCGAGUCGGUUACUAAGGGCUGAGGCCUGAGGCUAUUGCAAGCUAAUACAAAUACAUUAAAUAAAUAUAUUAAAUGUACUAGUAAUCUUGCACAUGUAAUGCACGUAUAUACCAAUAUAAAUUGUACAAAACAUACUCUGUAUUAUCUACAAUUGUUAAUUUUAACAUGCCAUCUUACAGGUGAAGCAUUUUUAUGAUUUUAUAAAUAAUAUUAAUCAUUUUAGUACAUGCCAUGAUUCUGGAUUUGAUAACUUAGUGGUAAAUUUUGCAUCCAUGAAUGUUACAUUUCACACAACCAUUUAUUUGUAUGUGGUUUCAAUCUUUUUCGAAACAAAGGCAAAAGCUUUAACAUCUUUCAUCGAUAUAGAGAACAUAAACAACACCAACGCAACAAAGGGCAAGCACCGAAACCAAUUCACUGUACAACACCUUGAGAACACCCCCAAACUAAACUACACUACAAAGCACCUGAAACUGCGGACAACAGAACACCUAGAGCAAACAACACCCAAAGCAAGAGAUCUAAAAAAAACUAAAACAGGAUUCUUAGGUCAGAGAUCUAGAACAAUAAACCGAGUGUCGUUAGCCCAAACAAGGCUACUAAAAACUCGACAUAGUUUUCCGUUAAUCCUCCUUCAAGAGCUUAAUGCAUCAUUGCAUCUAUCCAUGGGGUCUUUAUUUAUCGGCAAGCAACUUUCAAUACACCUUCAGCAAACAAUGAAUCUCCUUUUUCUAUACAAAAUCCAUCACAUGUGAAACAUUCCCUGUUACACAUAAUAUGAUGUGAGAUUUUGGCAUUGUUACACAUAUUCUCAGCAGCAGCAUGUUGUCAGUUUAUAUCAAUGCUGGGUUACCUAGCAUAUGUUCUCUUUCUAUCAUCUUAAAGCAUUAUUUUUUAAAUCCUUAAUUCUUAAAAUCUACCUAAUCAAUUGGCAUGAAUUGUGACUCAUAAAACUGAUUCCGGUGUGUGUAAUAAGAUAAAAUUUAAGGUUAUAAAACUCUGGAAUGUGGCAUAAAAUUUAUAACACGAUAAUUACUUGCUCAUGAAUGUUGGGUUACCGAUUUAUAUCGGCACUCCAUAAAUAUGUUCUCCUUCUGAUAUCUUUAGGCUAAGUAAAUUCUGGAUACGAAUAUAUGGAAGCAAAUUUGUAACAGGAAAAUUAAUCACAUGAAAGAGGAAAUUGUUAACUGCCAAGUUGCACUAUAUAUACAAAUUAUACAGUGGCUUGAGGCAUUUCUGCACUAAAAAUACUGAUAGCAAACAAAGCAGAAUACUGAAAACAUUAUCCAUAUACGUCUUGUAUAACAGGGCACCAAGCCAUAGUAAAGCUCAAGUUUUGGAUCUAGCUAACCAACCAUCUAUUAUUAUCUAACUUGUACAGUUCACACACAUUUUGGGCACAUGGAGCAUCAGUUUUCCUCCUAAUCCUAAUAAGGAUAUGGACUUGGCCUACCACAGAAAGCAAAAGUGUGGGCUGCGUACUAAUCUUAAUACAUAUUAAAAAAAUCUAAUUGACAGGCAACAUUUAAGUGUUUUAUUAGUUUAGUAAUUGUUUACAUAGCAAAUGACGACCACGAAGCACUGAAAUAAGAACUCAAAUACAUUUCAACUCUAUUCUCAUCAUAUAAGACAAUGUACGCUGCCAGUGAAUGGAUAAGAUAAUCACUCACCUUGAUGGUCCCUCCUGUUGCUUGUGUAAAAUUUUACAGACCAUUAGAUAUACCAGAUUCUGAAGGCUGUCUUAAUUCAAUUCGGCAGCAUCCUCUCCCAAGCAGCAAAAAAAACCUAUAAAUGUUCUCUUUUUUUUUCAGUGAACAAAGUGACACCUGGGACAAUCUCAAUAGAGUUUGAACAUUAGUGCAAUGAUCUAUUACUCCCCUUUACAUGAAUAUACUUACUAAAGGGUAGCUAGCAGAGUAUACAUGUGAAAACCAUUCAAACACUUCAAAGUACUCUACUUUCCUCUAGCUGAAUUAUAACCAAUACCUGAUGUUGUAGUGACACAGACAUAGUCCACAAUUAAAUCCAAAACCAAUUUCAGUACAGCAAAAGAAUGAGAUAAUAAUCAAGCCCAAACCAUGUCUCAAAAUAAACCAGAUUGCAAAUAUUGAAAAAAAUGCAGUCUUUCUACUAAGCUGACUAUGUUAUCGUGCGCGUGCAAGGCACGUUUUGGCAAUAUAAUUAACAAAUGAAGAAAAAUCUACGGGAUCUUUUUUAAUGCAAUGCACUCCAUGAAAACAGAAGGACUCAGCCACAAGAUCAUUAACAUGGCAGUAAUAAAAGUAAAAGCAUUGAGACAACUAAGGAGGUUCUAAAAGGCAGCAAGUUUCAAACAAUAGGACAUCAAGUGAGAAAUGCAUAUGUAACGGUUUGGAACAUGGGCACAGGAAGUGAGGAACUCACAGCAUCAGGCAUGGACUUGAACUUGUCACCACCAAAUCAACCAAAUCAGAACACACAUUGUAGCAGGCAACGCAGCAGAGGAACACAAACACGUCACCAAGAUACCUGCUUGACGUUGGGGUGCUCCUUGCAGUCCUUCCCUGCUGAAACAAACACGUCACACCAAAUCGAUCAGAACGCCAAAUCGAUCAGAACGCACACCCAAGCCACCUUGAAUGGAGAACCAGCAGCACAAACUCUCCUUCCUCUCCGUCGCGGCGCGAGCAGGGAAGCAGGCGGUUUGGGCAGGAGGCGGCGGCGGUGGGCGCAGCGGCUCAGGCGGGAGGAGGCGGCGGCGAGUGCAGCCGCGCGCGAGCGGAGUGGCGCCGGCGGGCGCGCAGUAGGCGAGCGGUGGGCGCGUAGAAGGCGGCGGCAGGCGGCGCCGCGCAGGAGGAUAGCUUUUCUUUUUUUUUUUUUCUUUUUCGGCGUUAGUGGAUUCUUUUCUUUUUAUUUUCGCUAACCGCUGGUUACCGACAUGGGAAUCGCUAAUUGAGGGGCAGAUCUUGAUAUAAGCUGUUAGAUGAAUCGAUCUAAGGGUCAGAAAAGAUGGGUGUUUGAUGAACUCGUACUUUUUUAUAUUAGUAUAGAUAAGUGGGAGCCAACUUAGAAUCGAGCGUUCGCUGGGGAAGAGGAAAAAUCAGGCGCUAACGUCAGCAUGACGCAUUCGUGCAAAACCACUUUAAACUAUUUUUUUCUCUUAAAUUAUUUAUCUAAAUCAUGAUUUAAUUACACCAUUAAAUUCGUUGCAAUUAAAUCUUUAAAACAAGACCACACAUGGAUAUAUUCUGACGAAAAAAAUUUAGCUUAUUAUUGAAUUAUUUUUAAAUGUUGCACGAUGUUCCACCAAGUAUAUCGGAAUUGUUUCACUAAGUAGAUCGAAAAUAUUUCAAUCGUUUAAAUCGGGCAUUGUUUCACCUUAUAUAAAAACAAUGUUUUAGCAAAUAGCGAAAGAAUGUUUCAGCUCACUGCAAUAUUAGAUCUAUACAUAGUGAAACAUUGUGAGUACACUAGGUGAAUCAUUUUUGGUGGAACAGAAAUGAAACGAAAUCCCUUAAUAGAGGGUUUCUAAAAUAUGUGGCUGAUUUGUUGCAAAAGAAUGCUUCAGUUCACUGCAACAUUUCAUCUAUACAUAGUGAAACAUUGUGAGUACACUAGGUGAAACAUUUUUGGUGGAACAAAAAAUGAAACGAAAUCCCUUAAUAGAGGGUUUCCAAAAUAUGUGUGUGAUUUGUUGCAACGGAGUAUGUGGUAGGGACACGUAGCAGGUAGACUGGGACACAUCGUGGGGCUAGGGUGCACGUGCGCGCAUGUCGUGGGGGGGAGGGAGCGACCGAUUUUUCCCCUCCCCUCCCCAGGCGACCGAGGCGUAGGAUAAUCGAUAUAAGUGAGAGAUAGAGAGAGGAGAAGAAAAUUGUAGCCAACCUUAUAGCUAAUCUCUAUUAUACACAUGGUUCAAGAAGGCGCUAGGCGCUAGUUGGGCGGAUAGGGGGCGCCUAGCGCCUAAUUGGCGCCUAGCCUCGCCUAGGCGGCGCCUAGCGGGCGCUUAGGUCGGGUCAAAUAGUUAAAUUCAAGAAAUUAGUAGGCAUAUUGCAUAGAAAUUAGACUAUAUAACACUAAAAUAGCAAUAAAACACUACCUAAGUAAUUUAACCGCCUAAUGCACCAUUGAAUGCCUAAUCGCGGCGGCUACCCGGCGCCUAGCGCCUAAUGGGCGCCUAGGCGGCGCCUAGGGCCGAUUUUUAGAACACUGAUUAUACAUGUAGGCUUUAAGAUGUAUUAGUAGGAAGUUGGCUCUACUAUUAUCCUUGCUCUAAGGGCGAUUUCAGUGCGGCCACCGCAUUUGCCGCGCUUCGGAUGCCACCUAGACCAAGCUCCUCAAACGAUACAGUGCAAGUUAUUUAUUAGGCCAUAGCCAACGCUCCACGCUAGAGUGUGGUCUCAUCCGUCCCAAGGCGAAUAUUCACGCCAGCUCGGGCGGGACCGCAUAGUUUCGUCAGCUUGUGGGCGAGGAACUGCGUUGGGGAGAUGCCUCACCCAAGCCAUCGCCCCGCGCCGGGGAAGAAGAUGGAGAAGGGGUGGACUGGAGAGAACCGCCGCCGCGUCGAUCCGACGCUACCGGGGAGGGGAGAGGAGAGAAGAGGCAGCGGGAGGAGAGUUCGAGCUGGAGUCUGGAGAGGCGUGGGGAGGGGAUUGGGGUGUCGGUGGGGAGAAGAGGGAGGAGGAGAGAUUUUAUAUUAAUUUCUGGAUUUUGGGGUGUUUAGUGUAAAAUUUGAACUUCUAUAUAAAUUGUAAAAUUGUGAGGGCUAAAAUGAAAAACACCAGGGGCUGAAAUAAAAAAAAAUGAGACUACCACCUGAAGCAACUUGGGCUCUGUUCGGCUGCCAUUAUUUUCACUGUGGUUCAGCCAACAAGCACUGUAUAUUGUUUCUCCGGUUGUGGCAGUGCAGCAGCGGUACAAAGUAGCCGAAUAGACCCUUGCACUGUGGGAAAUUAGCUUUUUGGGAGUGUUGGCCCAUCCUAGGUAGCACUUAGGGUACCCUGCGUUGGCCAUGCCCUUAGGGGUCUUAUAUUGCUCGUAAAGUCUAUCCUUACCAACAAGCUUUUUGCUCCCACAGGAUAACCUGCACAAUGCAGCUAGUGUUGCAUUGUAUUUGGGUGUUUGGAUGGGAAAGCUAGCUAUCAACCAUCCCUUCAUGUGCAUGGUUGCGGGUGUCGAUGCUGGUGCCGAUGCUCAUGUAUGGCUGUAACAUUGUAAAAGUUGAAAGUUGUUCCAGAUAGGAAUUUUUUUUUGUUAAUUUCGUGUUCAAUGUUCAUGUUUUCAAGCUGAAGGGCAAUUACGUUUGUGUUGAAAGUUUUAGAAUUGGAAUAUAAAUUUUAGUGAUUUAUGUUGUAAGUUCAUGAUUUUGAAGUUGCAAGUUCAGACAAACUAAAGAAAAUGAGCGACUUGAGUUGAAAGAUUAUGUAAAAGAUGCUUUCAAUUUGUUUUACUGUUUGAAGGUUUAAUUGAACGUUCGUAUCUUGACUUCAAGGUUUCUACAAAUGGAAAAAGUUUGUACAGGUGAAAAAUUUUCGUUUGGACUAUCUUGGACAACAAACAACAUACCGUUUGUGCAUCAUCUAACACCGAGGGCUCAAAGUUAGAUCUAUCCUACAUGCCAAAAGGGCUUUGGUCUGCAUGAUAUAAUCUAAUACAUCUAAAAUAAUGAAAAUUUUGGGAAGGACCCAACAAUGUUGUUCUUGGUGGAGCACAUGUAACAAUAUCCUUUUACCUUCCAACAUGUGAGAUUUAAAACUUUUUUUCUAUUGAAGCUGUUUUUUGCCAUAAAAAUGUUGGUUUUGAUCACUAUGCCGUACACCCCAACAUUCUACAAUAGAGUUGAGUACGAAGGUCUACGGCUAGGACUUGCUCCCUGCGUCAUAAAAUGUAAGUAUUUCUAAAGGUGGACACAAGUAUUAAAAAUGUGAAAAAUGAUUGGUGAAAUAUUUUGAUUGGUUAGAAAGAAAAAGUAGGUAGAAAAUAUAAAAUAAAAAAUAGUUGUGAUUGUUUGAGAUGAGAGAGCAUGUGAAGAAAUAACUUCAUUUUAAAUAAAGGUGGAGUAAUAAAAUAGCUUUAUUUUAUUUUAGGACGGAGGGACUUUUCUAUGAAAAAGGUUUUUUUUUUUACCGAGAGUACAAUUUAGAGCGGAUCAACAUGCAAAUUACAAAGUGCCUUGUGUACACAUCCUCUGUAAAUGAUUCAGAUAAUGAUGGAGGCAUCGAAGUGUAGCUAACUAGGUAAUGCCCCGCGCAUUGUGGUGGGUACUUUUAUAUAAAAAAAGGAGAAUUAUUUUUGAAGGUGCAAAAUAGAAAAAAAUUGAACAGUGAUAAUUGUUUAUUUUAUUUUUUACCAUGAUUAUAGUUCUCUUUGACAAUGCCUAGUUUGAAAAUUGAAGGAAAAUAAUGCAUAUGAUCGUGUAGGUCUAGUUUUACUUAAAACAUGAGAGGCUAGGCUCUUUGUACUAUUAUGUCACUGAGGGUUUUCCUUUUACCUAUAUAUAGGUAUAAACAUUUGUGUGGGGGUAAAUAAAAAAAUCCAAUGUGUAGAAACUCUCAACUUCAUUAUAAGGAACUUAAAAGUCACAUGAGUAUAGAAUUACUUCAAAUAGUCAAAACUUGAACAUGCCUUCACAUAAGCUUUCCUUUAACUGAAAAGCCAUAUGAUAUACUUAUGUAAAUUAGGUAUAAUGGACAUGUGUAAUGUGAAGCCCUCCAAACUAUUGAUAUGAACCAGGUGAAUUGAGUGGUUAUGGUACUGGUCAUGAUAUAUGUUGCAAUAUGCGUUGUAUUUAUGAAUCAUCUUCAAGACAACUAUUUGGAGGAAGCUUUGAAAAUGCAGAAUUUGCUGGAAGUAGUUGCUAUCAAGUCUUGUUCUAGAAAGCAAACUUAUGGCCCCUUUGAUUUGGAGGAAAAACAUAGGAAUUUCGGAGGAUUUCAAACCUAUAGGAAAAUUUCCUAUGAAGCCCUUUAUUGAUUGAAUCCUAUCCAAUCCUUUGAAAUUCCUAUGGAAUGGACAAUUCUAUAGAGAUUUUGCAGGAAAUUUAGCAAGAGGUUCAACCUCUUGGUAAACUUUCUUUUGAGUCUAUCUCUCUCAUCCAAUUCCUAUAUUUUUCCUACGGUUCAAUCAAACGGUUAUUCUUAUAUUUUUUCUGCGUUUUGCAAUCCUCUGUUUUAUACUUACAUUCCUAUCAAAAUCCUAUAUUUUUCCUAUUUCUACGUUUUCUCAAUCCUGCGAUUCAAAGGGGCCCUUAUAUUGCAAUACUGUUAGUAGACAGUAGGUACCACUUCGUAACCUGAAACUAAUUUAACUAACGUAGCAUAUAUUGGAAAUCUAGAAAGACAAAUAUAGUAAAAAAAAUAUAUUUGCUAUCCUAUAAAGUGGUUGUGUGUCUUGUUUUGUAUGAUGAUUGAGUUGUCUAUUAGUAAAACUUGUUCUUGUAUGUGUAUUGGGGAAUAAGCAAAUUUGUUGAAACUGGACCAAUGAAGUGCUUGAAAACUUGAUAAAAAAAGGAUGUGCUUAAAAUUUGCAAUGUGUGUAGAAAUAAGGGAGUAGAAGCAAUGAAGCACUUAAGAUUUAUUUUCAAUCUGGGAAGAACACUAUAACAAAAACAGGCAAGUUAUCCUAUAUUACAUAGAUAAUCAAUAAAACUAAAACAGUAGAGGAAAUUAACCGAUGCUGGACCUGUGAUUAACAUGGAUCAAGAAGGACGAUACACUCGCUCUUAAGAUAGAGGAUGCCGAUGGGGUGUGAGGACUGUCCUAAUUAUAGGAGGAAUUGCAAGAGACGUAUGAGAGAAUAAAUGAGAUUAACCAUAGGCAAUUGUCUAACUAUUGUUAGUGGUGGUUUCUAGUUUAAAAAUUGCUUUGAUGGCAGUUUUUAUGGCUAGAUGUUUCUAACAUAUGCAUGCAUACGGAGACAUAGGAUAGGAGGAAAGUGAUUUAACAAUUGCUAUGGAAGUUUGAUAUUGAUCUAACACAAAUUUUGACAAUUUGAUCCUUUGCAAAAACUAAUUUUACAAACGAACCGUGGCCAAAACUUAUUUAAAAAUAACCGUUUUGUUCAGCGCCAAAUCGUAUGGCGCUGAAUUUAGACACCUCAGCACCAAAUAGUACGGCGCUGAAUGCACGUUGGCACGCCGACUCAGCCUCCCAUCCACGAUGGCACGGCAUUCAGUGCCAGUUGACGUGGCGCUGAGGUGUAUAAGUUCAGCGCCAUACAAUUUGGCGCUGAACAAAAUGGUCAUUUCUGAAAUAAGUUUUGACCGCGGUUCAUUUGUAAAAUUAGUUUUUACAAAGGGUCAAAUUGUCAAAAUUUGUGUUGAUGUAAUGGUUGAAAUAAAUAAGAUGAUGUGGUAGCCUAGAAUCACAGCUCAUGGGGACAAUUAUAUAGGAAUAGUGAAUAGUGAAUGUGUGGCUAGCAGUAACACCUAUGGAGGAAGAAGCAAAGUUAGAAUUUCCUGCGUUAGUACUCCCUCCAUUUCAAAAUAAACCAACCUAGUAUGAGAUGUGAUAUUAAAUUUGUCGUACUAGGAUAUGUCAUAUGACCAUAUCUCAUAGUCCCCCGUCUCAAAAUAUAACAACUUUUAGCCCUUAGGAUUUGUCUCAAAUAUAACAACUUCUCCACCAACAUUCUCUUCCCAACCAAUCACAAUUCUCCACCACUCACUUCUACCUACUUUCUUAAUAAUCAUGUACAACUCUAAAAUUUCUCGUAGUAUAGAACAGAUGGAGUACUAGAUUGAUUUAAAACUAACUUGUAGGAAGAAGCAUUGGACUAGUACACACAAACAUCAGCCGUUGUCAUGUACACGACCUGUUAGACUAGAACUUUCUUUCUUUUACUUUUACUCGAGUGUUUCGUUGUGUGGCUACCAUGGUUGCAAUCAAUACGCACGGAAAGCCAUCAAUAAUCGAUGUUAAGCUCAACAUCGACUUUUCUCUCUACUCUUCCUUUGCUAUACCACAGAAAUUUGCCUUAGUGGCAAUUUUAAGAGCCUAAUAUUAGUGACUGUUAUGCAUAACUAUGUUUAUUGUUUAAAACAAUAAUAUUAAAUAAUCAAACGAAACUAAUAUUGUAUUGGUUAGACCUUAUGCUAGAAUUCCUUCAAAAGGAAAUUUUCCUUUCAAGCAAUCCAAAAUGCACUUACAGAACCUUAAUCUUUUGUUCGAUGAAUUGCUCUAUUUUUAAUUUGAAAAUUCCUUGAGAACACAAUUAGCCUACUUAAUUUUCCUCCAGUUUUCAUUCGACCCAACAUCAACAUGUCAUUAUUAUGGUCUGGCUGUCCUAAUGUGAGUGUGCUUGCUCACCAAAGCGAGCUGCUUGUACCUGGGCUGCGCCAUAGACUUCCACCAGAUCCCACUCCAAGCCACACAGAUUGUUUCUCAGGUGAAAUUUCACCAAGUCUUGAGUAACUGCACACAUUGCUCGGGAAACGUCAAAGUUGGACGUUGCUUAACAAAGUUACAAAAAUUUGCUCUCAUCUCUUGGACAGAGUACCCUUGGCCUUACAUGUGUGCUAGGAUACAAAAUUCCAAACGUACGUUCCGCGCACUGAAUUUUAGUAGUUUAACAUCGACUCUUGGUAAACGAUUCCAAUAAUCAUGGAAUCUAGAAAUCUGCUCUUAUGGAUAUCUUAUGACUUUACGAGCAAGUACCAACUAUAAUUGCUAGCUGAAAAUCUGCCACAUUGGUUUUAAAAGUAAGCUAGAGAUGGGACUUGAGGAGAGACAACACAGACCAGCGACUAAGAGCAUAUGCAGUGUUGCACUUAGAGGAGGCACUACGAGAGAGAGAGAGGGGGGGGGGGGGAGGAAGAUAGAGCCACACCCAUACACCGUGCAUGGUAUCAUUUUUGGCCAAUCUCGAGCAAGAGCUGGGUACUAAUCAUAGUCCAAUUCUAAUGGAAAGAGAAUGUGACCGAGCCCACAUGUCAGACAAAUUAUGUCUUUUGCCAGUAUGUUGAAGAGAGAUGACUGGUUUUCUUUAUCUUGUUUUAAUCUAUAUGGGGCCGUGAUAAUAUCUUUCGUCAAUUUAUACACUGCACCAGUUCUCACGGGGUGCUAUGCCUGACAUAGGCCCCACAUUUAAUACCCAUGCAUGCAUGAUAUACUCCCUUCGUCUCGUAAUAUAGUAACCUAGAACUGGAUGUGACACUUUAUAGUACAACGAAUCUGGACAGGAAGCAUGUCUGGAUUCAUUGUACUAUCAAGUGUCCCAUCCGGUACUAGAUUGCUAUAUUAUGGGAUGGAGGGAGUACUAUAUAUGGAUCCUAUAAGUACUAGCUACACACACUCCAAGACAGACAAUGCCCACUGUUAGGAUAGAGCAUGAUAUGAUAUAAGGACUACUAUACAAUAGUUUAGUAUUGUACUGACAUGAUAUUUUAGGAGUAAGCAGCCGAUUGUACAAUCUAUGGCGGAGACAGCGUGGGGGUGGGGCAGGGGGUCUUUAGACCCCACUACCCCCUAAGGCCAGUCACAAUGGCUAGUGUCAUUGCACGGCUACCCAAAAUAUUAUACCAUCUUCUCUCAAAUGAAAUCUUUUAUGAAACAAUCCCCACAGUGGAGGGGUUUCACUUUGACGUUUCCAAGACUAAGCAAAGCAUUUAAUUGAUACAAGUUGCUGGGAUCAUUUGUACCCAAAAUCCGGCGCGGCGCGGGAGAAUGCGGAGGUCGCACGGCGGAGGCGGACGCAAGAGAUCCGGUGAAUGAAACGAAUCGGCCUCAACGGGGGUUUCACUCUGUUACCGAGGACUUGGAAACGACGCUGACGAGUUUCACCAGGAUGAAACUCUUUCCUUCUCUCUCAUCCCCAUUUCAUGCAAAUAAUCAUUUUUUAUUCAGUCUUACCCCUAUUAAAUGUGCAUGACACACCAGUGAAACCCCCAUUGUGACUGGCCUAAUGAACCAUUAGAGCCCCCUUAAUACCCCCUAAAAUUCUAAUCCUAUGGGAGGGCUAAGAUAGACUUUGUUUGAGAUUUUUAGAAAGCACAAAAAAUCCCCACAACCCUACCCAACCCUAAUCUCCUGCCUCCAGCCGCAGAGAGAGGACGACGGCUCUUGGCCUCCUGGCGGCGUUCCCGUUGACGUGUGGCGGCGGCAGACGAGCGCGACGGGCCGACGACUUCCAGAAGGAGUUGCGGCGGCUGGCGGGGGGGGGGGGGAGGGGGGGUCCGGGGACGCGAGCGUAGCGGCGGCGCGCCGACACUGCAGCAGUCAGGGCACGCGGCACUCCGGCCGCUGGCUACUGGCGGGCGGCAGCAAGGCAGGGUGCAGGUGGGCUGGCGGCCAGCUGGGGGAUGCGGCGGCGUGACGCGGCAUCAAGCAGGGAAGGGGGCAUCUGGGCAAGGUGCAAAGGGCGUCAGCAGCAAGCAGCAGCACUGCAGCAGGUCAUCAGCCCAUUGCCCAGCACAGCAGAUUGAGGAAUUGUGGUAUAUAACAUUUUUGAUUUGUCAUUUAAAAUCAAUUUCAAUUGUCAAGUCUAGUUGUUACUAAUAGCUCAAGUCUUCAAGAAAUCAUAGAGAUAUUGAACUGAAAAAUUUUGUUUGUGAUUCCUAGUUGCUACUUUGUUAUAUUGCUAGGUUGUGAAGAUGCCGAAAAGAACACUGCUCACAUAUUAUUCUAGUUUAAGUAACACAAAUACCAGCGAUCCUCCACUCAAUAAUGAGAUUGCAAGUCAGUCAAAGAGGCCUAGGGCAGAGUUUAGUCAUAUGGAUAUCAUUGGUGAUCCAGUGGAAUGGAAACCAAUUGAGAAUUAUCAACCUGAAAUUAGAGAUCAAGUAAAAAGGAUAUAUGCAUUGAGUGGUCCAACUCAACCAGAUUUUUGCACAUUUCCUCGUAAGUGGCAAAGUGGUGAAUGGAGGUCCUUUCAAAAAGCUUGGUUCAAUGAGUUCGAUUGGCUUGAGUAUAGUGUUUCAAAGGAUGCAGCUUAUUGCUUGUAUUGUUAUCUUUUCUUUUAGCUAGGAAAACCUAAAAAUUUGGAAGUUCUGUAUUUGCUAAGGAAGGUUUUGUUAAUUGGAAGAAAGCUAAAGAUAGGCUUGCUACACAUAGUAAUUGUAAGACUCACAAUGAUACUAGGAAAAAAUGCAAAGACUUUAUGAACCAAAGGACAAGUAUAUUUAGGAAAAUUGAGAUUGUUAGCAAGGAGGAAGACAUUAGAUACAAGAUUCGGUUGACAUCUUCUUUAGAUGUUAUAAGGUUUCUCAUUAAGCAAGGUGAUCCUUUCCGUGGACAAGAUAAGACCAAUGCAUCCCUCAAUAAGGGUAAAUUUAGAGAGAUGGUUAAUUGGUACAAAGACAAGGUCCCAUAAGAGCAAUAAAAAUUGCCAAAUGUUAUCACAUGACAUUCAACAGGAUCUUACUAAAGCUUGUGCAGAAGAAGUGACGGCCGUGAUUAUGGAUGAGAUUGGACAUUGAAAUUUCUCCGUGCUUAUUGAUGAAUCUUGUGAUGUAUCGAUAAAUGAGCAAAUGGGUGUCAUCUUGAGGUUAGUAGUAACACUAUUAAUUUUUUGCCAUUUUGUGAUGCUUUCAUUGUAAAAUUUCAAUUUCUUUUUAAGUACUAACCCUAUUAAUUUUUGCCAUGCAGAUUUGUGAAUGAUGGAAGGGAAAGUGAUGGAGAGAUUUUUGGGUCUUAAACACAUUGAGAGAUGUACAACGGUUGCAUUAAAAGAAGCUUUGGUUGGUAUGCUUUCUAGUUAUAAGUUAAUCAUCUCUAGGAUUCGUGAGCAGGGUUAUGUUGGAGCUUCUAAUAUGAGAGGGGAAUUUAAUGGUGUGCAGAAAUUGAUUAGGGAUGAAAACCCUUUUGCUUAUUUUGUCCAUUGUUUUGCCCAUCAAUUACAGUUAGUGGUUGUUACUGUUUCAUCUUCUACUGCAGCCACGAUAGAUUUUUUUAACUAUGUGCCUUUAAUAGUCAACACUGUGGGUGCAUCUUGCAUGCGAAAGGAUGCCUUGCUUGCAAAACAUCAUGAUGUAUUGUUAGAAAAGGUAGAGAAUGGUGAGAUUACCACGGGAAGAGGGCUGAACCAAGAAUGUAGCCUAGCUAGGCCUGGAGAUACUAGAUGGGGAUCACAUCUUAAAACUUUGCUUCGCAUUAUGGUAAUGUGGGAAGCUAUCAUAUUGUCAGGGUUAUGGAUACCACAUACCUAAUAGUAGUUGACUAAAUCUCGGCAGGACCCACCACAUACCAUGUCUUAUACGGAAACAACCUUCGGAUAUAGGAGGAGUUCCGCAUAAGGAAAGAUGAGUAUAGUUCUACAUGGAAACGACAAGGACUACUCGGAUUGUAUCCAUAUUGGUUUCCCUAGUUCUACUUGGACAAGGGGACACCUAUGGGUAUAAAUACAAGGCCCCCUAGGAGGAGAGGGGACACGGAACAAUAGAUCAAGACACAAGAUCAACAUACAAGCCAACAUACGCUAAGACAAGAUGCCGGAUAUCGACUUCAGAGAUAAGCAUGCCUAGUCCCCUAUGGUGUCUACGGAUACUGUCAGGAGAGACAAAAGCGCUGUCUUUGAUCUCGCCGGAUGCGGAUUCGAGGAGGAAGGCUACCCUGUUGUUGACUACGAGUCAACACUUCAGACCGCCAAGUCGACAACAGAUAGAUAGGCUACCCCAAAUAUUGUAUUGGUGUGAUUAUGAUGAAUAAGAGCAACGACCGGCUUCGGCCAACAGGAGUAGGGUCAUUACCUGACAAUUCAGGGGCCCGAACCUAUAUAAAAAUCUUCGUCCCCAUCUCUUUUAUUACAAUCUCGCAUAUACCCUGGUACCAACGAUCCCCAUACUAUGCAAAUACUGGAAUCGCGACAUCAAACGUCGACACAUAUAUGUGCUUGAGAAUGUUAAGAAAGAUUCUACUAAACCAACAUUUAUUGGUGGAGCAUUUGGUUUGAUGGGUAAAAUGCAAUGGUUUGAUUUUGUGUUCAUAAUGCAUUUGAUGAUAGACAUCUUGAGUAUAACAGAUGACAUGUCACGUGCUUUGCAAAGGAAGGAUCAAUACAUUGUUGAGGCAAUGAAUUUAAUCAUUUAUGUUACACAAGGGAGAAUGGAUGGGAGCCUUUGAUGAAUAGAGUAGCAUCAUUUUGUGUUAAACAUGAGAUUGAAGUUCCCAAAAUGGACAAGGAGGUAAAUGAAAGUGGGACAUCUCUAUGUCGAAAGCACAAGGUAACAAAUAAGCAUUAUUACCAUGUUGAGAUCUUUCUUGCAGCCAUAGAUGCAAUUUUGGCAGAAAUGAAUCGUCAGUUUAGUGAAGUUAGUUCAAAGUUACUAAGUAUGCAUGUCAGCCUUUAAUCCAUGGAUUUUCUUAUCUAAUUUUGAUGUGGAUAAGCUUGUGAGGCUUGCUGAAAUUUAUAGUCAAGAUUUUUUGGUUGGUGAUCUUAUGCUUCUACGGCCUCAACUUGCAAAUUUUAUUACCAAUAUUAGGAGAGCUAAAGAAUUUGUUGGAUGUAAAGAUCUUGCAAAGGUGGCAGAAUUAAUGGUUCAAACAGGAAAGAACAAAACUUAUCCAUUGGUGUAUAGGCUCAUUGAGUUAGUAUUGAUACUUCCGGUGGCAACGACUUCAGUUGAGAGGGUUUUUUCAACCAUGUCUCUUAUAAAGACAAAUUUGAGAAACAAAAUGGGGGAUGAAUGGCUAAAUGACUUGAUGAUAUGCUAUACUGAGAAGCAAAUUUUUAGAAGUAUUAGUAAUGAAAAAAUCAUCCAAAGGUUUGAAGAUAUGAAAGCGCGUCGGAUGUUACUACCUAAAAAUAAUUAUUUGAAGCUAUUGUUUGUCAAUUGUCAUUAUUCAUUAAUUUGACAUUUCUUUUUUAUAGACUACCCCUGAUGAAGAAUAAUUGGCGAUAGGGUGUACUAGUGUCGCACAUCAUGCAUCAUCUAUUGGACAUUUCAAUAUUGCUUUGAUAUGGAUAAUGUUUAUUUUUCGGUAACUCUAUAUAUUUAUACUUUGUAUUAGACAUAUAGCCAAUUUAUAUGAGACAUAUCUCAACUUUUAUUGGCCACUUUUGGUUUAGCCCCUACUAUAAUUUUAUCCUGGCUCCGCCACUAUGUAUAACUAGACUUGUUUUUACCAUCACAUAUUUGCAAGCGGUUAAAUAGUCACAUUUUUUCAAAGUAUUGUGUCAUCUUUUCAGCUUUCAUAAAACCAGAAUACGACUCCUAUAUUUGCUUGGUAAGUCCUAUAAACAAAAAAAAAAGAGAAUAUAUUGAGCCACACAUAUUAUACCAAUUGCACACUACCUCCCCGUUUUCCGCGCGAUAGGGCAAUUUCCCAACUUCUAACUUCUCGUUUUUCGUGUGCAUGCUUUCUAAACUAUUAGAUGUGUUUUUUUCAAUAAAAUUCUAUAGAAAAAUUGCUUUAGAAAUUCAUAUCAAUCCAUUUUUUAAGUUUUUCAGCUAAUACUUAAAUAAUCAUACACUAAUGAGUCGCUCCGUUUUACAUGAGAGAAGUUUCUAAUCCUUACAUUAGAACGCACCUAAGGAAUGUACUCCGUACUUAUCACUAGACCACUUUACUGUUGACAACUAUCAAACCGGACUAGCGGACCAAUGUUGCUUUGGUUCAGUUUAUUGUAAGGACAAAAUUUAAAAGGUUCAGUUUCUAGCUGGAAGAGACCUCCUAUCAUAUAUUUCUAGCAGGAAGAGACCUCUGAUCAUAUAUUUCUAGCAGGAAAAGACCUGUGAUCAUAUAUUUGGGUGUCAGAUAAAUUCAGCUGAACUAAAAGCUUGUCAUACCUUCAGUUACCUACUACAAGUCUACAACCAUGAGUCCAUGAUCAACUCUGAAUUCAGAUAGGUGGAAACAUACUGCUGAACAACAUAGUUUUCUAUAGAUAAAUGCAUGCACAAGGAGAGCCUCAAGGUAGAAUCUGAUUGAAACGUCUUCACAAGACCGGUGGCAUUUAUUCAAGGAGAAAAAUCGUCCUGCAUUUGUUUCGGAUGCAAUAGGAUCAUAAGUCCCAUUUUAGUUCUUGGAGUUUAACAAGUUUCCCUGUCCUCCACAAGGUUCCAUAAAUUUAUGUUUUCUUAGAGCAAGUUUAGUAGUACAGCCCACUACUUACUAUAAGCCAAUGUUAAAGCUAACAUAUAUAAUAGGUUAGCUAUAAGGUUAGCUUUAUUUUUUUCAUCCUCUCUCUUUAUCUCUCUACGAAUUUAAUGCAUAUUUCUUAGAGCUUGUGUGUAGCUAGCUCUUGCAUGAGAGCCAACACUCUCCACUUUUAUUUAUCUCUCUCUUCCACAUAAGCAUUUAGCUUGCUUAUAGCUCACCAUUAUCCUUGCUCUUAUGUACAUAUUAUACCCAUAUUAUGGGGAUUAACCGAAGAACAAGGCCUUAAUGGGAAAUUAUCUUGGAGGCCUCCCCAACUGUUCAACAGCAAUGAAGCACCAUGUAUAAUUGACCAGACCACUACGAACUACGAAAUUGAAAAGCUUGAAUUUCUAACAAGUAAGAGACCUGUCAUCACAUAUUUGGGGUCAGUGAAUUUCAUUUGAACUUAAGCUUAUCAUAAACAAGCAUUUGACCAACUGUGGUGCUUGCAGAUGGGUUUGGACAAUUUUCUAUGGAUCCUAAUUGAUGGAAGACAAAUGCAAAGGUCAAGAGCCAUGCUCAGGAAGAAAUUCAAGUUUCAACCUGAUUGGAAUGCGCCAUGGCAACAUUCCCCUCCUCCAUGUCCUUGAGAAAUUCAGCGAAUGCAGUGCACGAUGAUCCCCCUUCCUUCCAUGCUGCCGCUGCGCUCUCCUUCAUCGCCAUGACCCGCUCCAGGACUCCCUGCUGCGCAUCCGAUUCCAUGAUCCGCCUCAAGAUGGCAUCGACGAUGUCGGCCUGGACAAGUGCCCCGGGUUUAUACCCUCUGACCUCGAUGCCAAUCUUCAUCUCCUCCACGAUGAACACCUUGUUCAUCCACUGCUCCGCGUCGAGCGGCCAGCACACCAUUGGAACGCCGGCUGCGACAGCCUCCAGCGUCGAGUUCCAUCCACAGUGCGUCACGAAUGCGCCCGUGGAUGCGUGCUGCAGCACCGCCACCUGCGGCACCCAGGACGCGGUCACCACGACGCCUCUGUCGGCUGUCCGCGCCAAGAAUCCGUCAGGAAGAAGAGACAUCGCGGCGUCCGGCUUCGUGCCCGCGGGCGCGCGCAGCGCCCACAAGAAUCUCUGCUCGGACCUCUCGAGGCCCGUGGCCAUCUCGCUGACCUGCUCCGGCGAGAGCGCGCCGCGGCUCCCGAAGCAGAGGAACACGACGCUGCGCUCCGGCUGCGCGUCCAGCCAAGCGAGGCACGGGUGCCUCUCCUCCUCCGCGCCGCCGUCGGUGAUCAAUGGCCCGACGCAGUAGACCGGCGGCGUGGCGCGGUUGGAGAGGCAGCGGCCGUCCCUCAGCGCCGCCACCCCGGGACCCUCCAGCGCGUCGAAGGUGUUCACCAGAAUGCCGCGCGCGUCCGCCAUCCGGUCGAACGCGUCCAGCAUGGCCGCGCUUAUGUCCGUCCCACGGUCGAGCACCUCCUCGGGCAAGUGCGACGCCGGCAGCGGGCGCACGCCGGGAAACGACACGGGCGCGUCGCCGAGCUCCCUCAAGCUUCCGCUGCUCCCGGCGCAAAACCGUGGCAAACGGAGGAAAACGGCGAGGUUGGUGGCGCCGGUGCAGAAGAGGAGGUACCCGGGGACGCCGAGCUCGGCGGCGACGUCGAGGGCGUAGACGGAGAACAUGUCGGCCACGAGCGCCCGAGCGGCAUGGGGGCCACGCAGCAGGUCCCCGAGGGCGGGCGCGUGGGCGCGGAGGACGGCGAGCAUACGGAGGAGCGGGUGAGCGGCGGCAUCGGCGCCGGAGGAGGCAGGAGGAUGAGGAGGAGGAGGGAGUGGAUGGACGGAGAGGGAGGGGAGGCGGGAUGCGUACUUGCGGAGCGCGGCGGAGAAGGCGGGGGCGGUGGUGGCCGGGUCAGGGACGGCGACCGUGACGGCGAGGCCGUGGCGGAUGCAAACCGCGGCGAGCUCCAGCAUGGGGGCGAGAUGGCCCACGCCGAGGCUGGGGAACAAGACCACUCUCCUUGCAGCCGCCAUUGGAGGAUCGCUGCUCACCUCUGCUCUUGCCUUUCUUGAAUUCUUGGUGGGCAAUCCGCGACGGAUAGAGACGAUGCACUACUAAUCAAUCUGAGGGACUUUCUGCCCUUUCUUUUUCAUUUUUUUCCCCUUCUUUCGUGUGGACUAGCGUGGCGUGGUUGCUUUUCCGUUUUUGUUUAAUCAUCACUGUCAAAUAUAUACACAUAUCACUGUAUCUGUUCAACUAAUGACCUAACUUUCUACUUCGUACUAAAAUGAUCCAAAUGGAUUUGGGGAAGACUGCAAAUUGUGCGUUCGAUUUCUGAAAAUUUAGGCGUUGUUUCACCACUUCUAUGUAAAUUAUUUUAUUACUUUUAAAUGUAUCAACUAAUUACACAUUAAAAAAAUAUCGCCCUUAAAUCAAUAACCACUACAUUAAACAUUAAACCCAAUUACCAAAAUAUCGAAAAUAUUGAAUGUGCAACGAGUCGUAUAAAUAUUGGCUUCUCACACACGGAUCAUUAAAUUUGAACGGUUGAUUUUUUUUCUUUAACAUAUAAUCCUAUGGCCUCUUUCAAAUUAAUCAAAAUGAAUACAACCGUAUAAUUGUAUAAUUGAGCAAAUACUUUAGGGAAAAAUUAGAACAUACUAAUAGGGUACUUGGAUGGAUCAAAAGCAUGGGUGUCAGCUUCUAGCCUUCCACAGACCACAGCUAACACGCUGGAUCCGGCAGGUGGCAAUUAUGGUGGAAAGACCGCUUCUCAAUCACUCCACAAAUUUUCUCUAAAAUUACUCUGAAUUGGGCCAUCUAUCUAUCUAUUAUAUACUAAAAAUCCAUUAAACUUUAUAUAAACGCUUCUAAACCACCAUAUGGUAUCCUAUAAAAGCUCCUAAGCUACCACAUGGCACUCUCAUAAAUCGGUGGACCCACUAUUUUUAACUAUUAAAUUUCUUUUUAGAAAAAAAAUAAAACCCCCAUAAGCAAUCUCUCUCCUUUUCCCUAUUGGCCUAUAUGGUACAUGAUCCUUCACUUCUCCGCUGGCGGCCCCAAGAGAAAAAAGCAAGAAAAAAAAUAAUAUGCACGUACGUAAAUAUAUACACGUAUUCAUGGGGAAAAAAAGGAAAAUAAAAUAUGUACGUACAUACCCCAGAAAAAAUAACAAAACUGAGCACAGUAUCGAUGGAAAAAAGAAUUAAAGAACAUGUACCUACGUACAUAUGCACCUACCAUCGAGAAAAACAACGAUCAAUAAAACAUAGAACAUCCAUGCUCUCUAUAAUAAAAGAAAAAAAAUACUACAUCACGUAUUAACAAUAUUUUAAUUAAAAAAUCACAAACUGUAUUAUACCUUUUUAUGCCUUUUCUCACAAAAUAGAGUUAAUAAUUACGGAACACCACAUUCAUUUCCAAACAUUUCCAUCUACUUCACCUCCCCCUCCCCUUCCCCUCAUGUAUAUCCCUGUUUGCUCCUUCCUCUUGCUUGAACUGGCACUAUUUAUUCUUUUCCCCCAUUCCUAUUAUUUGGUUAUCCAACUAAAAUAGAAAUAAUUUGUAAUUGUAAUUUUCAAAUGAUGAUAAUUUUUAAACUACGUGCUACACGUAUGAUUUCUAAUAUAACUAUUUCUCUAUUUAUAAUUAACCAAACAAAUUAAGAUUCAUAUACCUAUGUUUUUCUAUAUAUGAAAUAUAUAUAGUCAAUGCAUGUAUUAUAUAUGCCAUCCAAAUAACAAAGAAAUAUGAUAAAGAAUAUCAACAAAUAUUACAUCAUUACAUAGAUCAUUCUAUAAAUAUGCAUAGCUAAACUAAAUUAGUAGAAUAAAAAAUAUAUAUUUAUAAAUUCAAGUAUGAAAGAAUACUUUUAUCGAUAGACAACACUUGCCUUUUUACAUGUCGUCUGAAUUGCAAUAAAAAGCUACAAAAUAAUUCAACAACACAUGUUGCGCCCUCAUAUAUCAUAUGUAGAUUUUUUCUACAUCUUUCAGGUAUGAACACAAUUCCAUUUAUUUCUUUGUGCAUGAACCAUUAAAAACAAUUGUCAUAUAUUAUACACACAAAUUAUAAUAAAUUUAUUCAGACUUUGGAACCCAGACAUUUUCUUGCGCAAACAAGUGCAUGGGAGAGAAAGAGAAGUACGGAGAGAGUUAGUAAGCCAGUCUUGACAAGCUAAGAAUAAUGUAUCAAUAUUAGAUGGGACAAGGCACAACGAGCGUAUUUUUUAGGCAUGGAACAUAUUUACUAGGAAUUAGAUAUGAUCGUAUAGCAACCAAAUAAUUUUCAUGCUAGAAAUGAAAAAAAAUGAAAUAAUUCAUUUGGUCUUGGGAACACAGGGAUUUUCUAUGGUCUUUGAUACGAUUAGCAACUGGAUAGGUAUUAUAGGCUUUAUAUAAUAAUAUAAAUAUACUUAAUACAUGCCAGGUACAGGCUAACUAAAUAAAAAUUAAAAUAACAUAGUAGUCGAUCUCAAGUAAAAAUUCCUAAUAUUAAAUUAAUUUUUUUUAUGGAAAAGUAUUUAAAUCAUCUAAACAAUCACAAUAUACCACAUUCUAAAAAUAAUGAUGCAUGCUAAUUAUAUAAUUUUAGUUGUUCGAUUGUGUUCACGCUAGGUUGCGUGAAGCCUCACACACCACACAAAUAGUGUUCAUAAAUAGAUUGUGUGUCACACCACAUAAUCAUGUUGAACUCUACAAACCCAUGUACAUAGUGUAGUCUCAUGUCCUAUCCAAUCCACCAAUUAUUGACCAAUGAGAAUAUAUAUUGGCCUUACCAACUUAUAUAAAAUGUCAUUGAAAUUUCCAUGGAAGUUGAAAAAAAAGUGUAAUGCUCUGUUACUAUUUAUCAUAUCACAAAUUUUAUACUUAAAAUAAGAUUUAUAUAGAAUAAAUAGAAAAUACAAAAAAUACCAAUUGGGAGUAAAUUUAACCAAUUGGAGAAAUUUUGCUUCUUACUUCACACUUAAAUUGAAGCUACUAUUGCAAUAACCAUUUCAUAAUAAUUGCCUUAGAUAAUUGGAACAACUCUGAUAGGUUAAAAAAAAUUAUUUAAGCAAUGCCAAAAAGAAAAUUAAUGAAUAAAUAAUACAUUUGAAGCAUGGCAUGCAAAUGUUAUCCAAUUAAUAUUCUGCUUCUAUAAUUGUCUUAAAUGAACCUUACAAUGCAUGCCCGCACAUUCGCGUGGGCUAACUUUCUAGUUAUAUACUAAAAGUCCAUUAAACUUCCUAAAAAUGCUCCUAAACUAACAUGUGCCAUUCUGUAAACGCUCUCGAGUCGCCACAUCUAUUAUCUAUUAUAUACUAAAAGACCGUCAAACUUCCUAAAACCGCUCCUAAACUGACAUGCCCGAUAAACGCUCUCGAGUCGCCACAUGUCACUAUAAUAAAAUAGACAAAUCUGAUAAUUAAUUUUUAUUUAAAUUAGUGGACCCAUUAAUUUUGAUCGUUAGAUUUAUCUUUACAUGAAAACAAUAUCCCUCCGUAGGUAAGUACGAUCCCUCCACGCGCAACAUAUGUGCUAUGCAUCCGACCUCUGUUUCAUUUGUUCCUUUUUUUUAUCCCCAUAAUAAUUAAAAUUAAAAACCUUUUUGGGCCUAAAAAGCCCAUCAACCUAUUAGAUAUAGCUAGCUUUUCCUCUAUCCUCUCCUAAUAAAUAGUCUAUUAAACAUUAUCUAAAUAUUUCUAAACAUCUAUAUAACACUCUUAAAUUAGAGGAAAUCUAAGAAAUUAUAUACUAAAAGUCCAUUAAACUUCCAAAAAAUACUCCUAAGAUUCCAUGUGGCAUCUUAUAAACGCUCUCGAGUUGCCACAUGUCACUCUAAUAAAAUAGAUAAACCUGACAAUCAAUUUUCAUUUAAAUUAGUGAACCCAUUAAUUUUGAUCGUUUGAUUUAUCUUUACAUGAAAACAAUCUCCCUCUGCAGGUACAAACGAUCCCUCCUCGCGCAACAUACGUACUAUGCAAUCCGACAUCCAUUUCCUUUCUUCUUUUUUAUCCCCAUAAUAAUUAAAAUUAAAAACAUUUUUUGGGCCUAAAAAGCCCAUCAACCUACUAGAUAUAUUGCUAGCUCUUCCUCUAUCCUCUCCUAAUAAACACUCUAUUAAACAUGAUGUAAAUAUUUCUAAACAUCUAUAUAACACUCUUAAAUAAGAGGAAAUCUAAAAAAAAUUCUAAACAUCUAUAUAACACUUUUAAAUUAGAGGAAAUCUAAAAAAAUUAUAUACUAAAAUUCCAUUAAACUUUCUAAAAAUGCUCCUAAGCUACCAUGUGGUAUCGUAUAAACGCUUUCGAGUCACAACAUGUCACUCUAAUAAAAUAGAUAAAUCUGACCAUCGAUAUUCACAUAUAUUUCUAAAAACGCUUUCGAGUCGUCACAUGACUAAUAAAAUAGAUAAAUACGAGCAUUGAUUUUCACUUAAAUUGGUGGACCCAUUAAUUUUAAUCAUUAAAUUUAUCUCACAAGAAUAUAAUCUCCCUCCGUAAGUAAUUAGGAUCCCUCCGCGCGCAACGUACGUGCUAUCCAUCCGACCUCCGUUUCCUUUUUUCCUUUUUUUAUCCCCAUAAUAAUUAAAAUUAAAAACUCUUUUUUGCCUAAAAAGCCCAUCAACCUACUAGAUAUAGUAGCUCUUCGUCUAUAUAGCAUUCAUUUGUUCCGAAGGAGCAUAUCGGAAAAUCUCCACAUCCUACAAAAUUCUUUUAAAAAAGAAAAGCUUUUGUUCCAAAGGAGCCCGUAUUGUUAUUGUCAAGAAAGAGAGCAAAAAAUCAUCUCAGAACGGGCGACCUGGGCUUUGUAAUAAACCAUGUCUCCUAAACCGAUACUUUACAAAUGAUACCCCUCCGUCCUAUUUUAAAUGUAACCAUGAGUUUCCAUAUCCAAAUUUAAUUGUCCGUCUUAUUUAAAUUUUUUUAAAAAAAUUAAAAAAACAUAAGCCACGCUUAAAGUGCUAGUCAUUUUUUAUCAUCUAAUAACAAUAAAAAUAUUAAUCAUAAUUUUUUUAUAUAAAACGAACUAUUAAAGUUGGACAUGGAAAAUCAUUGGCUGACGUUUAAAAUGGGACAGUGGGAGUACCUAAUAAUAGCUCAUCUCUAGGCUAAUAACCUAUCUAAUUAUUUAGGGGAUAGAUGUUACUAUCGAGCAAGGUAAAGAGUUUCCUACAUUACCAACACCUAACAGGCUAACACACAUAGAAUAUGUCCUCAUCAAUUGGUUCUUCCUGUAGUGAUGUUGGUAAAUUGGCAUCUCUUACACGCAUCAUAUUCACCCAACGCGCACCAUCUCAAAUGCAACUUCCAUUAUUACAAUGUUGAGCCAUAUCAUUAUUAUAUGUUAGAAAUCUGGAUCUUUAUCUAAUUAAAUCUAGGAAGGCAGAACUUUAUGACACCUGACACCUCCUAAUUGGAGCCUGGAUCAAGAUUAGCCAUGUCCAAGGAAAAAGUUGUCUCAGUGCCAAAAUUACCUAUAUCCAGGAAUGGGUCAAGUGAGUCCCACUCAGUACCAGACACGCCUGAAGCAUCACAAAUCGGUGCGGUGUGCCUUGCCACAUUCUGGCUACUUGAAGCGGCACCUGAAAUGGUCCUUCCAUGCUGGUCGUCUUUAUUGUUUGAAAAUGUAGCACCCCCAAGAUCCUGAGUAUCAGGUGGUGUUAUGCUGAUGCGAGCUGAAUCAACAUUGAAAAAGUGAGUAGGAUAACCCACCAUGUAAUCAGCAGGGCUGUUGUAUGUUCCUCCUUUUGUUCCUGCAAUAGCCACAUCGGCAUCAAUUCUACUGGACGUUGGAACCAGCAAUUCCCCAUGAAACUUAUUUAAAACAAUUUCUUGAUGUUCUCCGAUGACAGUGUCCUUCUGCACCAAAUGAUCUCUGGACAUCUCCUUCACUUCAUGGUUCUCCGCAGUAUUGUCUUCCACAAAAGCAUCAAUUGGAGCAUCGUCAGUAGAGAAUAGCCAUUCAUUGACUUCAUCUCCUGAAUUCUCGGUAGCUUGGUUUUUACAUGCAGAGUGGAGGUUCUUACAUCUCCCGGAAUCUAAUACUUCAUUGUCUGAAGCAAUCGACAGGGAUCCUUGAUCACCAUGAGCUGCUCUUCUGAGAGGAAUCUUUGGAUCAUAUUGUAGACAAUGUUCACGAGGGUGUACAAGGACAUCCAAAGCCAGCAAAGCAUGUGAACAAAAUUUUGCAAGCUCGGUACCAGUCUCUAGCCUCCCUGUUAUGACAAGAAAAGAUAAAUACUACAACAAACAAAAUUAACACGUUUUGAGAAUUACAUGGAUGUAAUUAAGUAAAUGAACUGCUAUAUGAAAUGCAUGAUUUAUUUAGCUAGCUUAACAAAUUUCAUGCGUAUGUGUCCUAGUGGGUUUCUUCUGUAUAUCGUUAACUCUACGUUUUACCAAUGAAUUAGCAAAACUGGAAUGCAUGUGGAAAUAGAUGAUAAAUACAGCAAAUACAGAUUGGCUCAGAACCUGGAAGAAGGUAUUACCUUUGUUGAAGAGCUCAAGACCUCGUUCUAAAUAAGGACAAUUGUCAGGAGAAGAAAGAAAGGAUGCCAAUAGAGAUUUUAACAAGGCUAACUGGAAGUCUGAAAAAGUUGGAUCUCCUGCCAAUAGUGGUCUUAGUUCAUACAUCCCCAUAGUACAGAAAGACUCUCUUGCAACAUUAAUAAGAAGCAGGUCUAUUUGUGUCCUCCAGUAGCAUGCUCUGAAUGAACCACCCUGCUCAUGUUGAGAGUCAAUAGCCAAUUUCAACAGAAUAUACGCAAGAUUAUCUACUACUAGUCCCCCAUCCCAAAAAGACUUCAUUUCUAGCUAUGAAUCUGGACAAACGAAGUCUUUUUGGGACACAUGUCUAUACAUCCUAAAAGUAAGAGUGGCACAAUAAAUAACACCUUGGAGGCAACCUAGCCAAUUGAGUAGAGAUACGAAAUGAUGAGUGGAUUAAGAAGAUAAUGGUACUCUACAGUAUUCUGUUUGUAUUAAUGACCAACAGUUAAACCGUUCUUAUAAGGAAUGCCACCGUGAAAGUAAAAUAGUAAUACCAGUUCAAAUAGUCACCGUUCAAAAAACAAAAUGCUAGAAUUGCACAUGAAAUAGAUAUGAACAAAAGAACUUGUCUUGCAAAUGAAGACAAAAGGAUGGAUAUACAAAGGGCAACUUUACAUAAGAAAAUAUACACUAAAGGAAGUUACAAUACGUACAAGCGCAAACAAAACACCACCGCAACCAUGGUUUUCAAGUUCGAUUUAGGCCGAAAUUUCAGCCAUUUCGGUUCUAUCGAAAUUCCUGAAAAUUUGGUUUUUUUGGACCGAUUUUUUUUUUGAAAUUUUAACAUAAAUUUACUGAAUGACUAAAUUAUGACCAAAUUUGCAUAAGUUUGAGAAAAACAGAAAAAUUCGGCCGAGAUAAUCACUUGCCCAAGAGGGGAGGGGGUCCAAAAUUACUGAAAUUGCAAUCACUGACCACAACCACCCAAAACCAACAAAUAGAAGUUAUGGACUAGAAAUAAUGUUUCAGAGAGCCGCAUCACAUGCUGGUCAACACCGCUAGAUCAUUUCCUCCUCAACCCCCCACAUCUCCACUUGAAUCCCCUCUAAGUCCAUAGUGAGGUCAAUUGCAAUGAGUCAAUAGACGACGCAGGCGAGAGCAUAUGUGGCCUCAUCACCAUGGUCGAACACCUGCUGAGGGUGUCCGGAAGCAUGACAAUGUUGGCGACCAAGUCACCGUGGGAACUCACUACCUACAGCAGAUCAGUAGACGCUGAUGCAGGAAUGUCCACUUUGAAGACUUCAUGACCUCUUUGAAUGUUCCGAGAAAUUUGAUAAUAAGCCACUAAAUACGCAUACCUUUGCAAACUUGCCAUCCAAUCCGCAUGCCUUUUCUAACGCACCAUUAGGAGUGCUAAUUUUUUUUUAUUUCAUACCACUUUCUCUCUUUCUCAUCAUUUUCUCAUUUUCUCUCAUUUUCUGUUUUAUCCUCCUUUUUCAAACUGUUUUACCCCUGGCCCCACCUAUCAGGUAAGAGAGAGAGAGAGAGAGAGAGAGAGGUUUUACCGCAGAAGGGGAUCGGGAAGGGGAGGCGACACUUGUUGUGCUCCCAUUUUGCGCCGGCGCCGUCUCCAGGUCCCGUCGCUGGACGCCGCCACUAGGACCCAUCGCCGGGCGCCGCCACUAGGACCCGUCGCCGGCACCGCUACCAGCCUCCUUGCCCAUCACCCUGCAACCCGCUGCCACCGGCCAACCUCCUUGCCUCACUGCCAGCCAGCCUCCGGUCCCUAGGGUUUGAAGGGAGAGGGGGAAAGGGGGUGACGGUUCUGCUGCAGAGGAGAUCAUGGCGCAAGCGGCAUGCUCCUCGAUUCCAAGUGAACUCCCUUCUAGGUAAUGCUAUAACCCUCGACAUCUCCAUUAUUUGCACUAACGGGCUGAGGAGCAGAACUAGGACGUAAUUGGUUAGCGGGUAAACUAAUGAUUUUUUUACUCUCAUUUUUCUUGUUCGUACGCGAUAGGACUGACCAUGAUGUGGAGUUUAGCGUGCACGUUCAGUUCGGUCAGUUUACAACUAAACUUGAUGAUGGUACUUGUGUUGAAGUGGCGCGUAAAUGGCUUGAAUGGGUUGUGGACUAUCAUCAGUGCACAUUGGAGAGCUUGGAAAAGGACCUUGCAGCAAGGGUAAAAUGCCAACAUGUUCUGAUCAGUGGCUAUGACAUGAGCACCGGCGAGGAAACACCGUUUAAGGAUAAUAUGAAUGUAGUCCAUGCAUUAUUUGUUAUGAAGAGUGAUAGAAAGUUGAUUUUAUUUGUUGAUGUGGAGGAUAAGCCUAUUCAGUUGAUAACUAACUCGAUAGUUUUAUAGGUCAAUGAGGUAGCAAUGGGUGAAGUUGUGAUAGGCAGACAAGGUGAUGCUCAAGAAUGUAGCAGUUGUAUUGAUUGGGAUAGUCUAGAGAUAGCUCCAAUUCUACAUAACCAAGUUCCUCAGCUUGCUAUUGAUUGGGAUGCAUUCGAGAUAGAACCAAUUCCACAACAUCAACUUGGAGGAAAAUGAAAUGUAUACAUUUGUUGGACUUAGAACUGAGGAUGAGAGAGCUGAGCAAGCUAGAAUUGAAGCUGAGAGGCAAAGGAAUUAUGUUCCUACACCAGGUCCAGCUCAUACUAAAGGGAAUUUGAACCUUAACAAGGUAAAGAUUGCUGUUAAUGUGUAAUACCUGGAGAAUCUGAAAUUUUCUAUGACAGGGAUGAUCCUCCUAUGGAAGUUGAAAGCUCAUAUGUAAGCAUGAAUGAAUUUAGGUUAGCUGUGAGGCAACACGCUAUAAAGGGACAAUUUCAGCUUGGGAUAGAGAAGUCUGAUAAAAGAGUUUAGGGGCUUUUGCACAGCUAACGAAUGCCCAUGGGCUAUCGCGGCCAGGCUGAUGCCUAAAUGAAAAAUCCAUGAGGGUACUAAUAACUAACUAAACAAUGUCUCAUAUUUCAAAUAUUGGUUUGACUGUAUGAGUUGUCUCAUGGCUGUUACCUUUUUUUUUGCGUAUGUUGCGGGUUACCUUGAACAAAUUUGCCCAUACUUGUGCAUCAACUGGGAGAAUAAAGACCAAAAUGGCAAGUUAGUGGGUGGCAGAGAAGGCAAUUCCUUUUCUAAAAAAGGAUCCAAAUAUGGGUGCAAAGAAGUUGAUGGGGGAACUUAGAAACCAAGUACAAUGUCACUUUAGGAAACCAUACUGUGUUCAUGGCUAAGGAUAAGAUUUUUGGUCCUGGCUCCUGACCUCUUUCUCUGGCGAGAAGAGGCAAGGGCAGCAAGCACCCUGGCUCCUAACCGCAGAGCAACAGGUAAAACCCUCCCUCUCUCUGUUUUACCUGACAAGUGGGGCCAGGGGUAAAACAGUCCCAAAAAAGGAGGAUAAAACAUAAAAAGAGAAAGAAAAAGAGAAAAUGAUGAGAAAGAAAGUGGUAUGAAAUAAAAAAAUUAGCACUCCUAGUGGUGUAUUAGAGAAGGCAUGCGGAUUGGAUGGCUUAUUGUCAAAUUUCUCUUGAAGUUCCCUAGCAACCACAACAGGAGGCUACAGCUUGGAUCUCCUCCAUUUGCCACACCUUCUUCCUUUACCGAGAAGAAAGGUCUUGAUUGCCUCAUUAUUGCUUUGGAGUUCAGCGCUGUAUUUCUUGGCCUCAUCCAGCUCUGGCUCCGAGAUGCUUAUUCUCGAACUGCUGCCAGCAACACCAAUGACCAGGCGACACCGGUGAUUAGCACUGAUGCAUCUGUGAUCGUGGGGGCUGAGGAAUGGAAGGCCGGAGCAAUGGCUAGCCCGACUGCAGGCAUCCGACUAACAGACUGGUCAGAAGCAACAGGGGAAGUCCUACAAAGACAAGAGAAAGCUCUCAGCAAAAGAAGACUUCCCGAGAACAAGGAAAAAUUAAGUCUACAUAUAUACUUACGUGGCUUACGGCUUUGAGGAGCAACGCGGAGUGAGGGGUGUCAACUAGCCUUGGGACUAGUGACUAGUGAAAAUAUACUUACAUCUUCGAGGAGGGACUAAGUCUACGUAUAUACUGUCGGCGCUCGAAGGAAGAGAUGGCUGAGAUGAGAAGAAUGGACUUGAAGGUGAAAUUCAAAGGCAGCCUACAAACUUUAUCAAAGAGAAAAAGCUUACCAAGGUUGUGCGUGUUCUAGAAUCUGGAGCGAAGAUGGCAUUCACCACCUCAAAGUGCUUAGUCCAUUUACAAUCAUUCUGAACUCGAAAAUACCUAAUUGAAACCAAUCCGCACCUAUCCAUUUCACCUGUGCACUCAAACUGAGCAAAACCCAAACUAAAAAUCAGCUCAUUGAACCCAUUUGAUCCCAACCAAGCAGGCCUAAACAUGAGGGAGCCCUCGCUCAUCUGACCUUAUUUGCACUACCAGAUAAGCACUAAGCAUAGUUACAAUAGGAAAAAUGUAUUUAAUGUGGACUAGGAAAAAAAAUUUAAGGCAUUUAGAAAGCUGACGUUAUGAUUUGGUUACAAUAAUCUAGUUGAGGAGCCAAAUAGGUGAAUUAGACAGUUAUGCACUCUUGUUUAACUACAAUGUAUUAGUAAAAGAAAUCUAUUUCGCUUAAGCAUGAGAAGUGAUUGCUUAAGCAAAAGAAUGCGUAAAUAUACAGUUAUACACAUACCAGAGUCAGAAGUACUUCAAAUGUUUCCAGUGCUGCUAUUUUGACACACAGUGAAGACAUUGAUUUUCUAAUGCAUGUAGGUUCAGGGCUCCCAGCAAUUGAGCUUUUCCCAUGCAAUGCCUGAUUGUUGCUGGAAGAUCUUUCUAAUGAAGACUGAUUUAUUCCUCCUAUUGGAGCUGAACUCAUAACGAAUAGGCUGUUGCCAGAAUUAUCAUCCAGAUCAGCAGAAAUGUUGCUAACUACCACCUGAAGCAAGUGCAUACCCAUCCCUGGUCAAUUAGUGGCAAGAAAUUUAAGAGCUUUAACAGAAAGGUGCAUUACAAGUGAAAUAUUAUGAAAUCAUCUGAGACAUAUCCAGUGAAUGCAGCAUCCUGGACUACAAAACCACAGUUGUUUGGCUCAGACUCAACAGGUGGUUUAACAUUUGAUACGUCCAUGUUAACUACUAAAAAAAUAACAGUUACAGCAAGUACAUAGAGUAAAGGUUUUCUCCCGGAACCCCCUUUCCAAGCAUAAAACUUCGUAGAUCAUCUGCUAAUGGCAUGAAAAUUUAUUUUGCUCCAAGGCUCCAAGCAGGCAUAAAGUGACUUAGUGUCAGUAACAUAAAUAUACAAAUAGAUUCUAUACAGUUCUAAAUAUAGAGCCUGACUGUCUAUUUGAUAAAGAAAAAGAGAAUGCCAGCUUGUCUGGUUUGUACGAACGUUGUUGUCUAAGCAAAAUUCAGCUGACCUGUUUCAUGUACAAACCCUCUAUAUAUCCUUUCCAGCAGAAGCGAACACCUGGCAUAUGCUCACUUAUGCAGCAGUUUUAGAUUAACAUAACAUUAUUUUACAUGGAGUCGAACUCAAGGGAUAGUGCUUGGGAGCUUUACUGCUGUGAGAGGACAAGAGUGGCGUAGAAUAAUGUCAUUAACCUCGUUAGCCCGAUCGGGCAUCGGAACUGGAAGAGUGGACAUGUCAAUAUCUCGAUCAGUUUUUAAACUACAGUAUUCUCCCUUCUUCAUUGUGCCAAGCAAUAUUGGAUAUCUAUCACUGUGUAAUAGGAAAUAUUGGCAACUUUUUUAACUUUUCAAAAACAAACACAAUUUGAAAUGUGACAAGUACAUUACCAGUGUCGUGUCAGUAAGAAAUAUCUGUGCAUACCAGAACCUGAUAAUUUGUGGUAACAUGUAUAGAAAUUUCCUACAACACGUGUAAGCGACAAUUCACUAUUGAAUGUGAAAGGGGGCUAUGCAACUCUGCGAAGAAAUUAAAGAUGUGAUAUUUAUUAUAACAAAGUAAUUAAACAAUAGAAUCGAUGACAAAAAACAGCACGCGAAACAUAUCAAUUUCCAUUCAGGACUAUCAUUUCUGAACACUUGUACGAUUAACUCACAAGUUGGCUAAUUUCGAUAACCCAACUUCAAAUAUGCCAAACUAGUACUUUUAAUAAGAAAAGUUAAAUGAAAACAUAUUAUUGGUUGGCAACUCAGAUUGAGAACACUUAUGGAGUUCUCUACAGUUGGUUUGAUAUCCUUUUCCCCCCAAAAAACUCAACAGCUCAUUAUUUCCUAAGACCCCCGAAAUGAUUUUCAAUGGUGCUCUGUCUAUUCACAAUUGUACAGACAGGCCCCCAAAGAGAUCCAGAAAUGACAUCAACAGUAGCUAAUGGUAAGAGUUACAAAACAAGUGUUUUGAGUUCGAGAGGAUAAGGUGCAUACUAAAGAUGAUUAGAGGUUAUUUGGAUCAGACAUUAGUUAUCAUUUUCAAAUAUUUGAGGCCCAAGGAGGCAGGGAGAUUCCUCAAAUAUCAGAUGUGGAUUGUGGAGAAUGGAGGCGAUAUUUCGGAUGGAAUAUGAUAAGGCCCCAGGACAAUAUGGUUUUCCAGCUAGAGUUUUACCAAGUUUUCUAGAUCAGAGGGACUGAUUUGAUGGCCAUAGUAUAUGAUUCGCAAAGGCACACUUCCCCUUUACUGCCAUCUUUGGUACUACUAUGUUGUUACAAAAAAGCAAAGAGAUGACAACUAUACAACAAUAUAGAACCAUUUGUCUACUAAAUGUGAGUUUAGAGAAAAACUUUACUGAAGUGACCACAAUGAGAAUUGCUGGAGUGCAAAAUUUUUAUAAGAUCCACGCAAACAACUUUUAAGCUUGGACAUUGUACCAUGGAAGGAAUUACAGUUCUUCAUGAAACAAUCCAUGAGAUUGCUUAGGGAAAAAAACCAAAUGGAGUGAACUUUUAACAACAUACUUAACUAAGAAAUAUUAGAUGGGACUCUUGGAUAGAACAUUUUGCAACAGGGGGAGUAUGAUGGUAAAAGUGAUGAUAGUUUGAACUUCCGAACUAAGACAGGGUGACCCAUAGUGCCAUAAUCAACUCUAUUAUUUAAUAUUCGGUGGUUAUGUUGGCAAUUUAGUAAUAUACUAUUCACUUUAAUUUGAUAUUAUACGUGGCUAUCAAUUUAUAUUUGAUUGUUUUUAAAUAAACAGUAGCAGAAUCCCUAAGUUCUAAUCAACUAAAAUUUUGUUCCAUAGGGCUAUUGUAGAGAAUAAGUGAACAAAAUGGACAGAUAGAAUUGUGAUUGGGGAACUCAAGUAACAUCGUGAUUAUUUUAAGUAGUCUCUACGCAUGUAUCCCUAUUAUACAUGCUUUGGGCCACUGGCUCAUCGAACUACAAGGUCCAUUACAUCAACACUAUUUAUCCACUAACUUACAGAAGAAAUGCAUCAGUGUUUUGUUUCGACUACUAAUGCAAGUGGUGUGUUAAGUAUAUUUUUUAUAAAAGUGUGAAUGACCUACCAACACCCAUCGAGCUCAUCAAUAAUCGCACAAUAGUGUAGAGUUUUCUUCUUACUGCAGGCAGCUUUGCUCCUUUGAAGUACUCAGUUAUGAGCGUUACAACACUACCAGCAUGUGGUAAUAGUGAACUGCAGGAGAAAUUAUAACUAAAAAUUAAAUCAAUUUAUCAUCUUAACAUCACAUGAGAUAUCUAUGAAGGCUACAAUACUAUAGCUAGUACCAACUGCAAUUAAAUUAGAUAAGGGGUAUGGUAAUCAUCAUUAGCCUCAUUUGCAAAAUUUCAAGUGAUAAAGCACUUCUGGAAAUCAUUUAGACAAACAAAAAAUCAAAGUUAUUUUUCUAAAGAUCAUAAAUUUCAAAUAUUGUACUGAAGCUUGUCUGCUAAUGAUGUGUGUGUGCGCGUGUGUGGAAUUAUGUGUUCUGUUUCUUCAUAUGUUCUUUUAAAUUUUUUUUUUGUGAAAGAUCACACAAUUACUCACCAAUCCUGGUGAUUUGUGUGUGAAUAAUUUUGAAAGUAAGGCAGAAACAAAAGAUCAAGAAUGCAUGUUACCUGCGCAUUCCUUUAAUAAUGGCACCAAGAAAAUCCAAGAAAGAUGAAUGCAGUUCUAGAAUCUCAGAAAAAGAAAGAUGACAUGAAGGGGUGUCUUGUUGUACUAGUGAUGAUUUAUGAAAUGUUACAUCUGUCAGCAGCACUCGUUGUAUAAAAGUUACCACCGCAGGCACUGGAAUAUUCACCUUCAAUUAAAAUAAGGGCCCAAGAAUGUCUGUUAGUGCUAAAGAUUAAAAGCAAAAACAAUGUUUCUAACAAACCUGAAUUGGAUAAGAAGUAGUUAACAUCAUGGAGCAGCAGUGUAUAAGUGCUGAAAUUGUAGGAACUGCAAAUGUGCAAAAUUUCUUUGCUGAAUGAAAGUUCCAAUCUCCAUAGGUUGUCUGGCCUCCUGACAGUGGUGGAGGUUUACUUCCAGGUGAAAUUAGUGGCAUCAACUCAAAUCCAGUAUAGCCUGCAAAAUGAACUUGUGGUUCAACAUUGCACAAAAUUGUAGUACAACUGAGAAGGUAAAAAAUGAGGCACCAAAUAUCUUUGCCUUCAUCCAGUCCAACACAACUACCAUUUAACAAAUUGUUGACCACAACCAAUAUCUUCUGGAUCAUCAGUGACAAACUAUUAUGUGAUACUCUGACACAAGGCAAUAGUGCUAAAGUGCUCGCAAGUUUCUGAAAGAUGAGAAAAAUGAAAGGAUCAGUCACAAGUGGCAAACUGAUGAUAAUGAAAACUAAAUCAAUGAUGGAAUCAAAUGAAAAUUAAAAUGGUUCAAUAAAAGCAAAUUCCAUGCCUUUGAAUGUUGUAGAUUGCAUUGACCACUCAUAAUCUUUGCUGCAAUGAUGGAUUCAACCUGAAAUUACUAAUAUCAGUAUAAAACUUACUACAGUCAGUGAGACACAACCAAUAGAUCCACACUUUGAUGUAAGAAUGUCAGCAUUAUCCAUAUACUUGUGAAGGUGAGCGUAUAUCAUAUUGUCACAUAGAAAUAUCAUUGCAAGGCAUAUAAGAAAUGAGUGUGGGGUAUGCUACCGACCAGAUGGAAACUGUGAAUCUUUGAUCAGCCAGAUUGUGCUCUCCAUUUUGUACUUAAUGUGUCAAACCAGGUAAAAGGUAAGAGAUGCAUUUGACGUGCUAGAUUCAUAAAUCAACUUGAGCUCAAGGUACCAACAAAUUAUGACAACAGAAUGAGCGGUAGAGGUUAUUAUAAUCUCUCUAUUCCUAUACUUCUGAUUACUAAAAUAAGCAUUCCCAAUAAGCCACAUCAUAGAAAAAUUGGAAGCCUUUGGAUGAAAGCAUAGAAGAAUAAUAGCCAUUGAAUGUUAAACAUGUAUCCGACAUCUACAGAUACAAGAAUGGCAGUUACCAAAAUCAUAGGACAUGAAGUUAGCCAACCAAACCAUAUCAUAACUGCCUACAUGAAAUAAAUCUCUCCGUGGACAUGCUUGCGCUGAUAAAGCCCAUAACAGACGGAUAUGCGUCAGUUAUCACUUCACUACACAUGAUCAAAAACCUUUUAUAAAAUAAAUUACAAAGAACUGUCAGCAAAAUAUGGUUUAGAUUCCCCACAUAAAUAGAAGUGUGUUCUUCAUUUAAUUUCAUAUCCAGAAUCGCAAGAUGGUUUGGAUUAUCUGUUCCAAUAAUGAAUCCUUUUCUAAGUAUGGUGAAUUGUUAUGCUGCUCCUUUUAUGUUCUAUGUUUAAAACAAAGUCCAGAUCACUUAAACAUUGGAAGAAACGGAUCUAAACAACCCUAAAAAAAUAAAUCACUGUACCCAAAAUAAUAUGAAAAUUGUGUAAUUCUUGGACUUAAUUCCUGGUGAUAUCUGUGUAAAUUUUGGACUUCAUUCCUGGGGGUCAUUAGACAGGUUACCAGCCUGCUCUGGAAUACAAGUUUAUCCGUAUGUCUUUGCUACAAACCAGGAGGAGUUGCUGAACAUGAGAUUCAUUUCAAGAAAUAACAGCAAUUUCUUGGUGUCAAACUUUCAAUCAGUGUGACUUUCUGUAUACUCCCUCCUUUUCUAAAUAUUUGGCACCGUUGACUUUUUAGCACAUGUUUGACCGUUCGUCUUAUUCAAAAACUUUUGUGAAAUAUGUAAAACUAUAUGUAUACAUAUAAGUAAAUUUAACAAUGAAUCAAAUGAUAGGAAAAGAAUUAAUAAUUACUUAAAUUUUUUGAAUAAGACGAACGGUCAAACAUAUUUAAAAAAGUCAACGGCAUCAAACAUUUAGAAACAGAGGGAGUAUUAUAUAGGAAAUGCUCAAUCAACCUGUCUAAAGGAACAGGAAGGUUAUGAAUAUUCAUGAUGAAAAUCAGGCAAAGGAGUAAUAUGAACGAUCAAAAGCCACAGACACCCGUACAAGUUAGCAUACAUCUAAUGCUGUCUAAUCACUCCAUUUUAAUGGCACUGGACAAUCAAAAUGUAAAACAAUAACCAGAAAGAAAUUCACUAUACUUUUAUGAUGUGGCUGGUACAAACAAAGAAAUUCACAAACAACAAAGGAGAUUACAAAUAAAGUAGCUCAUACUUUGUUGAAGUGCCGAUAUACUGAUGAUGGGAAGAGUUUCAUAAUUAAACCAAGUAAGUCAGUUGCUUUCUCCUGCACACAUAAACAACAAUAUAUUUUCUUAGUGGAGAAGUUUGUAUUUAGGAAAUCAUCUUGCUUGAAGUGUAAAGAAGCUUAUACCGCAACAGAACCAUCCUUGUCCAACAGCCGCAGCAAUGGUUGGACAACUUUUUGGGCUAACAAUGUUGCCUCGUCCUUUAAAUUUGAAAACUUCGCCAAUCUGUUAAAAAAAAUAUGGGUUGCCUUGCUUUUAUGCUAAGCAUUCUUAUACUAUGAAAUUGCAACAAAUGAGCAAUAAUGCUAGCUUUUUAGGAGUGGUGCACAUUGCUUUUUCCAUUGAUGCCCUCCACUAGAAUUCUCCCCUUGUUAAAGAAUUUUAUUGAGAUUGUUGAACUCAAUAAAAUUCAGUGGCAACCCAGUUUGGUGACUGCAUGAUCAAUCGCACUAUUUUUCUUUUGACUUAAUUAGUCAGUUUGACUUAAGUGAAACAACUAAGGAACUUUACUGUCAUGAACACAGAAAUAACAUAGAACUCCAAGUUUUGAUCAUCUAGUACGGACCUUAAUCAUGCAUUCUCAGACACAAGCAGUACGCCUCAGGGGCAUACCUAUGUAUAUCUUCCCAUGUGCACAACACAGGACCAUCGGUAGAUUGUUCUCCUCUAGUUGACUUAUGCCAUGCUAAUUAUCAUAUUAGUCAAUGGUUAGAUCAUUAGUACGUAUAGGACCCUCGGUAACUUUUGUACUAGAUUUGCCACUGGUACACCUGCUGAAUAUGGGCCUUUAUAUGCUAUAUAUAAUAAUACUUUGGGCAAGUAUAAGUUACAACCUGUAUAGGUUAUAACAAACUACCAAACUGCACAUUUAAACUUGUAGUUCAAAAGACUACAAAUUUUACAAACAAAGAUAGUAAGGAGUUGUAAUAUUUUACAUCCAUAAUGAAAUGACGUUAGAAUGCCACUAAAAGUGCUUAAUUUCAAGGUUUAACCUCAUCUUCGUAUAUAUUUUCUCUUUGAAGGAAUUUGCAUUUUAUUACCAUGUCCUAUGCAUUCUUUUUAUUUUACUUGUACAAUUUUUGCAGCUCUAUAUAGCUGAUGUGUUCAUGAAAACCACACGUGAUAGAUGUUGACUCACUGUUGAAACAUUGCAACCCAUUUGUAUUCCUUUAUGCUUUACUAUUAAAUGAUCAUAAAUGCACUCCCCAAUAGGAUAGUCAAAAAAAUUCAGUUAGCCAUACAUGUCACAUACCUCAUAAACAGACUAGCCAUAGCAGUACAAGUGGCUAUGCUUACCAUUUUGUUGCUAGAUGGGACCUGCUCAAAGUAUUAUAGAGAAUCUAUCAGUUUAUAUUCCAAGAAACAAUAGCCAUGCCAUGCAUGAGACAAUCCAUAUUAUAUACUAAUACAACAUAAAUAAUCAAAUUUGGAACAUAAACAGAAUAAUUUAGAUGAUACCAUUCUUCUGUUUGUAGAUUGGCAUGUGUUGGAACAAAUUAUAUGUUAAUUUGAUUAGUAACAAUAAAAGGGAAUUGAAAUGGAUACAACUGUUUGAAGCAGUUAUGUUCUGAAGCACCUUAUGUAGAGAGUCACUCAGUCACAGACUGUAAUGACUUGAUUUAUAAUUAUUUGGCAUGUCAUGUAUCAGUAAUAUGAAUUGAAAAUAAAGGUAAUGUAGUUUUAAAAAGUAGACAGAAUCUCAGUCCCACAUACAGCUUGAAAUAGAACAAUAUUGUAAUUUUAUAUUACAGGAAGACCAGAAACAACUCUGUGGAUCAUUAUAAGAGCUGAUCAAUUACUUCCUAGAUUUCAGGAAAAUAACUAAACAGGAACAUAAGAAUCCUAAUACAUAAAAGUUCUUUUUGCCUACAUUAAUUCAGAUAGACCCUCCUAUUAAAAAAAUUCAGAUUGACCUUCACUUAUAGUUUGUUUUUGAGCAUUCCAAAAGCAUUUGAAGUUUGGACUGUUUUUUCCUGCCUUCUAACAAGGUGUGCAAACUAAAAUGUUCUGGAUCUAGGAGCAAAAAGAAAUAAGGAUAGAGUUGAACCAGAACCCAACUUCUUCAUUUGCAUUCACUGUUCAGAAUUUUAUUGAUCAACGAUUACUAAGACCAAAAUAGAUUGUUCAAUAGAAUGUCUAGUGUGCUAAAUCAUAUUUAGAACAACAUUGUCUGCAUGAGUUGUACUGAGGAUUCCUCAUUUCUUCUGCACAUUCUUAAAAUAUCUAAAUAUUUAUAACAGCAAAAUUCACUAUCAUCUGAUCACACAUAUAGUAACUUAAAUGUCAAACUUUCUUUUCCAUUAGAACUGCAAAAAAGUGAAAAAAAAAAACAUAUAGUUCACAACAGAAUUAUGAGAAAUAUAAUGCAUGAAACCUACAAAAUGUGAAUACAUGUAUUUAAAACUGCAUUAAAAUAUGUAUGUUACCUUAAUUUUUUUCAUAAUCUUCUCAAACCAGAAAGAGUAUGAGUUUGCAAAGCGGUCCUCACUGCACUCUUCAAAUGUCAAACCAAGAAAAGAAGUGCCCACCCAACAACUGUGUUCCUGACCAAAAUUUGAAUAGGGUAGUAUAUUAGUAAAAGUGCAGUUAUAGUACUGUUAAUUUGUUGAGUUAUCAUAUUAUCACAUAGCAAAACAAAAGAAGAUACCAGCAGAAGGUUUGUUAUGGUUGGAAUACAGUACAGCCCAUAGCUAAGAUAGGGAAUCAUGCUCCGGGCACAGGACAGAGCAGUCUAGCGUGGGGCAAGGCAACAUAUGUCGCAGUGCUGGGGACACGAGAAGGAUCGCAAGAGAGUCUGAGUGGGAGUAGUUUUCAUCUACAAAAGUCCUAGUCAAGUCAACUCCAAGAAUCAUGGUCCAGUCAUCAUUGUUGUCAAGUCACGGACUUCACAAUCAAAGAUAGAAUCCUGAUCCAGGGGAUGCUAGAAGCAACUUGAAUCCUAAUAAUAUGUUGUCAGCAACCAGGGAGAUCCCUCUUCUAUUUGCUCUCAUUGCCCCAGCACACAACAGAAUGUUAUCAGUGUCAAGAUCCAUCACACCUGGAAUCCAGGGCACCAUGCUGAAGAACACCAUGAAGCUUGAAGAAAAGACUAAGCAGCUUGAUACGGAGAACACUCAGCUCUUCACAAUCAACAUGCACCUGGAUAGGCAUAAAGCACAUUUCAAACACAUCGAGAAGAUGAAGGUUUAUGGUGAUGCCAACAGUAUCUUGGUGUCAUGAUUGAAAUAGCACUGCUACAACUCCAGCAUGCACGCAAGAUGACAAGGAAGGCACUAGGGUCCUCAAUAUCACAAACUGGAGUUCUCUGUAUUAGACAAAAAGGAUGAUCUACAGCAAUCCCUCAUUUCAGCUCGACUACAAGAUGUCUCUGCAGGGAGAGAUGAUGUCGUUGAGCUCUAGUAUAGCUAGUGGCCCAAUUGGGGAGUCAUGAUCCUAGGCACAUGAGAAGGAUAUCAAGAAGAGUGUGAGUCAGAGUUGUCAUCGAUUCGGAGUCAAAGAUUUGAAUCCUCAUCUAUUAGGGGGAACCUAUCAUAUAAUGGCGGCCAAAUCUAUUGAGAAAUCAAGCAAGUUCAAUCUAUCUCUCUCUGUCCCUCAUUUUGCCAUGCGCUCGUGACUCAGUCCUCUGUGCUGUUGAGGCUUUCCAGUGCUGGCAACCAGGGAGGUCCUCUCCUCUACCUGCCUUAAUUUCUCAAUCUCCCAAGCACAUAAUAACAGUAUUAAGUUAUAUUUUCGAGCAGAAAUAAUUGCUAGAAAAAUGAAUCAGUUUUCUAUAGAUAAUCCAUAUAUUAUCUAAGAGGUGAUAACAAGUAUUGAGGGUUAAAAUGGUUGAAAUUUUCACUAAGACAAAUGUUCAAACAAUCAACAGACAAAUGCAAUUUCAUCUUCAUACCCUAUAAAAUUGGUGAAAUUUUGUGUAAAUUGCAGUGCUGGAGUGUUGAACUGUUGAUAUCAUUAUGUUUUAGUCAUGUACAUAUUCAUCGGCUACUGUCAUUAGCUUUAGCUAGUCAACUAUAUAUGUGAUAGCGUCUUGGUCUAUAAUCGGGUGACAGUCAUCAACACCUGUUAGACCUGUUUAAAAUGCGAGAACUGUCCUUGGUCCCUAAGGGAUUUGAUCAUUCAACUGCUCAUGUAAAACAUAUACAAAUCUCCAUUUCAAAAGGGACCUAACUCAAAUAAACCUCUUAUGCAGAGUUGUGGACGGCUUGUCUCAUAAUCACAUGAUCUAAGAUAUUAAAUUGACAGUGAAUGCGAAUAUGCCAUAUAAAUAUACUCUUGGGCCUUGGCCCCAGUGCACCAGAGACUGAACUUCCAAGAACUCAGUGAUGCUGAUAAACAGAAGAGAUGAUGAAGUACAGUGCGUUCUAUGUGCAGUUGAGGUUGCAGAGUCAACAAUUGUGCUUCCUUUCUUGAUUUGCAACUUGCCUGAUUAAUGGUCACAGUUGCCUAGUAUGAAAGACGUCCUCAAGAGAGGAUGAGCAUCUAACAUUGGUCACGUCGUACUAAUAUCAAACCAAACUACCAAAGGAAAAAUUCGGAACUUGGCACUGGUCAUCCAGCAUAAAAGAAAAUCUCAAAAUAGGGUGAAUUCCGCCCCCAACAAAGACAUAAUGAUUCACCAAUACUUGACGAAACAAAAACGGGAGACGUGAUCGGAUCGCACUCGCAGGUAUAGGAAGGAAACCUAGGGGAUAGGCAGAGACGCGGAGACAUACCCUGUCGCUCGCGAGGAGCGCGACGAGGCGGUCGACCCAGGCGUCCACGGCGGCGCUCCACUCCUCGAGCAGCCCCGGGUCCGCCGCGCCCUCGACGGCGAGGAGUCCCUGCUCGCGGACGGCGGAGAGCGCGCGGGCGAGGUCGGCGGGGCUGCGCGUGGGCUGGAGGUCCGCGGCCGGAUCCGGGAGCGGGAGGCACUCGGCGAGCACCCGGCGGAGAAGCCGCGGGCGCAGGCGGAGGUCGUGCAUCCCGGUGAGGGGGAGGUCCCCCGCCGCCGCGGCGUGGAUGUGGGAGGCCAUCGGGCGGAGGAGACGAGGGAAUUGGAGACGGCGAGGAUGGAUGGUUGCAAGAAAGUAGAGAGGAGAGGAGGCGAGGGUUUGGAGGUUUCGUGGCGCGGCGGACUAGCCGUUACCAGUACCCAGUUGGGCUGAGGCGUGUGGCCGUGGCCACCGCGCACAGUACACAGCUGGAUACACAUAACACACGUCGCGACUAGGAUGAAAACGGCUCUAGUGACUCGAAAACCACCGCAGAGCCCAUCGGUUUGUCUAAAGGCCAUUCCUCAGUAUAGAAGCACAAAUAACCUGGGUGUUGGAACUUAGUCCUAUAUCGUAAGCAUGUACUAGUUAUAUAUUAAACAUUAUUAGUAUAAAAAUACAGUUGUAUCAUAAUUCCCUAAUAUUUUUUCUACUAAACAUUAAUACAGAGGUGAAUCUCAUGUGAGUCUACUAUCUUAAUUAUAUUAUCUUACCCCUUUUAAAUUAUGGUGGAUUAAUUACAGAUUGAUUAAUGAUGUAUAAUUAUCUUUACGACACUGUCUUCCCUGUGAAAUAUAAAUAUGAUACCCUUAAGAAUAUUCAUGAGUGAAGUGCUAUAUCGGUAUCAGUGCACUUGUAGAUUUAUCUGUAAACGUAAGAAAUACCAAUAAAGAUGUCGAAUGUCUGGUUUUGCAGAUUAUGGGGGUAAUUCGUAUUGACGUAGUAGUUUAGGGGAAAAAGAACAGAUUAUAGAUGGAACGUUCAAUCAAGAAGUCAAUUAGAACUUCAGCUGAUCAAAGCACUGUGGCCGGUGACACUACGGCAGUCGGUGCCUGGUGAGGAUCCAUUAUGCUUCUACCGUUCAGAUCCACUGCCGGAGACUGAUCUUUGUUGGGUCACCAAAAACUACACUAGUUCUGGUUCGAAUAAAAAUUGAAACUAAAGAUUAUUUUUUAGUUCCGGUUAAAAAGCUGAAGAGAACUUUUUGAUCUUUAGUUCCAGUUGAUGUUACUACUAAGGUGAUAAUGAUAAGCUCUUUAUUUUUAUGUCCAUUGCAUCUUCAUUUAAAGUGUACAAAAAACAGGAAACACAUCCGAAGGGGACACUAAUUAUGUCUAUUGGAAAAUCAGUCUUCUGAUGUUUGGAGCUUGUUUCUUACGACUUUCUCUUUCAGCAGGCUUCUUUUUUAUUAGAUUCCCUAGACUAUCUUUAUAAGAAAUGGUAAGGAGGCGCUGCUAUUGAUUUGUAAUAUUUGGUGUCAGUUGUGCAAUGUCUGACCAGAUCAUUAUCAUACACAUUAAUUUUUAUGGUCAUUAACUGCAGAAUCUGAAGAAAGCAGAAACCAACAUUUUUGUUCUCCACGAUUUGAUCUAUGAUCACAAGGAGACAAGAUAUUAUUUUCAAGAGGAUUGGAACCAACAUUUUUGUUCUCCACAGUUUGAUCUAUGAUCAAAAGGAGACAAGAUAUUAUUUUCAAGAGGAUUGGGUAAGUGUCGUAAUUGUCAGUUCAGCAAUCUCGGCCAAGCUUGAUUCUUAUAAACAGAAAUCGAGCCCACCUUGGCACUAAUGGAUGUCCAUCCGUAGUAUUGUAUUUCUGAUUUCCUAAAGUGGUCUUGGUGAAGGUUGAUGAUUUGUAUACUUUCACUAUAGUUUCGUUGUUUCUCUGUUAUUGAAUCAUACUAAGAUAUGACUCAAAUUUAAUAGUUGAAAUAAGCUUAGGCUUUUAGACCUUUCUUCCGUUACGUGUACUGAAUGCAUUAUUAAUGUAUUAAAUUGAUUUUAAGAUAAUAUCCAUGUUUAGUGACACUUAAAAAAGAAUCACGAAGAAAUUUAACCCUACCAGAUUUCCUCCUAUGUAUCAUGACAAAAUAAAAAAUUAUAUCCCGUGCCACAAAUAUAUCUUUUGAAAAUUAAUAUAGUAAGGAUAAAAUCCGUCAUGUGCUUGUUUCCAGGUUUAUUUUACUGUCAUGUCCUAUUAGAGAUGAAAUGGCUAUAAUACUGAUUGUUUGCUCUUCCUAUGUAGGCCCCAUGGUACCGAGUGCAUUAUAUUAUACCCAUAGUUUGUACUGAAAUUUAGUUGAGCUUUUGGUGUAGAAAAGGUAAUUGGUGGAGGACGAGAGGCAGAGGGUGAUUCCAUUGAAUGCUUGAAACAUUUGUUUUGGUUUUCUGUUUUAAGAUUUCCUGGAAGCAAAUUUAACCAUAGCAUGACAAAUGCCUAGCCCUUCAAUGAAAAUAUAGAUGUUUUAACAGUUUAAAGUGCAGCUAUACCUUUUCAUCGUAUUUGAUAUGCAAAGUAGGUCAACUAGUGCAAAACCCUUUGGUCAUCCGAAAACCAACGGUGGUGUGGCUUUGAAUGAAUGUGGAUUAUCUUCAGUGUUGUAGUGCUCUUUCGUAUGGGUUAAUUGUCAUUAGGAACUUUUGUUGUAAUUAUGUCAAAAAAAAUGAUUGUGCUGUAACUAUAACUACUAGCAACUGUGGUAGUUUAGGUGUCUGAUAACUUUUGCUACAAAUACUAUCAAUGAGCAAUGAUUUUCAUUAAUCAUAUGCAGUUUUUUUUUUUUGCGGGGAAUCAUAUUGUGUGUGCCCUUAAAAUUUAAGCUAGCUGUGUACAGGCGGCGCGCGCCGCCUGUAGUGAUGAUCCAACGGGGAUGGAUCGAGUCUCCAGUCUCCACGCCACGCACGGUGAUAAAUAUCCCACUCGGAGGCAGGGAUGGGAAAUCUAGGUAAGCAUAUCCUCGAUCGAUAAUUCUAUGAUGCGUAAUCUUUUUUUUAUUAUUUAUGGAUUAUGGAAACUUAGAUUCGACUACACUGGCCAAGGUCACCUGUGACGGGCCCAAACCCUCAUCUUUGACGGCUUCAUGCAUGGUCAGUGAUCAGUGGUCACUGGUGAGUCCAGUUACCUUUGACGGGUGGCCGGCCGUCACAGGUGACACCCAACUCUGACAGGCAAGUUACUAGAAGGCCGUCAGAGGUGUUGGUCUCCGCUAGCCUAAGGCGAGUUGGGACCCGUCACAGGUGACACAUCUCUGACGGCCCUUUAAAUAAAGGCCGUCAAAGGUGAUGGUCUCCGUAGUUAGAAGCUGUCACAGGUGAUCUACCUAUGACGGCCCCAAAAGUAAAGGCCCGUCACAGGUAGGUCACCUCUGACGGGCCUUUAUUUGCUAGUCCGUCACAGAUGAUGUUACCUUUGACGGAUUUUUGUUCCGACCCGUCACUGAUGAGUUAAUUCCAAAAAAAAAAAUAAAUGCUAAAUAUUGGCUAGCCUCAGGAUUUGCUAGUCAUGCCCUCUGAAACACAGAUAAAUCACAGAUAUAUUCCAGUCACCCCCCAAUAUAAAAUCACAGAUCCAUCUCAAACAUCACAGAUCCCCAACAACACAGAUCCAUAUCAAAAAUUGACAUCAUUCACAUAUGCAGUUCAAAUGCCACAAUUUUGCACAGCAAAUUCACACCCCUUGAAAGCCACAAUUUUAGUCGUUGCUCAUAUAACCGCAUAUAUACUUACCAAAUGGAUUAAAGCCAUAUUGUCCUCGACCUCCACAGCAUGUCAAUAAGGAAAAAAAGGAGAAAACAUAUGAAUAGUACAACGUAAAUCAUAGUUGAUCAAAUUUGAUGACAAUUUAGUAAACUACCAUAAAUAUUGCACAUAUGAAAGUAAAUUACAUUGCACUCCAUAAAAACAUAUUUGUUUACAUCACAAGAAAUUAUGAAAACAUCUUUUUUACAUCACAAUAAAUUAUCUAGCCAAGUUCAUGAGUCUAUUUGACGUGAAAACGUCCUUUCUUGUUCAUUAUUUCUGCCAGAAUGAAGGCGCACACUUCGCCUCUGAUAGCGGGGGGGUUGAUGGGUGAGAUCUUGAAGCCAGCUCUACCUUUCUGUUUAAUAAAUAAGAUGUUAGCACGUUUUGAAUAGCAAUGUUGGUAUUGAAAUGAGCUUAUUCGCCAUUAGCAACAACCUCAGGGUCGAAAUCUUUCACCUCUCUUAGAAGUGUUGACAUGUUGUGGCACAUGUGGAAACCACAUUGGUCUCCGAUCUGUUGUGCGCAUGCGAACUUGGUGUCAUGGUAAAGUUCGUCCUUGCCCUCCUUGUGCCUACCACCCUUUUCCACAUAUGGGCCCCAAGCCAUAUUUAAGGCCUUGGUGAUUUCAGUGAAAUCAUAAUCUUUGGACUUAUUGGAGUUAAGGUAGGUAACCCUACUCCACUUAGGUACGAUGACUAGGAGAAUCCAAUGUCGCCUGCGUAGUGGCUACGUAGCGUUAGUACUAAUAACCUUAACUUCAAAAAUAAUAUACACAAAGGGUAUUGUCCUCUUACUCUUGGUUGUGUGCGCACAUGAUGUACUCCUUGUCUUGAUGGGCCCAUAAACACUGCUUGACAUAGUCAACUACCUCAGUGAAGCUCUGUCGUAAAUUAACCUCGUUCACCAUGGAUGGAUCAAGGAACCCAACCUGAUUACCAAGGCGACGACUCUCGAUCCAACAAAACCUUAAAACAUUUACGUAUUAGAACUAAUUUAAUUAGGAGAUAUAGUCCAAUCAUAUCACAAGUAUAGAAGGUAUGCACUUACAAGGAGUAGCAUUUUAGAAGACCAGUGUCUAACUUCCGGAUCCUGAAAAGGUCGAAGAGGUCAUCAAAGCCUAUAGUUAUAUAGGCAGGCAAUGAUAGGAACGGCUGGUGGUCGUGAUGUCCAACUAUGGAUGACUCCCUCAUUUUCCGCUUGGCAUUGCUUAGCUCCAUGUAUUGCUUAUGUAGCUCUCGGCAAGCAAUACCCAUCACGGCUAACACAUUGUCCUCCACCAAUGGCAUGCCUAGCUCAAAUUGGGCUGGCGCCCUCACGACCUUCCCCGCUUUGCUCAUCGGCAUCGACGUCGCAGCCUUGCCCCUUUUUGGCUCCGGCGCCAACUCCCCGACCUUCCCCUUGCCGCAUUCACGCUUCUGGCCCUUGACAAGUGGUGGGGAGCUAUUGGCCUUUCUUGUGGUCUUUAUUGGAGCCAAGCUUUGAGCUAUAUCUGCCAAGUCCAUAUCAGCUCCACCAGGAGAAUGAGGUACCGACAAUGCUGGUCCACGAGGAGCCUCAAUUGAUAGCUUAGACUUGGGAGGUGUGAGCUCCAUCGGUCGACUUGGACGAGGAGUCAUCUUCACAACUAUGUCUUCUUUGGGCCAUUGUAUGAACGUCUUGCGCGCAUCGCCCAAAGUCAUGAUUUCAUCAUUGGGGGGCACGUGCAGCGGAUAGCCUGACCAGGUGUCCUUUACUGUAUCGAUGGACACCUUGGCAUACCCAGCUAGCAGGUCUGCGCCGUGGACCUUGUCUGUAACCGAGGGCUUGAACGCCAUGCCCUCAGUGACUUUGGGAGCGAAAGUUAGGUGGACCCUCGCCAGUAGGACACACUGUACUACACCCUGCAUAUGUGAAAGUCUGAAUUUAAUAUUGGAACGUGUAAAGGUUUUUUUUAAUAGAUAUGGAUUGUAUAACAUCAAUUACCUCUAUGUGGUCCACUGCAGCUAGUGGUGCGACCAGGAGACCAGGGGCCGGCACCUCUGUGGAUGCACAACUACUCCUAUGCUGUGAUGGACUCGUGUCGUGUUGUGCACGAGGAGUUGGAUGCACAGCAGGUGUUGUGCCUCGGGGUAUAUUCAUGUCGGCGAGGACCUUGUUAACCCUUUCUUCCACCCUAGCGUUCAUGCUAGCUUCUAGUUCUUGAAUGACCACAACCUUAAGUUCGGCCUUCAAACGAGCGUCCCUCUCUUCCUUGGAGACUUUCCGUUUCCUGUAUUGGGAGCUGUACUGCGGGAGUCCAUGCUUCCAGGGCACAUCGCUACCAAUUCCCCUAGUCCGCCCAGGAUGUUAUUUGGUUCCGAGCGCCUUUGUGAGGAUGUCAUCUUCGCGCCUCCUCAGCGCGGACUCAACCUCGCUUUGUGAAGCUUGUUCAGCAACCAAGCCCAACUAGAAAAAAAAGAGUCGUUUAUACGAACUUCUACUUUAUACGAACGGAAAUUAGUUAGGUUAAGUAGUGAACUCACCAGUUCCUGAUAGACGACAACAUCACUUUUGUUCUCAAAUGUGACAGAGCCGUCCGGGUUGACUUUACCCCUUGCCCACACCCAGUUGCGAGCUCUUUGUUCAGGGAUGUCUGAAAACGGGGCAGGGACAUUUGCUGCUGCAGUGGCUGCAUCUUCUUGGGCCCAUAUUGCCUCCUUGCCGAUGUACCCUGCAGUGCCCAGCCGAUAUGGGUGCUCAUUCCGCUAUUGCAGUAGGCGAUGUGCCUCGCUUGAUUCCCUAAACUCUUGGGUUCUUGAGAGAGCAGAAUUCCUCCCACACCGCUUCAGUUAUUUGAGGGUAUUCAUCGAACGGCGUAUGAUUGCCGGGCGGGUUGACAAACUCGGUGAAGAGCUUCGACUUCCAAUUCUUCCAAGCUUUGCCCAUCUUCUGGAAUGCCUUCCGCUUGAGCCUAUCCUUUGCUUCAGCUGGAAAUGUGAACCAUUUCUCCAUUGCCGUCCAAGCUCACUCUUUCUCGGCUUCUGUGACCUUGCCGAUAUCUUUAUGGAGGAUCCCGAAGUUCUCACGUGCCGCCAGCCCGCAGUAGUUAGACCAUCUUCCAAUGACAGUCCUGGGCGCCGUGGGCCUACCACUAGCGUCAACCUCUCUUAUAACUUGCACUGUGGUCGGCCAUAUAUUUUGUGACCGCGGAUUUCUACUCGACCUACUUGCAGUUGUCCCGCCUGACAUCGACGUAUGUUGUUCCUGCGGCAAUUCUGCAGCACAAACAGAAGGCAACAUAUGCUAAGGGGUGCUAGCUAAAAUUUAUGUGGUCAUGUGGUGAAAAUUUAUCCUAUAAAUUACUAUGAAUUUCGGGUUGUUCGACCGUCGUUGUCGAGGGAUAACCUUCGGCAACUGUCUCCGUGGCUGGGUUUGCUUCUUCCUGGAUCCUCGCAGGUGUUGGGGAGGGCGGGUUUGCGCUGGGCGUUGUCAUGGUCUAAUUUUCGCGAAAAAUCUUAUAAAUUUCCAACCAUUAUACUAAAUAGCAUUAGAUCCAAUAUAAUACGGGGUAUACUAUGAAAGAUAUGGCCUCAGUUUUGCUCAGAAAUUAUGCAUGAAUUACCAUCAUUUGCAUGAAGGCAAAAAAAAAGAGGAAAUCAGGUGCUAGGAGAAAAAGCAACCCAAAGUAAAGUGUAAAAAAGAACCAAGUGUACAUAGUCUCCUCUUAUCAAUCUAGAAAAAAGAACAAGUGUAGAUAGUCUCCUCUUAUCAAUCCAUAAAAUAGAACAAGUGUAGUUCAUCUGUUCUUAUCCAUAAAGAAAAGAGCAAGUGCAGAAAAUAAGAGCAAUAGCAACAACAGGGCCAUAUAAUAGCAGCAAUAAGAGCAGUAGCAGGGCCAUAUAACAGCAGUAGGGGUAUAUAUGCCACAGGGGCAGCAACAGCAGGGGGAAAUUCACAUAAACAGCAACAGCAGGGGGAAAUUCACAUAAACAGCAACAACAGAGGGAUAUUCACAUAGACAACAAGGGUAUAUAAAUCAACAAGUGUAGAUAAUCUAUUCUUAUCCAUAAAGAAAAGAACAAGUAUAGAUAGAAUGUUAUUGAGCAAUUCAUCCUUGGCCAUUUAACAAGAAGUACAGGGGGCAACAAUAGCAGUGGUAUAUAAAUCAUGUAUAUAAACAAUUGUAGAUAAAAAAAUGAACAAGUAGGCACAAUAAGAGCAGUAGCAGGGCCACAUAACAUCACUGGCCAAAAUUAAUCUAUACUAGUGCAGAAAAAAUUCAAAAUCAUGCUACAUUCAGCCAACGCAGCAAAAUUAAUCCUAAAAUCAUCUAAUACAAAAAGAUUAAUAGCUCUAAAACUGCAUAUAUUUCAUCCACAAACAGUGCAAAUUCAUCACCUCAUAUAUUUCACAUCUCAAAUAUGCAUAUAUUUCAUCAAUCAUGCAAUUCAUCCAUUCAAUUUAAGCAAGUCAUCCAUCCAAACUGCAAUUCAUCCAUUCAUCAUCUCAUGUUCAGGAGGAGGGGGCGUCGUACCUGGUCAGCGGUCGAGGAGAAGAGGUCGGGGAGGCGGCGUCUUGGAGGCCGGCGUCGGGGAGGUCGGGGAGGCGGUGGUCGGUGGUGUAGUUGCCGGCGUCGUGGAUCCCGGCGUCGUCUUGGGAGGUCGGGGACGCGGCGAGGACGACGGCCUUGAUGGUCGGCGGUGCUGGCUGGCAUCGGGAAGGUCGGGGUCGGGGUCGGCGGAGAGGGCAGAGAUGGCGGCAGAGAGGGCGGCGGAGAUGGCGGCGGAGAGGACGGCGGUUGAGAGGUCGAGGCGGUGGUGGAGAGGGCGGUGGAGAGGUCGAGGCGGCGGUGGAGAGGGCGGUGGAGAGGUCGAGGCGGCGGUGGAGAGGGCGGCAGAGAGGUCGGCGGUGGAGAGGUCGAGGCGGCGGCGAGGGCGGCGGUGGAGAGGGCGGCGGAGAGGGCGGAGAUGGUGGCACAGAGGGCGGCGGAGAUGGUGGCAGAGAGGGCAGCGGAGAUGGCGGUGGAGAGGGCGGCGGAGAGGACGGCGGUGGAGAGGUCGAGGCGGCGGUGGAGAGGGCGGCGGCGAGGGUGGAGAUGGCGGCGGAGAGGGCGGGAGAGAUGGCGGCGGAGAGGGCGGCGGUGGUCGAGAGAGUGAGUGAGUGAGAGUGGGUGCCGGAUCUGGAUAGAUCUAGAAGAGGUCCAACCCUAGGUCAACCCUAGUCAAACUCACCUGUGACGGGCGCCAACGAUGGGGCCGUCACAGGUGAUGUCACCUGUGACGGGCGCCAACUGUGGAGCCGUCACAGGUGACAUCACCUGUGACAGGCCCAACAGUCUGGGCCAUCACAGGUGAGGUCACCUGUGACGGCCCCGCAAUAAGAGCCCGUCACAGGUGAGUUUGCCUACAACAAUUUUAUUUUAUUUUAUUUCACUUAGUUCUUUUAUUUUCCUUAACAUAUUUCCACAUACACUAAUAUCUUUGUUAUUCUUAAUUAUUUUAUUUCACUAACAGUAGUAAUUGCACAAUAAUUAUUUUACUAAUUUUAUUAUUUUAUUUCCAAUGGUUAUACUAAUUUAAUUAUUUUAUUUCACUUCUAGUGGGUGCUUCACUUAAUUAUUUUAUUUGACUAUUUCAUCAGCAAUAUACUAUUGAUCAUUGCGAACUUAUUAGAGUCAUAUAGAUAAGACAUGUAGACAUAAACUACGUACAUAAAUUACAAAAAUAAUCCUUCCUCAUGGUCGACGCGUGCAUAUUGAACGUCAUCUUCUUCUUCCUCCUCUUCUAGAGGUAUUUCUUGACCUAUGCUGUGGACGUGCUGGUUGUAAUCAUCCUCGUCUGCAAUAUUGUCCAAUCCAACAAUUCUCCUUUUCCCUUCAUGAACAACAUGUAGUUUCUUGUUACACGAGUCAACUAUGUAGAACACUUGAACAACUUGUUUGGCGAGAACAAACGGUUCAUCCUUGUACGCGUUGUUAGCCAAGUUGACAGUGGUGAAACCUUCAUUGUCAACUUUUACAUUGCGAAGAUCGACCCAUCGACAACGAAACAACGGGACUUUGAACUUCAAGUAAUCUAGCUCCAAUAUUUGCUCAACUCUACCAUAGUAUUGAUCACGACGACCACUGUCACUAGCAGCCUCAAUGCGUAACCCACUGUUUUGCACUGUGCAUUUGCUGUCUUGCUUUACCGUGUGAAAGGUAUAUCCAUUUAUGUCAUAUCCUUGCCAGGUGGUGGCACUCCAUUCAGGACCCUGUGACAACCACUGAAGUGUUUCACUAGACAAGUUCUGCAACCUGGCAAUUCGGUUCUUCAGCCACUCGUUGAAAGAAGACAUGUGCUUAUUUCUGACCCAACUCUCUGAUUGGCCUAGGUUCUCCUGUCGGAGAACUGCAAGGUGUUCGUCAAUGUACGACACCACCUCAGUCAUAUGCUGCAGCACCGUGAAAUGAGCUUUAUCGUACACCUUCUGAUCCAACCUAACAGUUUUUCUUCCAACAGUACCAACACCAUCAAGCCUCCCUUCGUGAUGAGAUCGUGGUAAUCCAAUUGAAGAUGUUUCUGACAUGUAGUUCACACAAAAAUCGAUGACCUCUUCGGUGGUGUAACUCUCGAUGAUACUCCCCUCGGGGUGUGAACGGUUCCGUACAUAACCCUUAAGGAUCCCCAGGUACCUUUCAUAAGGAUACAUCUGCGAGCCAUGAAUGCUAGACCACAGCACUUUGUUUGCCUCACAAGGUGCACGGGAAGAUGUUUCAUUAUGUCAAAGAAAGUUGGAGGAAAGUACAUCUCAAGAUGACAUAGGGUUCUCACAAGUUCUGCUUGGAGUUCAUCUAGUCCCUCGGGAUCAAUGAUCUUCUAGCCGAUUGCAUGGAAGAAGGAACACAACCGCUGGAUCGUGUGUCGCACUUUAGGAGGCAAAAUAUUCCUUAUUGCAACGGGCAACAGCUGUGUGAUAAGAACGUGGCAAUCAUACGAUUUCAUUCCUACCAACUUAAGAUCUUGCAGUGAAACAAGCCUACUGAUUCUUGAUGAGUAACCAGAUGGAACCUUUAUACUACUCAAACAUGUUAGCAAAUCAAUCUUCUCUUCUUUCGAGAGAGUGUAGCAGGCUGGAGGAAGGUAAACCUUGCCGGAUUCCGUGGUUAUGGGAUGUAGUUCCGAGCGAACACCCAUUUCUUCCAGAUCUCGUCGGGCGUUGAGACCAUCCUUUGUACUACCUGGGUUAAGCAGUAAUCCCAUUAAACUCUCGCAUACAUUCUUCUCGACAUGCAUCAAAUCUAUGCAGUAGCGAACUUCAAGAUCCUUCCAGUAUGGUAGUCUCCAAAAUAUUGACUUCUUUUUCCACAUGCUCCUCUCUUUUGUCUUUUGUUUUUCCAUAUGCUCCUCUGUUUUUCUUUCGACGUGCUCUUCUCUUUUGUCUUUCCAACUUUCCUCUUUUUUCCAAACUUGUUGGUUAUUCCCAUCACUAAGUUGUGCACCUCUGUCCCUGUUAGCUCUGCCGGGGGUCCGGCUGUAUCUCUGUGUCCAUUGAAAUUCUUUUUCAUAUUCCUAUACGGGUGAUACCUUGGGAGAAAUCUCCUGUGACCCAUGUAGACCGUCUUGUGUGAAUGCUUCAACCAUUUGCUUCUUGUUUCCUCCAUACACUCCGAACACGCCCAUUUCCCUUUCACAGUUUGGCCAGAAAGGUUGCCAAGGGCCGGAUAAUCGUUGAUGGUACAAAACAGCAUCGCAUGGAGGUUGAAAUACUCUUGUGCAUAUGCGUCCCAUGUUCGUGUGCCCUCAUUCCAUAGCCUUUCGAAAUCAUCGAUUAUCGGUUCAAGGAACACAUCGAUAUCGUUGACAGGUUGUCUCGGUCCUUAAAUGAGCAUGGCAAGCAUAAUAUACUUUCUUUUGAAGCACAACCAGGGAGGAAGGUUAUAGUUAACAAGUAGAACUGGCCAUGUACUGUGACGAGCUCAAAUCACCAAAUGGAUUAAUGCCGUCCGUACACAUUGCGAAACGCAUGUUUCUUGGGUCAUUUGAGAAUUCCUGGUAAAUCCUAUCGAUUGUCCUCCAGUGUACUGAAUCUGCUGGGUGCCUCAGUAUACUAUUGACUUUCCGUUCUUCGGCAUGCCAGCGCACUAGCUUAGCUUGUUCCUUAUUCGCAAACAUUCUCUUCAUGCGCUCCGCAAUUGGGAGAUACCACACCACCUUUGCUGGGCCUCCCCUCUUUGACUUACUUCCUUCACCUUCACUCUUUGCUCAUUUGUAUCUUGAUGCCCCACAGACAGGGCAGACAUCCAAGUCAGCGUAUUCCUUGUAAUACAAAAUGCAAUCGUUCAGACAUGCAUGAAUUCUUCUGACCUCCAGGCCCAACGGACAUAAUACUUGCUUCGCUUCAUAUGUCGUUUGCGGUAAAUUGUUCCCCUCUAGCAACAGGUCCUUUAACAGCUCAAGAAGUUCUGUAAAACUCUUGUCCGGCCAGCCAUUACUAGCCUUAAGCUCCAUGAGUUCCAACACGCAUGACAACUUGAUGUGCUUCGACUUGCAUCCAUCAUACAAGGGCAUCUGACAAUCAUCCACCAACUUACUAAACUUCUCAAAAUCUCUGUCGUUGUCCUCUGCGUCUUCAAUGUCAUGCAACAUUGUAGAUAGAUAUUGAGUGUCCAAAUCUAUGGUCUCUCCACCUUAAGGAGAAGGUACGAACAUGCUUUCUCGAGCUGCGGCGCCGGCGGUGUUCUCUACAUCCUGGUCCAACACUUCUUCAGCUGCGACAUCAGGCGUCUCUUGCUCUCCAUGCUUGGUCCAGCAGGUAUAUUUCUUCAUGAAUCUAUUCAUUAUCAAAUGAGCAUGCACUUCAUCGCUAUCUUCGAUCAUCUGUUCAUUCUUACAGUCCCUACAUGGACACAACAUGUGCAUGCUCAUCCUACUUUUUCUGUCAUUAUCCACAAAUGUGACAAAUUCAAUGACCCCUCUCUAUACUCGGUAGACGAACGAUGCGCAUAGUACAUCCAUCUACGAUCCAUCUGAAAUCAACAACAUACGAAGAAAAAUAUAUGAUGAUCGAUAUAUUGAGAAGGAAUGGAGAAUAAUAUGUUUUUUACCUUGAAUUUUAGCAAAAAAAUCGCCCCCCUUGCCUUCCCAACCGAUUUGUGAACAGUGAACUGGUCGGGAUGGAAAACAGUUGGCGGUUUGGGGGGUAUUUAUAGACCCAAUACACCUCAAACGGGUUAGAUUAAAAAAGCCCGUCAAAGAUGUUGGUCAUACCUUUGAUGGGCUUCAAUUGAGUUGCCCGUCAAAGGUAUUGACCUACCUAUGACGGGCCGUAAAAAAAAAUCCAUCAUAGGUGGCGGACCACCACCUGUGAUGGCUCAUAAUGCCACGGCCCGUCACAGGUGAGGGGAUAACAGUAACGGGUUGGGAGGAAAACACGUCACUUCCUCACCUGUGACAGCUUUUCCUUCCGGCCCGUCACAGGUGAGGGGAUACCUGUGACGGGCCACGGCCGGAUGCCCCACCGAUGACGGCAAACAUAGCGACCCGUCAAAGGUGACGGUCAUCUUUGACCAAUUCAUAGGCCUGUCAAUGAUAUGCCGUCACAGAUGUAGGGUUCUGGCGUAGUGAUUUUUAGAGAUUGAACUUUUAUCAUCCCGUCCGAACACUUAAAAAUGUAUGAAAAUGUAUGAACGGUCAUGUUCUUUUCAAUUAUUUCACCGGAUUAUUUGCUGCACCAUUUUGCAUCUCUAAAAUUAUGUUUUCUUAAAAAUAGUUUUAUUGCAUUGUUUAGAUCACUUAUUGUAAAGUUGUUAUGUUUAUUUAUCAAAACAUUAAUUUAACCAUGUAAUCAAGUGGAUAAUCUGCGAUAAUAAUUCGACGAAUGAUCUCACUACUACAUAAUAGAUUUUCCUGGACGCCACACUAUUUUGUUUCCAUGCGGUCCGUAAGUGGAACCGCAUGGAAAAAUAGGGAACUGCCAUCGCCCACAUGGGAAAAUACAUUAUCCCGUGCGGGCGGCUUAACUCACCCGCACGCGACCUGUCCCUCCCAAAAUUUCAAAAAAAAUUCAUCCUCUCAACUCUCUCUCUCCUCCCCUACCACAUCAUCCUUAUCCUCUUCUCACCACCUCUCAUCCUUAUCCUCUCAACUCUCUCUCUCUCUCCCCCCCUUACUCUCUUCUCACGCGCGCGCCGGCAGGCGCACGGGUGCGGCUCGACGACCGGCGCGCGGGCUUCGUCGGGGAAGCCCCCGGCAGCAGCGGCGCCGUGCUGAGCGCAUUGGCGGCGGUGAGAUGCGCUGUCGGCGUCAGGGGCCGGGCGCGGGACACGGUGGAGGCGGGUGCAGGGAUCGUCGUGGGUGGCGCGGAGCGAGGUGGCCGGCGCCCGGAUCCGCCCUCCGCCGCCCGGAUCCGGCGGCGGCAUCCCUCUCUCGCCCUUCCCCGCUCGAGGGCGACGACGACGACGACGACGAGACGGGAGCGGCGGCGGCUCUCCUCUCCCUACUUUCGCGGGACGGCGGCGACGGUGCGAGGCGGCGAAGAGCGGGCGCAGCGGCGACCAUGGCGGGCGCGGUGAGGCGAUGACCGGGCGGGCGCGGUGAGGCGACGGCGGCGAGCGGGCAUGGCGGCGAGGGUCGACGGCAACCGGCACCUACGCGGCCAGAUCGGGCGGCGGUGGCCAUCCACCGUGGCGGUGAGGGGCGGCGGCGGCGAGCGGGCAUGUCGGCAAGGGUCGACGGCAACCGGCACCCACGCGCCUGGAUCGGGUGGCGGUGGCCAUCCACCGUGGCGGUGAGGGGCGGCGGCGGGUGGGCUCAACGGCGACGCGACUGGGUGUGUCCAUCCCCGCGGCGGUGAGGGGCGGCGGUGGCUGGGCGGCAAUUUUUCUUUUUUUACUUUAUUUUUGGUUUUUUUAUUCCUUGCGGGCGGUAUAAUAUGACCGCACGGAAUAAUCGAUUAUCCCGUGCGGUUCUUCCGCCCGCACGCGAAAAUACUGAUUUUCACAGACAGCGGUGUGCUGGUGGGCCAAAUGACCGCACGGAAAAAUAGAUAUGCCCGUCCGGGAAAAUGAGUUAUGUAGUAGUGUCUAUUUCCAACAGGUCAAAAUUGAAUCUGUAUUGACGAAAGAAAAUAUCUGGAAAUAUCUGUCUUAGGAGGUUAGUUAGGAGCAUGUUACCAUCUUGGAGGGCCGGUUUCAAGAUCCCCGCAAAAAAAAAAAAGGCUGAAAAACGACGGUUCAGAUCCGUGACGGGAUGACAACACCUACAACAAGAGCAGAUGAUUUGCAUAGUAUGGCUUUGGUUUUUGCUUGAUUGACAGAUAAACCUUGCAUCAGUUACUGUUCAAAUCAGUGGCAAAGCUAGAAUUUAAGCAUGAGGGAGGCAACUUACCAACGAGUAACAAUAAUAUAUGUUACGAAGAAAUAGCUAAAAAAGAAAAAAAAUCAUUGGUUUCAAAACAUCAUACUUGUAAUAAUGCAUAUUAAUAUAAACAAGUACAUUCACUUUACCAACUUGGCAAUACAAGCUAAUCAUUUUUCAGCUCUCUCUCUCUCCGCUGUCGCCGCCGAGCUCCGAUCCGCCGCCGUCGUCGCCCCGCACCGCCUCCCACCUCGGCGCCACCUCCUUCAGGUUCGCCGCAUCCUCGCCGACCUCACCCACCUCUCCGUUUC